UACUGUUUCUGCACCAAACCACCUCCAAUCUGGAGAUAUUAAAUGUCAGUUGAAACUUAAAUUUUAGAUAUUCGACAAGCACCUCAAGUGCAAUGUCUCCAAAGCUAUAGUAGCUUGUAGCAAACUACAGAAAGCUGCUUCACCAACUUUUAGGUACUACAGUCCCAAGAUGUAAAUUUUCAAAUAUAUGAAUCACAAUACUUCACGAUACAACUAUUUAGAACAAUAGAGAUACAAUUCAGUCAUAACUAUAGCAAAUGGGAUCUUAAUAGUACCCACCAUGCUGAACCACUACAUAAGAGAGCCGGAUUUUGAUAAUAUUGGUCCAUUUGGUCAGGCAACAGACCACCAUGAAGAACGACAGUUUUAAUGGAUUAUCCUCACUAAUCUACCAUACAAUCUAUUUCAAACCUGGAAACUGAAAAUUUUGAUGGUGAAGAUCAAAGUGUGACCGAAGUUUACAGGUAGACGACAUAAAAGUUUCUGGUCGGAAAAGUGAGCAGGUUCAAUUGCUCUACUUCCUUUCCUCGGUUGGUUCAAAAGGUCGAAACCUUCAUCUAAAUGCUGAGUCAGGACAAUAACACAUCCUAGGAUUGUACACGCAUGCAUUAGAGAAAUCACCUGAGCUACAGCAAAUAUCUAGCCAAAGAGAAGCACUGCGUGCUCAUGUUAAUGGGAUCUUAAGUACACAAUACAUCAUAAGAGAUCUGUUGACCUAAUCAUAGCAUUCGCGUCAUUAGAGUUCACAGCACUUAGACUUAUCACUUCAGUUUGUCAUAUAUAUUCCAAGAUCCACUAACACUUUAAAAUUUUUUGGGGCUUUUAAUAACCAACGGUAUAAAGAAUGAUGGAGGGCUAGCGCAGUUUUUCUAUUCAGUUUUAUAAUAAGGCGAAUUCCAAGCACAAAACCUUAAAGUAAGAUGAAUCAAAUGAUGGAUCCGGAGCAAACCCUUAUGUAUAGUUGUCACGGGAUCAAACGUCGCCACCUGUCCCAAUACAGGAAAAAAAAAAUGUUACAUUCAUCCUAUCACGCGUGACGGUCAAAAAAGCUGUUGCAGAUGGAGCGCAAUACCAUCGAGUUCUUUAACAUUGGAUUCAUUAAGCCGAAAAGAUUUGUCAUUCGUAGUUCAAGGGAAGUGCGAACGUCGAUCAGGAGCCACCCGUCCUCCAAUCAUGUGGGAGGCACAGAACGUUUUGCUCUGCAAUAGGUCGCUAAGCAGAUGGAUUCGCAUUACCCUCUCGAGUCUGCGCAUGCCACAACUGAUAAAGAAAGGGAGUCUUAAAAGACAAACAUCUAAAAACCUACGGAAAAGAUAUGAAAACCUUAUUUAUUUAAGAAGCUCGAAUGUAUGGUGGGAUGUUCAGGUGAAAGGGGAAGAGAAAGUCUGUAAUACUAAGUCUGGCAGAAAAUAUUGGGAAAAAUUAUUUAAAAAAGUCAUAAACCUAUUACACUUUACCAAUUGAAUCCCAAACAUUUUUAACUUUUGCCAUUUGAGUCAAUCUGAUCAAUUUUGGCCCAAAAUUCUUGACAUGGACGACUGACAUUGAUGUGGCACUUUUUAAAUAAUAUUUUUAUAAAUAUUUAAUAUUUUUUUUUUACUUUUUUUUUUUUUUUAGGAGUUAGGGCCAAUGAGGGUGGCCGGCCAACCCUUGCCGAUUCUGGGCAAGGGCUUGCGCGCCCUCGCUUUUGCUAGGGAGGGCAUCAUGGCCCUUGCCCAGAGCUGGCAAGGGGCACAACACCCUCGCCACGAGCCGGCAAGGGGCACGACACCCUCGCCAUGGGCCGACGAGGGUCAAUUGGCCCUAGCUUGUGGCUGGCGAGGGCAGCCAACCCUUGCCUAUGGUCAGCGAGCAGCCAACCGCCAUUGCCGGCCUUAACUCUAAAUCCAAAAAAUAAAUAAAAAAUAAAAAAGGAAAAGUAAAAAAAAGAAAAAAGUUAUAAAAAUUUAAAAUAUUUUUAAAAAAGUCUGACGUUGGUGUCGGUUGUCCACGUCAGCAAUGUCUAACCAAAAUUGGCCAGAUAGACUCAAUUGGUAAAAGUUGAAAAGGUUGGGGACUCAAUUGAUAAAAGUACAGUAGAUUUAAUACUUUUUGAUCAAUUUUCCCAAAAUAUUGAUAAACAUAGAAAUCAUCUGACUAGUUGUUGAUAUUUAGGGUGCACCGUAUGUCUGUGCUACACCACCCAACCAAUUAUUUUGGGCGAUUAUGAUACUCUACGUCAUGGGCCAAGAGGGCGUGGUCUUUCUCCUCCCACUAUAGAUAUUGCAUGGCCUGCGUGACUAGAGUUCACACAGCACAGCUCAUCACUAGGGCAUCUCGUGUUGAGCUCUGAAACCUUUCGUUCUCAAAUAUUUCCUCCAGUUGAGCUGCCAUCUUUGAUUUCCUGAGUAGAGAGAGGGACAAUGGCCAUUUUCUCGACCGAUAAUCCAUGUGCUUUUUCUCUUGGCUUCCUAGGUAUAUCGUUUUAACUACACAGGAUCUAACUUGUAAUCUCACUUAGUAUCUUCAUCAAACUAGAGUUAACAUGCACAUUAUAAGUUGUGCCAUCACUAACUCCUAUCCCAUCAAGAUACUUAUCCCAUCAUAAGGCCAUGGACUGAUUCAUUUGUCAUAUUUUCUGAUAAUUCUUUGUCCCACGUAAUCUCAUAUAUUUCCUGGUCUUUUUGACCCCAGUGUAAGUUCAUCCUCUCGAUCAACUUUUAUUUUAGCUUAGCAGAAGGGUCUGGAAGUAUGAUCUUGACCGACUGAUUAAUAAGGUUCUUGCAACUCUUUUUUUGUUUAUGUUGGCAGACCAACAUUUUAUAGGGUAUGCAAGAAGAAGUCGACCGAAGGAUUUCAAUCAGUUCCGUACGUGGUUUCUCUGUUCAACGCCAUGCUUUGGAUAUAAUACGCAUCCCUCAACUCCAAGUUCAAUUAUUUCCUUCUCAUCACUAUCAACUCAGUGGGAAGUGUCAUAGAGACCGUCUAUGUCGCUAUCUACAUUGCUUAUUCUACUUAAAAAGCCAAGGUACAUAGUUACCUAUCCGAUCAUGUUUACGUGAUAUCGUCACAAUUCAUACACAGUUGAUAUGUGACAGUACACGUUGUUAAAGAAGGUUUUUUAAUAUUAUAAAUCUGUGUGUGCAUGUGACACAAUCCAAGGACGAGCAUGAUCCAAGACAUUCAAAUGAUGGGCCGUGUCCCACACAAGGGCUAGCCCAUGAGGUGCCCACGAACAACCUAUAAGCAAUGCGAGAGCCGGCCCAUGAGCAAUGCGGGAACAAGCCCUCGACCAUUCGGCUUCCUUGUAUCAGGCUACCCUUCGGUUCCAACGAACUGUCCUUGCUGAUCCAUGACAUAUGUCCAUCGAGUUCUCCCAUGGCCUAGGGCCUCUUGAGCUUCUAGUGUAACCUUGUAAUAAUUGUACAUAUUCAAACGUGACUAUUGGGUCAGAGAGGGAUUUGUUGAAGAGGGAUUAACGGCUAGGAUCAGACCUGUACUUGUAUAAAUAGGGGACUCUCCCCCCUCACUUGUACACUUUUAUUCACAAGCUACUACAAUCCGAGUUUCACUCUCAUACUUCACUCUUAUGAGCUGAGUACAUGUGUAAGGCUAAAUUGAGAUCAAAUCCUAGGCCACACAGAUAGGGAACGUUGGAUUUGAUCAACCCAUGACAAGUGGUAUCAGAGCCUUUGUUCCAAGCACAAUGGCUAAUCCUCAUUCCGAUGUUGUGAUCGUUCAAGGCAAAGAUCGAGAGGAUCAUGGAAGACUGAUCGAGAAGGUCACUUGAUGAACCAUGCUGUCUCAAGCUCGAAGGAUCCGAAAGGCGACUUGGUGAACCAAAUGACGGAUCUAGAGGAGACCAUCACAAAUGUCCAAGGGAUGGUGGACGACCUGAACCAGACCGUCGAGGGAGCGGAAGCCGAAAGGGAGGAGUUCUUGACCAAGGUGCAAGAACUCAACGCCAACAUGGGAGAGCUCCGCGUCAAGGUGCUGGGGUCCCUCAUCCAUGAGUUGCAGUAGCGGAAUGAAACCUGGGAGGCCAUGAUGGCAGCCAUGUGCAUGAAGAUUGCUGAGCUCAAAGGCAACCUCGCAGAGGUUGAAGCGGCAAGCAUGAACGAGGUGGUCACCAUGCAAGCAAACUCACGUACUGACACACCCAAGUCAAGGGAGUUCAAGAGCUAGCGGGCGGCCAAGGACGUGGAUAAUUUCUUGUGGUACAUAAAACGAUACUUCUAGGCCACAUAAAUUAAUGACGAUACGUCUUGGGUUAACAUCGCAUUAAUGUAUUUAGUUGAUAACGCAUUGUUGUUGUGGCGUUGUCGGUCAGAUGAUAGAUGUGGCGACCCUAUCACGACAUGGGCUCGACUCGUUGAGGAAUUUCAACGGAACUACUAUCCCACAUAUGCGAAGGAUAAAGCUCACGAUGAAUUCAAACAUCUUGAACAAAAUGGCGUAGUUCCCGACUAUGUGAUAGGGGUGUGCAACUGGACUGGGUUUACUCGGAAACCAAAUUGGCCCAUCUGAAAAAAUGGGAUCAAGAACCAAUUCCCGUUGAAACCAGUCCAAGAAUUGGUUCCCAAAAUUCAGAACUAGUUUGAACUGGUUCGGAGUAAAUACCCACCUGAGAACAGGAUCAAUUAGACGAGUUCAGGAACCGGUUUUGUAAACCCAACCCCAAAAGUCCAAAACCCUAUUUUCUUCCCUUGAUUUCCUAUCUCUCACAGACUUGCACGGCAUUUUUCCCUUCAUCAUUCUUGACUCCCUUCCUCGCUCGCUUUCGUCCAUCUCCUCGCUCCAACCAUCGUCAACUCCCUCUCGCUCUGUUUUGUCUAUCACCAGCUCUCUCAUCUAUAAGCUCGCAAAUUUCCUUAGUUUUUCUGGACUUUUCUUUCAAAUUGAAGCUUGGUUCCUCUCUUUUUCUUUGGGGUGCUUUCCCGAACUGGAUUUCUUGUCAGAUUGGUGGAAAAGUUUGCAUUUUUUUGUCUAUAUGGGAACCCACAAUGAGUGGCUAGGGUAAGGUGGGAGAGAGAGAAGAAGUCGUAGAACUCGAAAAGCUUCAACGUUGGGUGAAUCGCUGCCAUGUAGAGGCUCUACAAGAUCACGAAGACGGGUGGAUCCGCCGGGCUCUCGCCCCCUCUGGCCUUUUCAUCAGAUGGCGACGAGGGCAACGACGACUUACGUGGUUGGUGGGUCCAGGCCUUCUUGGAACGCGCGUCAGGGAAAACGGAGGCGGCAAUCUACUGUACAUGCGAGACGGCCUAGGCUUCUUCCAUGUAAUCCUCUGCGUGAGCUUUCUCCUCGGCUUAGUGAAAAGUUUGUGUUUUUUUUUUUGUUCAUAUGCCGUUGAUGUUGCUGCUUUUGUUGUUGAUGGCGCUAGAUUUGGAAUUAAUUGUUUGGGGUUAAUUGUUCCUUCAACUAGCAAAACACACAAAUCCACAUCUUUACUCUCGAAAUCAAAGCUAGCAGAAGAAGAGGAGGAAAACCCACCAAAACACUUCUCAGUACUCAUUGCAGGAAUGAGACUAAUAUUAGACUCAUGUUUAUUGCUAAUGUUUAUGCAAUGUUAAGAUUUUUGCUUUGCCUUAUGAUUUUGUUUAUAAUAAUUAGCCUUGUGGAUCCUUAGUUUGUUGUUUAGUCAAAAAAUUCAUGUACUUAUUGAUUACAAGUGCUUAAUGUUUCAAUACAAAUUAGGAAGAUUACAUUUUUUUUCUCGCAUAUUAAUAUAAAAUUCAAAACCAUAUAGGUAGGAUAUCGAGUGAUUGCAAAAUAGGUUCGAGUGGAAAGAAGAUUAACCCUUAAACUAGAUAAAAAAAAAUGGUGGUUCAGGUACAGGGUCCAAUGGAAAUAAGGUCGAGCACAGGGUCCAGAAAAGGGAAACCGGUUAUAACAAGGUCAAGUACAAGAUCCAGGUCUAGAACCUACCUAUCUUGGACCCAAUCACCCUUACUAAGUGAAGUGAUUCUCAAAGAUUCUGCUCCAAAUCUUGUCCAAGAGCGAGACAGAGGCAUAUCACCAAUUCAUAAGUGGAUGCAAGCCAUAGGUCAAGCAAGAGCUCAAGUAGUGCCACGCGGCGGAUCUUGCAAGGACUAUGUCCGUGGUCAAGUUCCUUGUGGAGUACAAGUCACCUUCCAUGAAAAGUCCAGUGGGGGAGAUCAGGAAAGAUUCAAUCGCCCGUAUGAAGCCAAACCACUGACGGCAACACCUAAGACACAACUGGAGUUGAGUGGAUGGGGACAAUAGAAGGUGUGCACAUACAAGUGUUUCUUUUGCAAUUAUCCUCACAUGGCUCGAGAUUGUCCCAAGAGGGGCAAACUAGUAGCCCUAUUCAAGGAGGACAAGUCGUGAGAGGAGGCACAAUUGGGUUCACUACGCAUCCUUUGUUCGAUCAAAACAAGAAGGAGAAGGAACCCAAAGACAUGAUGUUUGUGGAUGUAAAGAUUAGAGAUACCACGAUGAGGGCGCUUGUGGAUACCGAGGCGUCCAACAUCUUCAUAUCCCAAGAGGCCGCUAAGAAACUGAAUCUUUUAGCCGAAAAGGGAGGAGCCGAUUGGUUCAGAGUAGUAAACUCCAAGGAAGUCUCGACUAGCGGCAUGGCUAAAGACAUAGAGCUCCAUCUUAGUCCGUGGACCAGCAAAGAAAAUAUCGAGAUAAUCACCUUUGACGACUAUGACUUUGUGUUAAGUUUUGGAUUCCUCGAAAGGAUCAAUGUGGGCAUUAUGCCAUUCGCGGAUUACAUAUACAUCCUUUAUAAGCACCGCCAAUGCAUGGUCUCGAUCCAUCAUGAGUUGGAAUGCGAUAGAAAGAUGCUAUCGGCCAUGCAGCUAUCGAAGGGAGCAAGGAAGGGCGAGGUGACCUAAGUCCUCAAUUCGUUUCAAGAUGUGAUGCCACUCAAGUUGCCCAAGAAGCUUUGGCCUCGAAGAGAGGUGGACCAUUGGAUCAAGCUCGUGCUCGAUGCUCAGUCACUGGCUAUGACACCCCACCGCAUGGCACCGCCCGAGUUGGAAGAAUUGCAUAAACAGCUCAAGGAGUUGCUCAAUGUGGGAUACCUUUGACCAUCCAAGGCUCGGUUCAGUGCCCUAGUCCUAUUCCAAGAGAAGCACAACAGAUCUCUUCGGAUGUGCAGGUAUUAAACAAGCUCACCAUAAAAAAUAAGUAUCUGAUCCCUCUCAUUGCAGACCUAUUUGAUUAGCUUGGGGAAGCUCGGUGGUUUACCAAGCUUGAUAUUCGAUUGAGCUACUACAAGUUCAAAUCAUCAAGGGAGACGAGCCGAAGAACAUGUGCAUGACACGCUAUGACUAAUAUGAUUUCCUCGUCAUGCCAUUCGGCUUGACUAAUACGUUGGCCACAUUCUACACUCUAAUGAAUAAGGUACUCCACCCGUUCCUUGAUCUAUUCCUUGUGGUGUACUCAAUGAUAAUGUAGUGCAUAGCCGGACUCUCGAAGAACACGUCGAGUACUUAAGGCAAGUCUUCCAAAUCUUGCGGGAGAAUGAUAUGUACGUGAAGUGUGAGAAAUGCGCCUUCGCGCAAGAGGAAGUUCUUUUCCUUGGGCACAUAAUUGGGGGUGGACGAGUGUGAAUGGAUGCGGCUAAAAUCUGUGCCAUCAUUGAAUGAGAACCACCGACCAAGGUGACAGUGCUAAGAUCAUUCCUUGGUCUCACAAACAACUAACAACACUUCAUUUAAAGCUAUUCAAGCCUCAUUGCGCCACUCAUGGACAUGUUGGAAAAGGAAAGGCCAUGGGAGUGGAUGGAUCAGUGUCAAGAGGCAUUCGAUCAAUUGAAGCGGACCAUAACCGAAGACCCAGUACAUGUUGUCUGACCAUGCCAAGCCAUAUGAGGUAGAAACCGAUGCCUCUGAUUUUGCUAUCGGUAGUGUUCUUAUAUAGGAUGGGCACCCAGUUGCCUUCAAAUCUCAAAAUUUGAAUGAUAUCAAGUGGCGAUACACGGUCCAAGAGAAAGAGAUGAUCACGGUGGUGCAUUGCCUUCAUACGUGGAGGCAUUAUUUCUUGGGAUCCUGAUUCAUCAUGAGGAUGGACAAUGUGGCCACGAGCUACUUCCAAACUCAAAAGAAACUCACUUCGAAGGAAACUCGGUGGCAAAACUUCUUAGUCUAGUUCUAUUAUGUGCUAGAGUAUAAGCCGAGAAAGGCUAAUUCCAUGGUGGACGCCUUGGUUGGAAGUUGGAACUGGCAAAUAUAGCAAGUCGACCCAACUAUCCGUGGAUCAACCGUAUCAAGAAGGGGCUCGAGCACAACCCUAGAGCCCAAGUGCUCCUUAAGUACGUGUAGAAGGGCAAGACAAGGCAAUUAUGGCAUGAGGACGGCCUUUUUUACACCAAGGGACAACAACUCCAUGUGUCACUCCACGGGAAGCUGAGGAAAGAAGUUCUACACGAGUGCCAUGACUCCAAAUGGAUAGGUCAUCCAGGAAUUCACCACAUCAUGGCACUCGUUAAGGAUUAAUAUUAUUGGUCUCACAUGCAGGACAAUGUUGAAGCUUAUGUGCGGACAUGUCUUGUAUGCCAAUAAAACAAGAUUGAAUAAUAGUCAUCGUCAAGGCUCCUUGAGCCAUUGCUUAUCCCGGAGUGUCCAUUUGAGAGUGUCUCCCUCGACUUCAUUAUUAAUUUUCCCAAGUUCGAAGGAUGCCGGACCCUCAUAGUCGUUAUGGAUUGGUUCUCCAAAUAUGCAAAGUUCGUGCCCGUGACUAAAGAUUGCCCAGCCCAGAAGGCGACUAAGCUAUUCAUCAAGCAUGUCAUCAAGUAUUGAGGGAUACCACGAACAAUCACGUGCGAUCACGAUCCUUGAUUCACCGAGCGGUUUUGGACUGAGCUCUUGAAGUUGCUGAGGUCAAACGUCAACUUCUCCAAAGUUUGCAUCCCCAAACUGACAUUCAGAUGGAGAGGGUGAAUGCACUCAUCGAAAUAUACCUCCGGCAUUAUGUGAGCACCAUGCAAGUAAACUAGGCAAAGCUAACUAAUGUGGCCCAAUUCUCCUACAACAUACAGUGGAGUGAGUCCACAAACCAGAGCCCGUUUAAGAUCGUAACGGGGCAACAACCAAGCACGGUUGCCUCAGGCUAUCGAGGGAGUAGUCCGCUGGCAUACAAGUUCACAAAGAAAUGGCACGAACAAGUGGACUUGGCGCGAGCGUGUCUACACAAGGCCGCAAAACAUAUGAAGAAAUGGGCCGACAAGAAGCGAUGGCACGUGAAAUUCCAAGUCAGUAACCCAAUGCUAGCCAAGUUACAUUUGACCUCCGAUAUCGAGACAUGCAUAAGGGACUGAUCCAUCACUAUGAAGGCCCCUUCUGAGUGUUGCAACGGAUCGGAAAAAAAGCAUACAAGCUCGACUUGCCGUCCAAACUCAAGGUACAUCGGCAGAAGUACACCCCAAGUGCCAAAACUUGGCACGGAGGGGCACUUCAAUACCAAAAGUUUGGAAAGGUACACUUAAGUACUAAAUCGAAGCAAAUUGAUCACUUAAGUGCCACUCCGGCCAAAUCCNNNNNNNNNNNNNNNNNNNNNNNNNNNNNNNNNNNNNNNNNNNNNNNNNNNNNNNNNNNNNNNNNNNNNNNNNNNNNNNNNNNNNNNNNNNNNNNNNNNNNNNNNNNNNNNNNNNNNNNNNNNNNNNNNNNNNNNNNNNNNNNNNNNNNNNNNNNNNNNNNNNNNNNNNNNNNNNNNNNNNNNNNNNNNNNNNNNNNNNNNNNNNNNNNNNNNNNNNNNNNNNNNNNNNNNNNNNNNNNNNNNNNNNNNNNNNNNNNNNNNNNNNNNNNNNNNNNNNNNNNNNNNNNNNNNNNNNNNNNNNNNNNNNNNNNNNNNNNNNNNNNNNNNNNNNNNNNNNNNNNNNNNNNNNNNNNNNNNNNNNNNNNNNNNNNNNNNNNNNNNNNNNNNNNNNNNNNNNNNNNNNNNNNNNNNNNNNNNNNNNNNNNNNNNNNNNNNNNNNNNNNNNNNNNNNNNNNNNNNNNNNNNNNNNNNNNNNNNNNNNNNNNNNNNNNNNNNNNNNNNNNNNNNNNNNNNNNNNNNNNNNNNNNNNNNNNNNNNNNNNNNNNNNNNNNNNNNNNNNNNNNNNNNNNNNNNNNNNNNNNNNNNNNNNNNNNNNNNNNNNNNNNNNNNNNNNNNNNNNNNNNNNNNNNNNNNNNNNNNNNNNNNNNNNNNNNNNNNNNNNNNNNNNNNNNNNNNNNNNNNNNNNNNNNNNNNNNNNNNNNNNNNNNNNNNNNNNNNNNNNNNNNNNNNNNNNNNNNNNNNNNNNNNNNNNNNNNNNNNNNNNNNNNNNNNNNNNNNNNNNNNNNNNNNNNNNNNNNNNNNNNNNNNNNNNNNNNNNNNNNNNNNNNNNNNNNNNNNNNNNNNNNNNNNNNNNNNNNNNNNNNNNNNNNNNNNNNNNNNNNNNNNNNNNNNNNNNNNNNNNNNNNNNNNNNNNNNNNNNNNNNNNNNNNNNNNNNNNNNNNNNNNNNNNNNNNNNNNNNNNNNNNNNNNNNNNNNNNNNNNNNNNNNNNNNNNNNNNNNNNNNNNNNNNNNNNNNNNNNNNNNNNNNNNNNNNNNNNNNNNNNNNNNNNNNNNNNNNNNNNNNNNNNNNNNNNNNNNNNNNNNNNNNNNNNNNNNNNNNNNNNNNNNNNNNNNNNNNNNNNNNNNNNNNNNNNNNNNNNNNNNNNNNNNNNNNNNNNNNNNNNNNNNNNNNNNNNNNNNNNNNNNNNNNNNNNNNNNNNNNNNNNNNNNNNNNNNNNNNNNNNNNNNNNNNNNNNNNNNNNNNNNNNNNNNNNNNNNNNNNNNNNNNNNNNNNNNNNNNNNNNNNNNNNNNNNNNNNNNNNNNNNNNNNNNNNNNNNNNNNNNNNNNNNNNNNNNNNNNNNNNNNNNNNNNNNNNNNNNNNNNNNNNNNNNNNNNNNNNNNNNNNNNNNNNNNNNNNNNNNNNNNNNNNNNNNNNNNNNNNNNNNNNNNNNNNNNNNNNNNNNNNNNNNNNNNNNNNNNNNNNNNNNNNNNNNNNNNNNNNNNNNNNNNNNNNNNNNNNNNNNNNNNNNNNNNNNNNNNNNNNNNNNNNNNNNNNNNNNNNNNNNNNNNNNNNNNNNNNNNNNNNNNNNNNNNNNNNNNNNNNNNNNNNNNNNNNNNNNNNNNNNNNNNNNNNNNNNNNNNNNNNNNNNNNNNNNNNNNNNNNNNNNNNNNNNNNNNNNNNNNNNNNNNNNNNNNNNNNNNNNNNNNNNNNNNNNNNNNNNNNNNNNNNNNNNNNNNNNNNNNNNNNNNNNNNNNNNNNNNNNNNNNNNNNNNNNNNNNNNNNNNNNNNNNNNNNNNNNNNNNNNNNNNNNNNNNNNNNNNNNNNNNNNNNNNNNNNNNNNNNNNNNNNNNNNNNNNNNNNNNNNNNNNNNNNNNNNNNNNNNNNNNNNNNNNNNNNNNNNNNNNNNNNNNNNNNNNNNNNNNNNNNNNNNNNNNNNNNNNNNNNNNNNNNNNNNNNNNNNNNNNNNNNNNNNNNNNNNNNNNNNNNNNNNNNNNNNNNNNNNNNNNNNNNNNNNNNNNNNNNNNNNNNNNNNNNNNNNNNNNNAUCCUUCAACAGCAUCCACUCGACCCCCCUGUUUUCUUAAUUUUAAGUUUUUUUAUUUUUAAAAAUAUUUUAAAUAAAUUUAGUUUUAAUUUUAAUUUAAUUAAUUUUUAUAUUAAUUAUUUACCACAUCAGAGACAAAACGACGUCGUUUUUGCAUUUUCUAGCCACGUCAACGUGCAAAACGAUGUCAUUUUGCACUCACCUCGUCGGAAAAUUGCCACGUCAGCAAUUUGGCUGGAUUUUGGCCGGAGUGGCACUUAAGUGAUCCAUUUUGCUCCGAUUUUGGCACUUAAGUGUACCUUUCCAAACUUUUGGCACUUAAAUGUCCCUCUGUGUCAAGUUUAGCACUCCAGGUGUUCGUACCUCAGGCACAUCCAAUGUUCCAUAUGAAUAUGCUCAAACCUUUCUAUGUAGAUAAGGAAGACCUGGACCGAAGGGAAUCACAACAGGCACCCCUUAGGGCAAAAAUCUCGAACAAUCAAAACGUCGAGUACAUCAUGGCUGACCGAGUCAUACAUAAGAGGUAUUGCAUGCCCAAGAAGGAAUACCUGGUCUAAUGGAAGAGCGUUCCGCAGAGUGAAGCGAGUUGGGAACUGUCCAAAACUCUUUAUAGUUCAAGAAUCACAUCAACGCAUUCCAUGCCAAAGAGCGACAAGGGCGUCAUCCGAAUAGAUGUGAGAGAUUGACACGGCUCAAGGACGAGCAUGAUCCAAGACGUCCAAAUGAAGGGUCUUGUCCCACACAAGGGCUAGCCCAUGAGCACCCACGAACGACCCAUGAGCAAUAGAGUCGGCUUAUGAGCAAUGCAAGAAGAAGUCGACGACCGUUCGGCUUCCUUGUGUCAGGUGACCCUUCAAUUCCCACAGACUAACCUUGUAGACCCAUGACAGAAAUCCCUUGAGUUCACCCAUGGCCUAGGGCCUCUUGAGCUUCUGGUGCAACCUUAUAAUGAUUGUAUAUAUUCAAAUACGACCGUUGGAUCGAAGAGGGAUCAACAGCUAGAAUCAGACCCAUACUUGUAUAAACAGGGGACCCUUUCCCCUCACUUGUACACUCUUGUUCACAAGCUAAUACAAUUCAAGCUUCACUCUUAUACUUUGUUCUUGUGAGCUGAGUACAUGUGUGAGGCUAACUUGGGAUCAAAUCCUAAGGCUACACAGGUAGGAGUUAUCAGAAUCAAUCGACCCGUGACACAUGCAUGCAGGUUUUUACAAUGAAGUAGAUAGUGAUGGGCUUUGGAGGGUUUUGUUCCUUUCUUCUCAUCUUGUUUCUUAACAAAUGGAUCAACAAAGGUCCAACUAUUGGGGUUUCAUGAAUUAUGUAUAGGUAAAAUUAACAAAAAGAACGCAGCGAAAACAAAGAUGAUAUAUUUUAUACAUGAUUCUCCGAAGGCGUUAUUUGUGCGUUUUAAUCAAAAAUAUGAAUAUAAAAAGGGAGUUAAAAAUACCACCAGUCAUGGUGGCUCUGCUGGAUAAGAGCUCCGUUGAUCCUUGCCUAAAAGUGAGGGGUUCGAAACCCAGUGAAGGCGCUUGGUGUCUUAAGCGGGAUGUCAGGGUGGUGGGUCCUCCGCUAGCAUUCCCCCAAGUUUGCUCGGCCGACUGCCGGCUGUACGGGGUUCCUAGAUUAUCAAAAAAAAAAAAAAGGGAGUUAAAUGAAUUACCUCUUGAAGCACGUUUUAAACGAAUUGGUUCGGAUGUUCUACAGUUCGAGCCCCACAAACGUCGGAUCUCUAAUUCAGACACACUAACAAUGGACGUCGAAUGGAAGAAAGAACUUUCGGAUAAUCGCCACUAUGAUCGUGCUAGCAAUCUCGUGGAAACAAUCCGCCGUAUCCUUGAUGUAUUAUAUUCACGGCCCGAACAAGAGAACACUCUUCUUUCUACACAAGAACACGCACACUUUCUCUCCAUUUUCAGCAACCCCUUGAUUUGUUGCAAAACCAGCAUUUAUUUUAAAAUUUCUCACGAAUCAGCAAUGGUUGCUGAUUGUGGGUUCAGCAACCAUUGCUGAUCUCUUCGAAACUCAUGCACGAAGCUUCAUGCAUGAUGCUUCAUGCAUGAAGCUUCCCAAUUAAUAAUAAUAAUAAUAAUAAUAAUAAUAAUAAUAAUAAUAAUAAUAAUAAUAAUAAUAAUAAGCAUUGAUUAAUUGAUUAAUUAAAUGAAUAAAUAAAUAAUUAAUCAAUCCCCUUAAAGAAAAAUAAAAAUAAAAAUGACAUAAUCUUUAUAUGUACAUUUGGGGUACAUUAACAUGUAUUCACUUUGGGCAUGCGUGUGCAUCAUAUGCAAGUAGGCUCGUGACUAUAAUACAAAUUAAAUUAAAUCUCAUUUAAUUUAAUUUUAAAUCAACUCAAUUCAAUUGCAGUAAUUGCAAACGCAUUUGCAAUAAUAUUUCUCUCUUGUUCCACGUUAUCCUAAUGGUUUAUGGUGUGUGACAUCCCUAGAUUCAUCACUAAGCUGGUAGUAAUACUUGUACUAACACAUUAGUACUCCCAAAAGAAUUAAUUGUCCCGAUUAAUCUUUGGGUCCUACAAGCCAUGAUUGACAUCUAGCAAUAUGUCAUGGCUACCCAAAUAGUGUGAAUGCUUUAAGAACAUAAUGAACCUGUGACAUCCCAAAUUUCUGAUUCUGUUUUCAAUUAAAUAAGUCCAGCUUUUCAUCGACGCGCUUAUAGUUCAAUUCUUUGAGCUGAUCACUCACAAUAUAACUAUUCUAUCAGGUGAAGCUGUUAAGGAAUCUAAAUGCAAUGGACUUGAGAAUUUGACUAGGAAUCGACUGCUCGACUGUGUUAAUCUGCAAGUGUCAUUACAACACUGUCAGAAUCGAACAGAUAUCAAUGAUAGGUCGAUUCGACUGAGAUAUGUGAUUAGAGUGUGGGUGAUUCCACCUGAUUUCAAUAUUCUCAUCGACCGACAUUAGACCGAUUUUUCUGUCAUUUUGGGUAUCCUGUGUCCGUAUUUGAAAUCUCGAGAUUUUCAUGACAACCGAGAGUCGCCAAUGUGUCGAAAAUCUAUGCUGUGGAUCGAAAACAAUCGACAACGGUCAAUUGCACUGAAAAUUCCUAAAAGUUACUCGGUAGAGAGCUUGUUUUUUCUGAAGAGGAGAUGGUGAAGGUGAUCUUGGCGGGUGAAGCUUGGGAUGUAGUACUGUAUUCUGGUGGUGGAGGUGGUGCAUAAGAAACCAUGAAUUGGUAUUUAUCACCCUCACCAAGAGUAUCAAUGGAGGGAUCUCCGUUUAAGUAUCUUUGGUACACCUUAUCCUUUGGCCUUUUCCUUUGGGGUGGAGGUUUAGCAAAAGGAUCUACCUCGUAAGGCGAAUUUGUACAAUAGAAACAUUGGCAAAAAAGAUCCCAAAAACAGUGUCCAUAGUUGUCUUUGUAGUAAUGGACCGGAUGUCCAUCACUGUUGAAGUGUCGAACAAGCUUUUUUGGAUCUGGCUCGGAAAUUGAUUGAGGAACACAUGGUUCGAUCAUGAAGAGGGUCUGGAAUAUAGAAGGACUUUCUUCCUUUUCCUUGCCAAAUUUGAUGGAAACAGUUCCAUCAUUUUUCUGGACGAACUCAGAGUCCGUAGACUGGAAAGGCUUGUUAUGCUGGUGUAGCUUUUCGUAGUUGGUAAUCCAAGUUUCUGGAAGGAGCUUGGCCAACGUAUCCUUCGGGAUAUGUCUGGGAACAUGGAUGCAUGAUGCCUGAUCAUUCUGCAUGGAGAUAAACAAAGCAUCUUCAUUACCAUUGUUGAAAUUGAGGUCGAGAGCAUGAUUCUGCACUCGAUACACCAUCUGGUAAUGUAGGGUUGCAGCUAUAGAGUCAGCAGUUUGAGGAGCUCCAGUGAGCUGGACUUGAACUUUUAGAAAAGAGAGUAGCUGGGGGUCUGAAAGAGUGAUGUUGAAGUUUGGAUACAGAGUCACAAAGAUUGUUCGAGCAUUCAAAGUAGUUUGGACAGUACCGAUGCAAGCAUGCUGGUAUUGUAAAAACCUGGUAUCCAACAACGCAAUUCUUGCCACAACUAGCAAACCUUUACGCAAUUCCCCUGACAAGGUAGAUCCUUUUACAAAACCUCCACUCCGAAGGAAAAGGCCAAAGGAUAAGGUGUACCAAAGAUACUUAAACGGAGAUCCCUUCGUUGAUACUCUUGGUGAGGGUUAUAAAUACCAGUUCAUGGUUUCUUAUGCACCACCUCCACCACCAGAAUACAGUACUACAUCCCAAGCUUCACCAGAUCCACCAAGAUCACCUCCACCAUCUCCUCCUCAGAAAAAACAAGCUCUCUCCCCGUUUUAUAAGCCAAUCCUAAAAUGGGCUAAGAAGUAUUCUUACCCACUUGAAGCCCCAGCAGAAACACCACCCACUUCUUCCAUUGCUAUGUUCCAUGAUACUGACUUUUCCCCUCUUGUCAGAGAAAGUUCUAAACUCUCGUUUCCCGCUUCAGAGGAAUUCAUUGAUCCACAAGGCAGAUAUCGCCAUGUUCCUAAGAUAGCUGCCCCCACUGAUGUGGAUGAACAUGGAAGACAGAAAAGAACUCCUACUGCUGAAGCUGUUCUAAAUUGGCAAUCAGAGACUCUGUUAGCACAAAACAAUGCCUUUAAGGCAAUUGAUUCCAAGAUUGGAAAUGUGCAACAAGAUCUCCGAAAGUAUGAUGAGACAACCAAAAAAAAAAUGGUUUCUGAAUUCCAGAAGAGGCUACAUGCCUUGGAAUUAGGACAACAUCUAGGGUAUCAUCAUCUAGAGAGCCCGAAGCUAGAGAUAGAAAAACUCAAGAGGCAAAUCCAACUCCUUGAAGAAGGAAGGUUCAGACCUUUCGAUCCCUUCGCAACUACUGUCAGAACUGGGUAUUUGCCUCCACCACCCCAGACGUCCAUUUUUGCUACCAUCCUAGAAGAUUCUUUCAGAAAAGAACCAAAUAUGGCAGAAUUACGAGAUCGUAUCAAAAAGUUGCAGAAAGACAAAUGAAAAGAAAAGAUGCCUACAGAAUCAAGUUCGAUUGUCAUAAAAGAAAGGCCAGAUCAGAUGAUGUUAUUUAAUCCAUUAGAAUCUUUUCUAAAGGAUUUGGGUACUCAGGAACAACCUGAGCCUGUUAUUCAACAGCCAGAUCCUGCCAUUCCAGAUGAUCAGAUUCUGUUCCCAGCUGAACAAACUUCUCCUAGCAUCUUUGAUACUGAAUCAGAUUCAGUAUCCCUUUCGUCCUCUUCAUCCUUCUCGAUUCCUACUAUUGAUUCCCUCCCCAUUGAGCCAAUCACUUCAUCAAUAUUCAUGGCUGAUUCUCCGGAUCAUGAGAUGGAAUCAAACUAUUCUGAGCCAGAAAAUGUUCAGACAGACAAUCCCGGAUGGCAUGUGUCCAUGGCAUCAAAACAAUUUUUCACCAUCGAUGAUAUUUCUUAUCACAAAUGGCCAGAAAGACUUGAAGAAUUUUCAUACUUGGUUGAAUACUCAGUCCAUAACCAACCAUGAUAUGAAUGAUGUCCUUUACAACUUUGUUACGAGGUUCUCAGGAAGCCUCAAACUUUGGUGGAAAUUAGUUUCAGAACAAGACCAAAUUCAUUUUCUAAUGUCACCUGAUUUCAACCAUGCCAUCACUAUCUUAUAUCAUGUCUUUGUGGGAAAACCCACUGACCUCAUAGAAAUGAAAAGAAGAGAAUUUUUCGAAAGAAAAUGUUGCUCUCUCCAGAAGAAAUAUCUUGAUAAGCAUUAUCGAAUAAUGCUUCAGCUUUUCUAUCAAAUUGGAGCAGAUCCAAAUCUGAAACAUGUUCUCAUAACUUCCAAGAUCAUGAAAUGACAAGUGCAGAUGACAUUGUCCAAUCCACUCAAGACAUGUUCUCCUAAUUUCUGUCAUGUCAUAAUUCAUUUUAGGAACGUCGAAUCAUCCUCAGAAGAUUUUUUUGCAAACCGAGAAUUUUGGUGGAAAAGCAAAGUAAGGCCGUUUUUUAUGGGGAAAAUCCGAGGGCCAUUUUUGGUCAUGCUUUUGGGAUGCAAGUUGGAUCAUUUGAUGAGGAAAAAUCAUAAGAGAGACAAGGACACAUACGCUGAUUUAUUUGAGCUUCAAUGGAAUUGAAUUGAGAGAGAAUUGAAUGGAUUUGAGGGAUAAAUGUCCAAAAUUCGUAGCCCCCCAUGGUACACAACAUAUUGGACACUUUGGCAAGCUUCUUGAGGAAGAUAAGGAGAGGAAAAGGCUAGGGGGAGGGCGGGCCAAGGUGGGGGCAAGAGAGAGGAGAAAGGGGCAAGUGUUGAGUCCUUAGAAGCCAUUUUGGGGUCCCCCCUUCAACAGCCACUUCUUCUUCUUCCUUUGGCUUUGCUUUCUCCAUGUUUGGUCUGCCUUGAAGCUCCAAAGAACCAGAGAAAUUGAUCUGCACCUUCCCCUCCAUCGUCGCACGCCCACCGGACCAUUUUCCUCCUCUGUUUUCCUUUAUUCCAAUUUCUGCUCCAGCUGACCUUUCGCCAAAGAUCCGAGUAAAAAGUCGACUUCCCAUGCGAAUCAGCCCCCAAGCCACCCACUGUCGUGACCAGCACACCCAGUCCAUACGGACGGUGGUCGCCGAUUGCCAAACGAAGCCGCCAACCGUCCUGUACACCGGCGAGAAGCUACCGGUCACCGGUCCGUCGAUCCCCUGCCAGCCUGCACUGUUUCACGAUUUUCUUCAUUUUUCUCCCAUUCCGACCAUUCCUUUGGCAGUCUCAUCCACCUACAAGACCCCCUUGACCCCCAGGAGCCACCGGUUGCCGACCACCCGCUCGUCGGAGCUCCAAUCGACCCAUUUCCUCGCCGUUCAGCCUUGGUUCUCCUCUGUCCAGCAAGAACAGAAGCAGAAACCGAACCAGCAAGGAGUCUAAGACUUCGUGGCCCGUUUCCGAGCCCUUCCCGGCCUCGCUUGGUGUCACCACAAGCUUGAUUGUCGCCCGCCUCGCCGUCGCUGUCACCAUGGACUCACCACCGGCUCGCAAAUCCGGUGAGUUUACUCACUAAUCUCCACUUAUGGAGUUAAUUAUACUUAAGAGGUGUUUAGAUUAUUCUAAGUAUGUUUAGGUAGUUAGAUUAGCUUAGUUAAAUGUUAAUUAGAUUAUGUGCAUGAUUAGAUUAAGGAUUUGAUUAAUUAGUCUAAUUAUGUAACUAGAUUAAUGUUAAUCAUGCUUAGACUUUAAUUAAUUAUUUUAAUUAUUUAGUUAUUUAUUUAAAUUAAAUACUAUUAAACAUUAUUUAAAUUAUAUUAUUUAUUAAUUAAAUUAAAAAUAAUUUUCGGAAUUUAUUUAAUUAUUAAUUAAUUAAUAUUUUCCGGAAAUUAUACUGGGAGAGCCGCACCAACCUGAUAUACCAGAAUUUAUUUAAUUAUACCGAUAGAAUUCCGAGCUGAUCGUAGUGAUGUGUUUAGUUUCUGUAAUUGAAUGCUAUAUUAUGUAAAUUGAGUGAAAAUGAUGAUUGUUGGAUAUUGCUAAUUAAAUAAUAAAUUAAUUAUAUGGUUGGAUGGUAUACUAUAUCAGCCUACGGGCGAUAUGUCAGCUUAGCAGAUAGCAAUAUACCGGUGUACUAUAUCAACCUACGUACUCUGAUAUAUCAGUUUAGUGCGAGCAGUACACUCUAUCAGCUUAGAGUGAGGAUCAAGGGUAUACUAUAUUAGCCUACGGGCGAUAUGUCAGCUUAGCAUAUAGCAGCAUACCGGUGUACUAUAUCAACUUACGGGCUCUGAUAUAUCAGCUUAGUGCGAGCAGUACACUUUAUCAGCUUAGUGCGAGCUAUACUAUCUAUAUAUCAGCUUAGAGUGAGCAGUCCUGACUAUGAUCGGACUUAUUAGAUAGUAUUGAUUGGGCCGACCUAGAGAAGAUCGUGAUGACAUGUAAUCGACUGAGUCGAUUGAUAGAUAGUUCAAUCUGAUUUGGUGAAUUGAUAUGAUUGUGAGUUUAUGAGUUGAACUGACUUGUAGGAAGAGACUGAGGCCAAGGUAAGUCCUCCGACCCAUGUGGUGCUUAGGCAGCCCUUAGAGCAUAUUUUCUUCCUAAUCGGGUCUUAGGGGGUAGAACUCGCUGAGACGUCGUCUCACCCCGUUGUGGGAUAACAUUUUCAAGUCCCUAGAUGAUGGUCGUGGAGAACUUGAAGUCCCGGAGUUUGGGGAAGUGAAGGAAACAGAAUCGGCAAACCUAUAUGACUUGCUAGUCAUAGGACAGUCCCUUUUUGGUUAAGCCGAUAUUUUGUAAGCGACCUGAUGUUGUAAAUAAACCUGUUUGUUUAUAUAAAGGUUUGUGUUGGUUUGAAAAAUAUAUGGUCCUACUUUCCUAUCCCAAUGUUUUAUUGUCAGGGGAUUAUUUAUAUGCUUCCGCAUGCGUAUUAAAUUGAAUGGGUCGGCGAUGCGUCCUAGGACAUCGCUAUUAAUCGACCAAGGAGGGAUGGGCACGUGCUCGGAGGAUCGGGGCGUGACAAAACCUGUCAGUUUUGGCUACAAUGUAAUUCACUCCCUCUGUCUUACUAUGUCCCGAUCAAACAAAGACCAUGGAAUAUUUGUCAAGUCACUUAUUCGAUCAUAUGCACAAAUCUAAUUGACAUGCAUUUUAUUUGAGACAUAAACAAUUUAUUCUCGGUUACAACCCCGGCCGAGGAUUUCAAUACAGUGUCAUAAUUAGAUCACAUAGGACAUCAUUAUUAUACCUUGCAUUUAACAAUGAGACAGAUUCGAUAUUGUGCACACGUGCAACUUCGUAUAUGAACAAACUAUGAGCAUCAGGUAUAAAGACGGAUCAACGACCCGGCAUUAUGUGCACCCGUGAACCAUAGUUGUUCUACACACAAGUUAACACUGUGCAUCAGGUCUAAGGAUUAUUUACACAAGACCAAAGCAUGAACAAUUAGACAUUGACCACGCUAAAAGCUUCCAUGUCACUAAUUGUUCCAUAUGCGUCACGUUUAGUGAACUUGUCUAAUACAAACACCUGUGUUUUAACUCAGGCAUCAUAAUACCCAAUGACAUGUGACUCGUCAUUCUCUUAAGUAUCCAAUACUUAAUGGUGAAGUUAAGAACACACCGGUCUCAACAGGAUUAUAAAUAUCCACUCAAUAAUCCAUUGACCAGGAACGGUUUAAAGAUUCAGCCUAACUAUGAACCCGUCACAUAUAUUCUUGACGUCUCAAGAAUAGGUCUAGUUGCAACUGAUCUUAUGGAAUCAUUCAUAAAUAUAAAAUAAUUGGACAUAUGAAUAAAUACGUCAUUGCCAUUAAUUAAAUAAUAAUAAUGAUAGUACAACUGAAAUCCCUAAUAUGUAACUAUUACAUAGUAGCUUUAGGGCAUACAUCAACACCAACUUCUUGGGUGGCUUUGUGUUGGAUUCUCCAUCAUUGUUUUUGCAGCUCCUUUAAGUGUGGUGAAUAAUUGGAAUAACUCUAGAUUUCUUACCUUUUACUUUUCCCUAGUUAUACUUUCCUUCAUGCACUACUGAGUUAUGUUCGACAAGUUUUGUAUGACAUUUAUUUUCGACAAAUAUUGCACAGAGAACAGUGAUACACACCAAAAGCGUAGAGUUCAUGCCCUUCUCUCUCUCAUUUUUCCUCACACUCAGCGUUGUAACUUGGCUCCUAUAUGGUAUAUUUCUUGUUAGGAAAAUAUGGCUUUGAAUUGGGUAGAACAAUGAAGACGGAUCUUUAGAGUACUCAAGUCGAACUUUGAGGCAUGAUAUCACUUUCUUUAAGGAUUUAUUUGCCCCACAAAGUUGCUAAUGGUCACCGGCAAAUAUCCUCCAGGAUACAAUAAAGUCUCAGAUGAGAGUACUAGAUAGCAAUUCUAGUAUUUCUCUAAGAUCUCUCUAGGAAACAAUUGAAAAUAUGGCUGUAGUUUUUUUUUCAAAGAGAAGUCUCAAAAAUGAUCACACACACGUUCUUCUGAAAACUAAAAUGUAUAUAUAAAACAUUCUUAAAACGUAGACAACUCUUCGUGAAAGGUUGCAAAGCGAACAAAUGUAUCCUUUCAAAAAUUGUCCGGAUGAACAAAGGCGUCAAUUCGAAAGAAGUUGAAAGAACGAACAAUUGCAACCCUUCGGGAAAAGUUGCAAACUGAACGAGUAUCUUUUUCAAAUGUUGUUUUGAAAAGACACAAACAAAAAUUCGGAAUAAUAAUAAUUUUUUUUAAAUAAAUAAAAUUUCGAAUUUUUAUUUUUUUUAAUAGUUUUUGAAAAAUCUCAAAACUAAGAAACAACCUUUGAAUUGAUUUAAGUUAAUAAGAUAACCGUACGAAAUAAAAAAUAAAAAUAACAUCAUCGCGCACCCGCACACGGGUAUGGUGGGGUCUAGCCCACACCCAAUCAUUCCUUUAGGUACACAAAGGAACCCCACACUUAUUAAUUGGCCCACUUCCUCCCACUUUUCCUAUGUGGGACAAGGAAAAUGCACUUAGUUUGUUUUUACAAACAAACUUCCAACAUUUCUCAAGGACAUCCACGUCACCGUAUGCAUCGACUUUCAACAAAUACUAGAAAUUAUACUAAAAAGAGUUCUCUAUUACCCAAAGAAAAAAGUGUGUCUUGGAGACUACGGUUUAGAUAUCGCUUUAUUUUCUGAUAUACAAUCAUUAAUGUAUGUAUGAUCAUUUACAUAGGUUCCAAACGUAUUGGGGUUUAUCCUUGGAGUGCUUCAGAUGGGACUCUAUCCGAUAUAUAGGAAGAGGAAUGUGAUGGUUUUGGAGGAACCCGAUGAUUUCGGUGGUGCAAGGCCGAUUGCCGAUACUUAAAGUCGCAAUAUCGCCUCUAACGAUAGCAUCAUCGACGUUGAUGAGGUCAAGGAGAGGAAAGACGAUGUAUACGAGGGUGAGAUAAGCUUGGAAGCUUCCAAUAAUGGACCAGUUGCAAAUAGUUCAUGUGAAGUUUGACCCGGGUUAAGUCGCAGCAUGUCUCUGCUGUUGUCUUUCGAGUAGCUAGUAAAGCUAAUUUAGUUCUUUCUUCUAUGUUGUUAAUGCACGCGUCAUAACUUGUAUAUGCAAGUGGAGAUUAACACCACGUGCAUAAGUGCUCUAGAAUUGCAAUGUCUUUUCUAGUAAUUAAAAUCUUCCUUGUCUCGUUCCUGUCGUAAAUGAACUCAUUCUACUAUCUCUUUGAUCCAUAUUGUUGGAGUCAACACCUAAUAUAAUAAUGAAAGUCCAUUAUGCAUGGAGUGCACGUAAACUGCCAAAGAAAAGUGUGCUGCAGCGCAACACUUAAACCGCCAAAGAAGAAAUUUCCUGAAGAAACUACAAGCAUCAAAAGGAAUGGGCACAUAUUAAAAUACUAUUAUAAUUGCUGCUAGGAGUUUCAAGAAGCAGAAAAGCAAGCUUCAACUUCGUAGACUUGAACGUGAAGGAAAAGAAGACAGCCCACAAUUGUUGACUCUUAGCCAAGAAGAAAAGUCAAAGGCGGUAGAGUGAGGCGGUGAAGUCCUGGCGGUGGAAGAUGUCUAUAAAUAGGGCUUGGGAGUGCAAAAGGCAAAAUAGGCCACACGAGAUAAAGAGAGAUUAAGAGAGAGAGAGACUCUUCAGAGAGAAACCAAGGUGUGAGCCUCAGGAGGCAGUGCAGCCUCAGAGCGAAUAGAGAUUAAGAGAGAGAGAGAGAGAGAGAGAGAGAGAGAGAGAGAGAGAGAGAUAACUUUAGAAGCAUAAAAAGCUAGAAAGAGAGUUUUAAGUUUGGCAAAGCUUGUGUGUGUACUCCAUUAAGCCUCUGCAAGGCAUAUUGUGUAAUAUAUUCUCUUUGUGUGUUUAUACUCUCUCCCUCCAAAUCGUUUUUGAUUCCAACAAUUGGUAUCAGAGCUAGUCAGCCAGGGACCGUGUUAGAGCUAGCGGUCAGGGAUCGUGAAUCCAGAGCAGGCCAAGGAUUGGAGUGUCAGAGCCUAGGAGGUCAGGAACCGGAGUAUCAAAACCAGUGGCCGGAGACCGAGAACCUAGAGCAGUCGAUCAAGGAUCGUGAACUCAAAGCUAGCAAUGGCUUCCACCAACUCUGUUCAACUGCUACUCCCAAAGUUGAAUGGAAAGAAUUACAACAACUGGUCCGUCCAGAUGAAGGUUCUAUUCAAGUUCCAAGAUUUGUGGAACCUGGUGGAGAACGGCUACAUCGAAGUGGUCGAUGCCGAAGCAUUCGAUGCUUUAAGAAAGACGGAGAAAGAUUUAUUGGUGGAAACUCGGAAGAAAGAUCAGAAAGCAUUAUUUACGAUCUUUCAAGCCAUGGAGGAGACGAUAUUUGAGAAAGUAUCGAGCGCGGAGACUGCGAAAGAAGCGUGGGAUAUAUUGCAAAAAUCCUACAAAGGCGAUGAUCGUGUUAGGCGGGUGUGGCUCCAAACACUUCGAGGAGAUUUUGAGUCUUUACGCAUGAAUGACUCUGAAUCUAUCUCGGCUUACUUUGAUCGUGUACAAACUAUCGUUAACCAACUAAGGGUUAAUGGUGAAGAACUCCAAGAUGUACGAGUCGUAGAAAAAAUUUUGAGGUCUUUGACUGAAAGGUUUAACUACGUUGUUGCGGCGAUCGAAGAAGGCCAAGAUAUAUCAACCAUGACGCUGGAGCGGUUGAUGGGUUCAUUAUGCUCGCAUGAGCAAAGAAUGAAUCAGAAGUCCAUCGGUUCGUAUCUCGAGCAAGUAUUGCAAAGUCGGGUUGUUCAGUCAAAUCAAGGAGAUUAUCAAGGUGGACAAGGUCGUGGAGGUACCCGAGGUAGGGGUGGAAAUUCAAAUUUCACCAGAAGAUAUAAAACACGUGACAAAUCAAAAGUCAGGUGUUUCAAGUGCAAUAAAUUCGGACAUUACAAAUCCGAAUGUCAAGCAAAGAUGACGGAACAUGCACAUAUCGUCAAUGAUGACGAAGAUGUGGUGCUAGCAUGUACCGUGGAUGAUGCACGUACUCUCUCUAGAAAUAAAAGAGGUUUCAAGAGCCAAUGGAGAAAUGAUGCUGGCAUUAGGAAUGGCAAACGGUGGAAAAGUCAUAGUGAAUGGCAGAGGCGACCAAUAGCGAGAAGCACUCAACCAGGGAGAGCACACCGAGAUUGUGACAAAGAUAACAAAAGGUAUAGCAAACGGUGCUACAUUUGUGGCAAAGUAGGUCACUUUGCUAGAGUUUGUUGAUUCAAACAGGUAAAAGGAGAUGCUACAACUUUUACCAAGAAGAAGAACCAUAGUAAUAAAGAAUGGAGUCUCCAAGCGAUUGUUGCAACAGAGGAGCAAGAAGAGCUCGUAGCCACCGGUAUCAUCAAGGCAGAUGAUGUGAUAGCCAUUGAGACAUCCCCAAAGAAGAGCAAGCCAUGGGCAAGCUCGAAGAAGCAAGAAGCAGCUUCAACAAGCGGUCGUGAGAAGGAACUGCAAGAGAUGCGGGAGAUGUUGAAAGAGAAGGAUGAAAUGCUGAAGCAAAAGGACAAGGAGCUCAAGCUCAAAGAAAGGGAGCACGAGAAGCUCCGGUACGAGCUCAAGGAAUUGCAAAAGCUCAAGAAAUGUUGCCCAGAGAAAAAGAUCCCCAGGGGCAAAAACAAAUGAAAGAUUGUAGAGAAGAAGUUCCAUGAGAAGGAAAAAGAGACUGAUACGCAAAAUGAAAUGGCAUUGAUGAAAUCCGAGCUUCGCAAAGCUCAGUUGGAAGUUACAGUUGCGGAGGCAACUGAAGAAGAUGAAUAUCAGAUGCUAUAGAAGAAGAGUAUUAGGUGUUGCGGGAGAGUGUUGGAGUCAACACCUAAUAUAAUAAUGAAAGUCCAUUAUGCAUGGAGUGCACGUAAACUGCCAAAGAAAAGUGUGCUGCAGCGCAACACUUAAACCGCCAAAGAAGAGAUUUCCUGAAGAAACUACAAGCAUCAAAAGGAGUGGGCACAUAUUAAAAUACUAUUAUAAUUGCUGCUAGGAGUUUCAAGAAGCAGAAAAGCAAGCUUCAACUUCGUAGACUUGAACGUGAAGGAAAAGAAGACAGCCCACAAUUGUUGACUCUUAGCCAAGAAGAAAAGUCAAAGGCGGUAGAGUGAGGCGGUGAAGUCUUGGCGGUGGAAGAUGUCUAUAAAUAGGGCUUGGGAGUGCAAAAGGCAAAAUAGGCCACACGAGAUAAAGAGAGAUUAAGAGAGAGAGUCUCUUCAGAGAGAAACCAAGGUGUGAGCCUCAGGAGGCAGUGCAGCCUCAGAGCGAAUAGAGAUUAAGAGAGAGAGAGAGAGUGAGAUAGCUUUAGAAGCAUAGAAAGCUAGAAAGAGAGUUUUAAGCUUAGCAGAGCUUGUGUGUGUACUCCAUUAAGCCUCUGCAAGGCAUAUUGUGUAAUAUAUUCUCUGUGUGUUUAUACUCUCUCCCUCCAAAUCGUUUUUGGUUCCAACACAUAUUUCGUAAAGAAAUGGCAAGUUCGCUGAGAUUCACAUAUGAAGAUCAUGAUUCGUGACCUACAUCGAAAUUGGCCGUGAAAGAUGCCUGUCGUGAUCUACCUCCUUUAAAAGCAGAGAAGCCAUCGGUUCGGAAAGCUAAUAAUCAACCAUAUGAUCGUCGGCGUCGUUCAAUGAGCGACGUUUCAAUAAAAGUCAAAUGGAUAAAGGUUCUCUGUGUUAGUGGAGGAGUCAUAUCAUCUGGCAUGAGAUUACCAGAUACAAAAGCUUGGCACAACUUUCAUUCGGGCCUCUCGUUCUAGCCCGUUGCACUUCUUUGAGGAUGACAUAGCUUCGUAACAUUGAGGCAAUAUCUAUUAUAUACUCAUCAGUCCGUGAAACUUCAAUAGUUUGGUCAGGCACUCGGGUGCCGAUCGAGUCGAGCCACGCUUUUGGGUCGAGUCACCACUGCAGUCUACAGCAGAGUUCUUAUGCCCCCAGCAAUUUAUUUCCAGCCUUUCCCUUAAAUAACAUAUCUUGCACUAUUUAGUGCACAUAAGCCGCCAAAAGUCUUUCCGACACCACUUUUGACAAUAUAUGAGUGAAAAUGGGCCGCAUUUUUUAAUGUUGGGAAAAAGAUCUUGGAAAUGUGUAAUUUAUUGAAGGGCACGUUGGUCAGGUGCUCGAAACUUGACUUGAGCUCGAUUACGUAAUAGAGUUUUACCAAGCUCGGCUUGAGCUUAAAGAAAUUCGAUCUUCUAGAGCUUCAUAAACCCCAAGUAUCUUCCUCGGAUUUUCGUAUAUGUGUGGAUACACUCUGCAACUUCAAGGAACUCUAUGUUUGAUUUUAUCACAAUUAUAAUUGCAAGCUUGAGCUUGACUCGAUAUGGAAUUCUAGCAGCUUGAGCUCGACUCUAGAUCAAACAAGUUGAUUUGAUCGAGUAAUGUAUCAUUGAACCAAGGCCCGAGCUACGUACUCACGGGUAACUUUGACUCGGUUUACAAUGAUGAACACAAGGGGCUUGGGAACGAUUACUAUCUUGCUUGGGCGAUAUUUUCUUCCACCCUCGGCGGAGAAAACUUUCUUCAAUCAAGUUUUGUAUUGGUGGUUUACAAAGAUGGACAUUUCGACGAGGUUCGUACAUAGGAAAGCCCAGUUUGUACUGAACUCUUUUCUCAUAGAACCAAUUCGGAGAGUUGCUUCGGAUAUGAUCCAAUGAGCGCGCAACCAGAAAGCAACGCAUUAUCGGCAACUAAAAGGAAAAGGAAAAGACCCAAACCUAAGCACAUUGGUGUGCUGCUCGUUGUCCUGCCGCAUAGAUCUUCGUAUACAACAAGGUUGGACACGAGAAUGCACGUACGGAGACGGCCGUUCGGUACAAAGGUAGGCACGAAUCAUGAAGAUGUGGAGAGUCCCAGUCCGAUUGAGAUCUUGCCUAACUACAUCCUCGUUUGGAGGUCUCUUUCCUCUACUUGGUUAUUCUCGCGUGCCCUUGGGUCCUUCGUCGUGACUCAUUGAAUUGUAUCUUUACUUUUGAAACCCGCAUGAUUAGGACACUUUUGGAAAAACGUAUUUGUAAAGCCCCGUUAAAGUUGCACGCAAGCUUUUAAGUUUUAUUUGAAUAUUCUAUUACCCCUCAUGCGAAGGGUGGAAAUAAGCAAUUGGGAAGACAAAUAGAGGUCUAGAAAAAUUUGAAGUCAAGACCUCCUAAUCCGAUACAAUAUGAAAUUUUAUGAGACUUUUGUCAACUAUUUUAAAAACUUAAACUGUUAGAUGAAAAUGUGGUUUAACAUCUAAAUAUUUUGAAACAUAGAACUUGAUGUUAAGCUACGUGAUUCAUCUAAUAAAACCACGUGCAUGGUAUGUUGCAACUCAGCCUUACCAUCAAGACCAAAGACCCACUAAUUAACCACAUGUGAUCGUACAAAUUUUAAGAUUAGUAGGGGCACCCAUUCAACGUCAAUCACCUAACAAUAUAUUACUAAUUAUCCAAACAUUUAGCAGACGAUAAUGGUGGCCAAUUUACGCACUCCAUGUCCCGACGUCCAAGCACUUAUUUCCAGACCGCAAAUCUCUUUUGCUAAAGGAGAUGUUUCAUGUUGGAUGGAACCUUCGACUCUCAUACCGUUUCCCUAUCACAAUUGAAUAUGAAUGUCGAGAUUCCGUUAGUUUCCCUCUCUUAUCAUUUUCCCUUCAUUUCGAGGAAGUGCUUUGUUAGGGUCUUAUUGCUUUCAACUCAGGCUGAGUACAUGAUUCCGAAUUACAAAUGGAAGGUCCUAACUCGAACUUCAUUCAAUGUCGAAUUGCGGCGUUGACUGAUAGAUAACAUCAGGGUGGUGUCGUUGUGGAACAGAUGUCCUCGUAAUGAAUUUGCGGCAAAGUGUGUUACUUCAAUAAUCGAUGUACCUCGCCCUCAUUGUUGCUUCAAAAGUUAAAACCUUUUUCCGCAAUCGACGCCGCCUUCAUUAAUUUGGACAAUGAUACUCCUCCCAAUCAGAACGUUCACACAGGCACGUGCGAAACCGUUAUAGAGGGGAAAUUUCUUUAAAAAGACCUAAAUCUAUUCACUUGGACUAAUUCAAUAUUAAACAUUUCAAUUUUGCUAAUAUUACUUUGGUCUAGAUAAUUUUUCUAAUUGAAUUAUAAACUUUUUAAUUAACAAUUAAGUCCAUUCAACCAACUAGGUUAUCUCUGACAUAGAUACCGGUCAUCCAACGUGAUGCCAACGUAACAAUUUUUUGUAAUUUUUAAAAAUAAUUGUUCUUUAUUUUUUAUUUUUCUUUGCUUUUUUUUUUCCUGUGCCGUCGAGGGUCACCAGCAACCCUCGCCCACUACGAAGGCUUUACUCAAGGCCAUCACCUUGCCGAUUGUGGGUGAGGGUGUGAAGGUCCUUGCUGAAUCUAGGUAGGCGACCACAAUGCCAAAAUAGACUCAGCUAGUAAAUUGUCAAAAAAGUUACAAAAGUUGUCUACUUUAAAAAAUAGCAAAUGAAAAAAUGAAAAGAAAAAUUAAAAAAAAAAAAAAAAAAACUUACAAAAGUUGUCCACUUUCAUGCUAGCGGUGCCACACACAAAAAUUGGCCAAAUUGACUCAACAAGCAAAUUAUCAAAAAAAUUAUACAACUCAACUAGCAAAAUUAAAAGAUUUAAAAUUGAAUUAGGCAAAGUGUAAUAGAUUUAAGAUUUUAUGAACAAUUUUCUCUCACUAUAGAAAGAGAUCACAUAAAUAACUAAAGCUGAAAGCAAAGCAUAUACCAAUUGCUAAGAAAAUAUAUAACAACACCAAUGAUUCCACAGUUGCCGGAUAAUUGUUAGAGACUCUUAUCAGCUCUUAUCCCAUCAAGUGGCCAUCUCAUAUUAUGAUUCAACAAUCAACCUCGAACCGAGCCUGCCCACAUCGAGAGCUCUCCAGCAAUUUGGCGCACGAAAUUUCAAUUGCAAAUACCAUCGAACGAAUCUGGGAGGAGAGUUUAGAUGUCGAGGGUACACUACUCGCAUGUUCUCGUAUGAGACGCAUGUUAGGAACGCAUGCAAUCUGCGAUAAGGUUAAUGCUGAUAUCACGGUCAAGAAAGGGCUACUCUAUAAAGCGCAACCAUAUCAUUAAAUUAAAGCCUUGAUUAGCCAUAGGAAACGAUAUAAAGACCCGAAAUGUUGGCAUUUACAGCGGAAAAGGGAUACGCGGAUCGAUCUGAAACCACCUGUCCCCCAUUUUUGGCGGAGGGGUGUGUGAAAAAGAUGGGGUGGGGGAUGGCAAGACGUCACUCCAUGAAUGGAUGGAUCGAUGGUUAUCCCCUUGACAUCUGUAGGAUUGCCCAAAUUCGCCAAGUGGAGAUCUAGCUGUGAACCCUGACUCAUCCCAAUCCUUCGACAUUUACAGUAUGCAUCGCUCCACCUGAGAUCUUCAUAGAAUGUACCAGGCUCUUUAAUUUAACAUAAGCUAAUACAUUCGACAUAUCCUGAUGAUCAACAGAGAGUCGUGUAAUUGCUCCUAGAACAUAGCUUCUUGGUAUAGGUAAGGGUCAGAAGAAAUUUUCUCUGUUAUGUGUCUUCGCUUUUGUCUAAUGUCUAGAGUCAAAUUUUCUUCGCAGCAAAUUUAGCUUUACUUACUUAAAUACUAAGUUCGAUAUGCUACUAUCGCAAAUUCUGUUUUUAUUCUCAAUUCAUGUUGAUUAAUAAUCACGAUCAGUGCACGGAAAGUUCUAAAAUUUAUUAUAAAAGUGUAAUCAAUUUCUAAAAUUUUUAAAAGUGCAAUUAGCAAAAUGAUUUAAUUAGACCAAUUUGAUAAAUUUUAAAACUCGAUUAUACUUUUUGAAAGUUUUAAAACUUCAUUACACUUUCGUGACAAGUUUUGGUGCUUUCAAUACACUUACUCCUAUAUUAUUUUGACUAAAUCAUUCUUUUUCUAGAUGGCCAGAUGAUUGUAUAAAGUGUUGUAAAUUAAUUUUUUCCUUUUAACUUAUCACUCAAGUAGAAACGUAAGCUACACCCUGUUUAGUUUAACUUUUUAUAAGUAUCUAAGAUUGCCAUGUCAAUGAAGACAUAUUAAUAUAUAACAUCAAUAUAUAAUUAAAUGUGGAUGAAGACAUGUCUAUAUAGAAAAUCAAUAUAUAAUCGCAAUAAAACAACAAUAAUAGGAAGGAAAAUCAAUAUUAUGCCCGGGCAUGGGUCAACCUUCUCGAUGCGAGAUUGACCUCGCCAUGGCCAAGGCAAGGCUUGUCGGGCCUCAUCAGACCUCGCCCUCGCCUAGGCGAGGCCUGGCAAGGCACAGCAAGGUAGCUCCAACCGAGGCGAGGGUUGACCUUGCCAGAUUUGGUAAUGGGGGCCUUGCCUGGCCAUGCCUAGCCAUGCCUAGACGGCUGACGCUCAGCCUCAACUUGGUCAGACCAAUCCUUGCUUGUGGCCGACAAGUGUGACCUCGCUAGCCAUGGCUGUGGUUGGUGGCUGGUGAUGACCACCAGAAAAAGAACAUGAAGAGAAAGGGGGAAAGGGAAGGUAAAAAAGAAACAAAAAAGAAACAAAAUUCAAUAAACUAGUUUAAAAUUUCAAUAAAUGCAAAAAAAAAAAAUUAUUAAAAAAUUAUUAGAAAUGUCAAUGUCAAUGCUAGUCACACGACGUCUGCUAGCUAACAUCCACAUUAGUAAUUUUUUGCCUAAAUUGACCAAAUUAAUUGAAUUAGUACUAAUGUAAAAAGAUUUAUGAUUAAAUUGAUCAAAUUAAAAGAUUUAUGACUGAAUUUGUACUAAUACAACAGAUUUAGAACUUUUUUAGUACUUUUUCAUUAAAGGCAUGGACAACAAGGCACGCUAUCAUGCUCAAUAAUUGAAAAUACAAAAGCCACUUACUUUACGAUGAGGUUGUGUUUGAUUGAAUUACUCUUAGGAAUGUUUGACACGCACUCUGCUGAUUAGUGACUUAUGUUGUCCCCUAAUUACUUCCUUUCACAUUGAUUAAACAUAUACCAAAACAUAUGCUGAUUAGUGACUUAUGUUGUCCCCUAAUUACUUCCUUUCACAUUGAUUAAACAUAUCGUCAUAGGUGUAUCAAAUUGAUAUUUGUACAAAUAAGCUAUAUGAAAAUGUGAUAUGCAAAAUUGAUAUACCAAAUGACAUAGCAAUUUGUAAGUAUGCAUUUAAAUAAAUGGGACACCGUGGAUGAAUAUAAUAUUACAUCACUUAAUAUAUCAAUUACGUCAAUCAAUGUUAGUAUAAUUAGCACAUGAAAGUCCUUUAAUCCAAAUUCCAUUUAGGCGAUAUUAACUUUAGUUCAACGAAUGUGGUCACGUAAUCAAAAGUGACUUUGGAUCCUAGAAAGCGUUGAAUCUUUAUGGCAUGAUAAGGUGCUGCGGUCGCGUACGGGCGCACAAUUACCUACUACGUCAUACCACCUGCAAUUAUUAGGCGAGAUCAUUAUCUCCAUUUGCAAUAUUAAAUGAUAUUAUCGCCAUCCACGUAAUCGAUAAUUUUAUUGACAUGAUAAGUUCAUGUCUAGUACACCACUUAAUCAACACCAAAAUUAUCUAAAAAGUCAUAAGUUCAUCGACAAUAAAUCCAUUCCUAAACUUGCCAGUUUUAACUAAUAUAAUCCUAAACCUUAGGGUAGAAAUCACUGACAUAACGGUUCUAUUAAAACCAGGCUGAUAGUUGACAUGGACAAUUUUAUAUGAAACGACAUCACUUUGCAUUGAACCAAGAAUAUCUAAAUUUUCUUUCUUUCUUUCUUUUCUCUUCUUUUCAAUAUUUUUGGCUUUUUAUUUUUCCUAUUCUAUUGCUCAUCUUUAUCCUCUACCGAUCAAAAGUGAGGGUCAAAGCCCUUGCCAAAUCUGGCUAAAGCCGCCAACCACAAGCUAAGGUAAUUCUUGCUAGAUUUGGCGAGGUUGCGAUGCCCUUGCCAAGGUUGCCCUCGCCUGUGCCCGAUGACCUUCGCAAACCAUCACCAAGGUUUUGAUGACCGAUGAACAAAAAAAGAUGAAUAGUGCAUUUAAACAAAAAGAAUCAAAUAAUUCAUUAAAAGAAAAAUUGCAAAAUGAAAUUGUGUCAUUUAAUAUCAUCCACGUCAAUCGCCAACUGUCCUACAUAGGAUCUUUGGUACUGACUAGACUGCCAUGUCAAUAAUUUUCGAUUUAAAUUAACCUGAUAAAUUACAUUUAAAAGUUAUCAAAAUGUUAAAGACUACAUUCAGCAAAUUGAAAAGUUUAGAACUUAAUUGUCUGUCAUGUAAUAGGUUUAAAAUUUUUCGGACAGUUCUCUCUUCAAUCAACCACCAUCAUAAAUAAUUAUAUCUUCUAGCAUAACUUUUGCCUUCCAUCUCCUCUAUAAAUUGUGAGGCCUAAGUGAGCACAAUUUCCUCAACAUAGCCUUAUUUGUUUUUAGCUUCGAAAUCUUCCAUUUGAAUAUCUUCAGUUUCUGAGAGGAAGAGAGUGGGAAAAUGGCCAUCUUCACGACUGACAAUACCUGGGUGCUUAUUUUUGGAGUUCUAGGUACUUUACACACGGUAUCCAACUGUUUUAUAAUUGCUAUCGAACAAGUACCGAUGACUUUGUUUUGACGCGUUUGUCAACCUUUGGAUUAUUGUUGUCGCAGGUAAUAUCGUAUCCAUCGUGGUAUUUAUGGCCCCAGUGUAAGUUUCUAACUCUUUCUCACUCCAUGCACACUGACCAAAAUAAGGUUUAGGACUUAUUUAAUCUCCUUUGGCAGGCCAACGUUUUGCAGGAUAUGCAGGAAGAAGUCAACUGAAGGGUUUGAAUCAGUUCCAUACGUGGUUUCUCUGUUCAGCGCUAUGCUUUGGCUGUACUAUGCGUCCCUCAAGUCCGAGUCCAGCGCUUUCCUGCUCCUCAUGGUCAACUCGGUCGGAUGCGCCAUAGAGACGAUCUAUAUCGCUCUCUACCUCACGUAUGCUCCUAAACAAGCCAGGGUACGUAGCUACAGCGUUGUUCGUGAAGAACACACCUAAUGUAUUCUAAUUGUUGGAGAGUGGAUGCGCAGAUGAUGACGCUGACACUGCUGUUGCUGAAUUUCGGAGGGUAUUGUUCCAUUCUUCUUCUGUCCCACUUCUUGGCAAAGGGAUCGGCGAGGGUCCAACUUGUUGGGUGGAUUUGCGUUGCGCUCUCUGCUGCAGUCUUUGCUGCUCCUCUAAGCGUCAUUGUAAUUUACUUCUAUCUGACUCCUUCCUUUUUUCUGCACGAGAACGCCUGUCUUGCAUGUCAAUCUAGGACACAAGUUGUGCAUGACAUGUAUUUUGGUUUCGACGUACAUGUGAGUUUACAUAUGUGUGUGCAGAGAAUGGUGAUACGUACCAAGAGCGUGGAGUUCUUGCCCUUUUCUUUAUCGUUCUUCCUCAUGCUCAGUGCUGUGACUUGGCUCCUAUACGGCCUAUUCCUCAAGGACUUGUAUGUCGCGGUAUGCAUGGUUCAUCUACGUGUUAAAAUCAAGAUGGCGAGGUGUGGCAAUAUUAUUUCCGUUCCCCUGAAUGAACAGUAUUAACAUGUGUACGUGCAUAUAUAGGGUCCAAACGUGUUAGGAGUCAUCUUUGGAGUGCUUCAGAUGGCGCUGCAUGCCAUAUACAGGAAGAGAAAUAAAGUUGUGGCGGAGGAGGAGAAGAAUGAUACCAGUGUUGGAAAGCUGAGCUCUGAUACACAAAGUUGCAAUGGGCAUGCCUUCAUCAUCUUUAUUGAAGCUUCUGAUAAAGGACCAGUGGCCCCUCCAUCUGAAGUUUGACAGGCGUCUAAGUUACUCAUAUGCCCGAUCAGAUUUUCUGUUUUCCAGCAGCUCCUAGCUGGCUUACUCGUUGCUUCUGCUAUGUAAAGUGCAAAUGCAUGCGCGCAUGUAGGUGCUUGGAGGGGUAGAGUUUUGUUUGUAAAUGUUCAACUUGUUUUUCCUAAUAAUACAGUUAUCAGACGCAUUACUCUUUCAGAAACAGAUUCAGCUACUCUCCGUUCUUUGCUGAUUGAUUGAUAUCAUCUACUUACCAGGUGAGGUCUGUCUGCUCGCUAAACAAUUUUUUCCUUUGAAAUCCAGCUAGUUAGGAUCAUGAGCUAAGAUCUGAGACACUUUGGGAAACCUAAAUCUGCCUCUUCAUCAGAAUAUAACUGGGGUCACGUAAUGCGUGCCCUGAGAUGACAUUCUUACUCUCUGAUUCCAAUUCGGGAGAAGUUUGCUCAAGUGGGUAAUAAACUCACUGAGGAUAGCACGCACCAAUAGGCCCAGAUUCAACCGGACCGUCAACCCAGUUACUACAAAAAAUCAUAGUUAAAAAGUGCUCCCAACACACCAUAGAUAUCCCUGAUACUCAACUGAGAGAUCAGAGGAACUUCCCCCUAAAGGAAAGUAAACAGUACGUACUUCCUCAAUCAGACUGACGAUAAAAGAACUUGAGUCACAGCCAAAUGUUUCUUUUGUCAAGCAGGAUCAACAGUUGAUUCUCAUCCUACAAACAUGAAGGACUUCAACGCUAGCAAUUUCCCCUAUGAGGAAGCUCUUUUUUCUACAACCAAUGAGCAUGCGGAAUUGGAAUACACUAUUGCAGUAGUUGAAACAAUUUUUACAGGCUUGCAAUUGCCUCUCACUGUAUCAGAUUCUUCCAAGGCAUUUUGGAAAAGUAAAUAGCUGCAUUAUGUGAAUUUGCUACAUUUUUCAAGAUAAUUUAGAGAACAGCCUUGAGAUGAAAAUUUGGAAUGUUCUCAGGCUAGCUAAGUGAUGCCCGAUCUGGAUAUGGGCACUCACAGACCCAACCGGGUCCAGAAUAUCGUAUGCAGUGCAGCCAUAAUCCCUCCUCACUCCCAUCAUAUCUGCAUUUUGCAGAAACUCAGAAAUCAAAUCUUAGGUUCUCUAUCGUACACACGCAGGCAAAGGUGUGCAAGCAGAAUAUGAGUAAAGACAAGUGCCCAAGAUGGGAAAAAGGAGGAACACACCCUUUUGGAGCUAAAUUCGGACAAUUCGUGCACACAGGGUCAGUAAUAAAUUCAAUGCAAGGGUCUUCUUCCUUAUGAUUCUGCCCAAUAUCAGAAACACUGGAUUCCAAUGACAAACCAGCAGCUUUAUCGGCAACCAUUCCUUCAUCUGAACGAUUGGUCCUUUGUUCAAGAAGGUAAAGCGUGUCAUUGGCAAUUGGAUGGCCACUAAACUGCAAAUGUACUCCUGUCUGCACAUAAAGAGCAGGGUUGAGAGAAGAAAGUACUGCAACUACAAGCAUAUAUCAAAUAAACCUCACAAAUUAGAAGAUAUAAAAAUCAGGCUGACUUAACCAAAUGCAGAGGUAUAUAAUAAGCAGGAUCCGAAAGUAUCUUCCAAAAUGAGCAGGACGCGGUUUAUGGAGAGACAAAAGUGCAGAAAGGAAAGCGCACAUGGCUCAAAAAGUUUACAGUAAAUGCAAUGUCCUUCCUGUAUGUGUGGGUACAUCUGUGCAUGCAAUUGACCUUGGCUACAUUAAGGAAAAACAACCAAGGAAGGUUCACUGCUUAUGGAAUAGAAAAUAGGAGGUAUCAGACUCUCAACAUGGUAUUUGCAUCCUAUAGCAUCAUAUUGCCUUACCUGAUGAGUUCUUCCAGUGACUGGUUCACAGAGAAUAAUGCUAUGAGUUCCAUUGGUGCUGAUCCUUGUGAACUUUGUACAAGCGGCCUUUUCUUUCAAGAGGGCAGUAUCACAAGUAGGGUCACCCGCCUGUACAAAGCAUGCUCUUCCAUUCACUGCCAAUGCUCUAAUGUACUGGUUGAAAUUAAGACACGACCAUGAAACAGUCAGGGCAGAUGUAUUCUAAAUGUAGAAUGAAAAGAAAGCUCUAAGAGCGGUCAUACACUGCGACACACCAUGCCACGUGGACCAGGAGAAGGGUGACAGAUGACAUCCUACCACCAUUUUAAAUUUCCUUAGAGAUUAGAAAGCCUUUAUAUGAUGACUCAGCCAUAUAAAAUCCAAAUCACAUACUAUUGGGUCAAAAGGAGCUCGUAAGGUGAGACAGCAUAUGUGCUAAUGAAUGGGGAAACUGUGGCUUCUUGCUUUUGGCUGGCAGUAUUUAGAUUUGCUGUUUCAUGUACCAAGGCUCGCAGAUUUUGCAUAAGCCAGCACUAUGUCACGAGCUUGGAGCUCUUACCUUCUGACAAAUUUAGUUUGGAUUACCAUCACACAUUACUUUUCAAUUCCAUUUCAAACAGUGUGUUGCACAUCACCAAGAUAACAGUCCACAGUGGCUCAUAAGUAUAUGAAUGUUCCUAAAAAGUAUUGAGAGGCCAUCAUAAAUGGAUAUCUACAAAACUAUAUAGUUAUUUUUACAUGCCUCUGUAAGAAUGUUAAGAAAGGGCAUUAGCUUCCAUUUAUAGCACUCUGAUAACAUUCAAAAUUGCAUCCCAUAAUGAAUUCAUAUUGGUUAGUCACAAAAACCUUCAUUUACAAACGAAAAAGAGAAAAAAGAAAGAAAGGAGAAGAAAUCAGUACACAAGGAAGGCAUCACAUAAUUUUCAUUGAAAAGCAUUAUCAGAAAGCCAUCAUUUCAAGACCCUUCUCCAACACCCAGAAGCUCAGUUUCAUUUCCGUAACCUCAUGUAAUACAGUGAUUGAUAUAAAUUUAAACUCAGAAAAAGGUUGAAAUAACAAGGUUUUGAGCAAAUAUAAUACAGUGAUUGAUAUAAAUUUAAACUCAGAAAAAGGUUGAAAUAACAAGGUUUUGAGCAAAUACUCACCUCCGCUGUGCUCCUGCCUUCUUGAGCACUGUAAUUGAUGUUGACAUUGACCUCCAGCUAACAAGAAACCUUAGAACACAUAAAUCAAAUGAGAACUAAUAAGAAUGCAUUUCUGAUGCCACAUUCUCUAGAACUUUUUCACACGAUCUAACUAGCCUCCAGAAUCUUCUGAAGGGAGGACCUAAACGAAAAAUGACUAGUAAUCCUUUCCAUCGAAGUAGGGAGGUCUGGUAUUGCUUUGCCCCUCCAUCAGCCCCGGUGCUAGCAUAUUAGCCAUGGAUCUUUUACUCUGAAGUAAAACACUUCAAACAAAGUAAGAACACGGGCUCUGAUACCAAUUGAAAUAGCUAGUACGAGUACCUAGAGGGGGGGUGAAUAGGUAUAUAAAAAAAUUUCUCGAAGCUUGCACGAUAUUUAAACAAUUAAAGAAUUUGCAACAGUUAAAAAUUCAAUCGCAAGACUGAGUAAGGGAAAGAGAGAAUUGAACACUCAGUUUAUAGUGGUUCGGCUUGAUUCAAGCCUACGUCCACUCUUCUGCACUGACAGCCGAUUGGCUGGAUUCCACUAUGAUCAAAGAGUUGUUACAGUGUUGAUCUUCCUUGAUUUCUAGGUGUAGAUGAUCUACCACACUCGCUCAAGGCGUUACCAAGUACAAACACUCUCUGUGUACAAUUUCGCUCAGUCUCGACUAACAAUCAAGGAUCUUCAGACUCUGGAAUUUUUCUAUCGAUCACACACUUAAAACAACUAGAACAUCUUCCUUUUAUACUCCUUCAUGCCAUCAUAGCCGUUGGCACUUACCAAAGGAAUUCCUCCAAUCUACCCGUUGGACGGAAUCAAUCAAGAAGAUCAUCCGAGCUAUUUAAGGAAUCUGAUGAUAGCCCAUCAAUCCUGUUCGCCCAUACAAUCAGGAUCUCGGUUUCCAAGAAUAGAAUAAUCCAAGAUUAUUUCGUCGACCAUCGGAUCUUCAAUUGAUCUUAGAUAAAAAUUAAAGAAUCCGAAAUGAUUAUCCAACCAAAGAAUCUAUUCCAGAGGAUAGAAUCAAAUCCUCAACCAUAAACCUCGACUUUGGAUUUUCUUCAACACUGGAUUAGAAAGACUGUCAGUGAGAAUAAUUUUGAGUCUUGAGUUUUGAGUCUUGAGUCUUGAGUCUUGAGAUAACAAAGUCUUGAGACUAUAAAUUCUUGAGACUUUAACUAUCGAUAUCCAGACUUAGACUGAUAGAAAUGUUUUGUCAGCUUCAAAAUAUUCUGGAAAGAUUUCUCCAACAGUUUUAUAAUUACUAAAAUCUAUGUGGAGAAAAAGAACACAUGCAGACUUGUCCUUUCAGCGUUACCUCUUCUCAGGACAACUCAACAAACAAACAGAAAAUAGUUGAAUUGGAAUAAAGAAAUCACAUUGCUAGAUUGAGUGCAUCUACUUCAACAUCUCACAAUUCCAAUUCUUAAGGGUUAAACUCCCUGAUGUACUGUACUGCAGGAUUUUUCAGUUCGUAAAUUAUCCACUUAUAGUGCAUAAUCCCAAAUCAACAUAUUGAAGCAAGAGAUACCUCAUUCUCAGGAAAUUCACCCACCACCUUUGCAAUGUACUGUUUCUUCACCAAACCACCUUCAAUCUGAAGAUAUUUAAUGUCAGUUGAAACUUAAAAUUUUAGGCUGAAUAUCAUGUGUACCUCACCACAUCACAAAUAUGAUGUAUAAACACUUAAAAGUAUAUAAGAGGAUAUUCUAGAUAAUUUUUACUCGAGGGAAUGAAGUCAGCAGCAGAAAUAGUACGUGAUAGGACUACUGCUAUUAGGAGAAACAGUCACCAUACAAAGGAAAUACACAUCACAGAAAGAAAAUAUAUGACCUCUUUAAGUCACUCCAUAAAGUAGAUGUACAUGACACGGUGUGAUGAUAUCACAAAUGAUGAACAAGAUGUCACAACACAGCAGCAUGCUCAGAGAACUACCACUACCCUUGUUGUAAAUGUAAGAGAGCCCCACUUCCUUUUAGGCAAUUGACCACCCGCAAGUAUUGCAGCUAAUAGGAAUUUACAUUAGUACGGCUUCCAAAAGCACGCUUUUCAACACAACACUUACCUGUUGCCUGAAAAGAUCUGCUUUUGACGCGUUUCUGGCAAAUAUAAGGAGUCCAGAGACCAGGCAAUCUAGUCGGUGAACAGCUUGCAUUAUAAUAUUAAGGAGGAUGUACGAAAUCCAUAAUGUGGAUGUGUCACCAGAUAUAGGUCAGAGGAGGGAAAAAGAGUUAAUGAUAGACAUCAAGAAUCACAAGGAAACAGAAUAUGCCCAGUCUGAUUUCGAUAGAGCCAAGAAUACACACGCAUGUGAAAGAGCUUCUUGGGAUAUGAAAUGGGGGUGCCAGCCCAUCCUCUGCCUGAAGGAUGCUGACCACAGUGUUUUUAAGAUACUGACCACAUGGAUACACCUAUAAACAAGUUGAAAUUUCUAUAAACAUAGAUCCUAUAAGGCCAGAAGAGCUAGCUAGACCAAGCAAGGCUGUUGUAACCGUAUUACUGUCUGAAUCUCAUCAGUGAUUUUACAGACUCAUGCAACACGAAAUCACUCUUUUGUUGUACAUUUGAAAUGAGGGAAAACAUAAAUGUGUUGUUCCUUACUGGAAUAGAUGCCGGCUUACAAACAGUCACCACAUCCGGUUCUUUCUGUAGGAUGGAGACACAUGGCUCAUCACAGGAGGCUCAUGCCUACAACCUUAUCAACAUUAACACAUAUUCAAAGAAUACCCUAAAACUUCCAGAAAAAAACUGUAAAUUAAGAUUAGAAUUCUUAACUCGUGGGUGAAGAAAGAAGAAAGAAGCCUGAAGAAACAAAAAAGGUAAAGAAAGGGAAUCUAAGCAAAAGAAACUGAUGCAGCCAAAGGGAUAUAUCAUCUCUAGAUUAGACUCUUGAAAAGCAACAUUUUCAUAAAGAGAUCAUAGCAAGUGUAAAGCUCAAACCAACCUGUGUACAAAGUGGCUUAUUUUUUCAGACGAUUUUACAAUGUAAGAGAUAGGAAAGCCCCUCCCCUCGACUUGUAUCCAUCCACAUUCAACAGCACUGACCUACAGGUUAUGACUAGGCAUGAUUAAAAUUCAUGGUCACAUGCAGAACUAAACAUUCGUUAUGCAAUGAAGAAAAUGCUUACAUAACACUCAUAAGGUCUGCCUUUGAACUCGUGGGCAAACAAAUCCACAAUGGUUUUGCCCGCCCAGCGGCUCUUGACCUAUAAUACAUCAUAAUUCAUAACAAGAAACCAGCCAAAUUGAGAGCUCCAGGUUGAAGCGGAAAAGGGCUUAACGAGGGUCUUGACCAAAUAAAAGUUCGAUCACAAGUGAAGCAUGCAAACCACUCCACUCCAGAAGAAGAAAGACGAGAUAGCGACGACUCAUAUGAGAGAUGAACUCGCAGUGGUAGGGUGCGACGUAGCGCCUCCCUGCAUUCUCUUCAUAGAUCAGUCAUCUUUUCGCUCUCUCCACUGGCAAGAAUCUAUAAACAAUGAUGACCCAUGAAAGAAAAAUACUCUGUCGAGAGUGAGGUCACGAGAUAAAUGAAUUACCUUCGCGGAAGAUGAAAUCUUGGCGCUCCGGCGGAUUCAACGGAGUUUGCCACACGACCUCCCCAACCUCCCCCUCCUUCUUCCUUUCUCUUCCUCUUCAUUUUCCUGCGACCAUCGACCGCUAGAAACGACGGCGCUGGGGAGGAAUAUGAUCCGUCAGAGCAAAAGGCGCUUCCUUUAUCCCACCUGAGGUAAGCGGGAGCUGCAGUGGCAGAGACAAGGCGACGUCGUUUCCAGCGUUCCGUCCCGUCUGUCCGUCCGACACUACUCUGGUCUGUAUUUUGGUCUUCGUUUCCUGUCUCGUUUGGUGACUCGCCAACAAACCGACACCAAUCUUCCAAACCAAAAGCAGUCGCAUUUCGGUCGUUAGCUUCACCAACUUGCCAAGGUAUGACAUGUUUCUCUGAGCUACUCCCUGCCCAUCAAUACCUUUAAACUCGACACCAUCUUCGCUUUCUUUCCCACGCCGUAUCUUUGAUUUCCUUUUGCCGAGAGUUCACCAAGUCCCAGCUUUUCAUCUUCCUGCUUGCCAGCUUAAUCCAUCGACUCGACUUCCUUUCGCUGAUUCAGAUGGAAUGAUCCAAUAAGGUCCCUUGUUGAACUGAGACGAGGCAGAGAGACGGGCACGCGGGAGUGAUCGACAAGAAGGAGGCGGAAAUGCGUGAAGACGAUUUGGUGGAUGUAAAGUUCAGAUUGUUCGAUGGAUCGGACAUGGGUCCCUUCCAGUACUCAUCGGCACCCACCAUCGAGAUGUUGAAGCAGAGAGUUGUCUCCGAUUGGCCCAAAGGUUUCCCUCACACCUCCUUCCCAUGUUCGUUUAAGUAUACGUUUUGUGCUGAAUAACCAUAUAAUCCGGUAUCUUCAUCUUGUUCAGAUAUGGUUUAUAAGAUUGGUAAGAUAGUUUAAACCAGCUUAGCAGGGUCAUACGCGCAGACUAUAUGAACUUUUUCUUGUUUUAAGCCGACUACAGGAGCUGCUUUCUUGUGGAAUGUAGGAACUGUCUAGGAACUGAGAUCAUGUCUACUACUGGGCCUUUUCUUAAGUUAGUGAUGACCCUGCUUUAAAUUUAUCUGAAAUUAUAUCAGUGCCAGUGAGUCAGUGACCACAAGUUUAUGACUCAUGGUGCUAUCAUGAAGAGCUGUGAUCGUCUGUUUGCGUACACGCUUCCAAGGCCAAGUUCUUUCCCAUCUUCAAAAAAUUUUCACCCUUAUUAAAAGAUCAUUUUCAUAAAUCCGUACAGCGAGUUCGCAUUAAUAAUGCCUAUGAAUUUUUCAAUCACAAAUAUUCUUCACUGUUUAUUACAAAUGGUAUCCUUCUUGAGAGCACCUGCGCAUAUUCCCUCCAACCAAAUAGUGUUGUCAGAAGAAAACAUUGUUAUCUCUAGAAGCUGCUCGCUCCCUUAAAUGUCAAGCUUUUAUUCCAAAAAUGUUCCAAGAAGAAUGUGUGGUCAUGGAAACAUACUUAAUCAAUUUGAUUAUCUCGAGUCCUUAAUGGACGAACCCCCUUCGAAUUGAUUUUUGGGAAAAGUCCAGAUAUUCGCCAUUUGUGUCUUUGGUUAUUUACAUUAUGUGUCUAUCAUGGGCCCUCAGAACAAAUUGUAUCUUCAUGCUGUUAAAUGUAUAUUCAUGGGAUAUCAUACUCUUCAAAAGGGAUAUUUAGUUUAUGACCCAUCCACUAAGCGUUUAUUUAUCAGUAGAGAUAUUAUCUUCCAUGAAUAUGUUUUCUUGUUCCAAGACUAGUUAUCUUUUCAUAAACAAAUUAAUAUGGCUACUAAUCACUGCCCAUUUUUUUACUAAAGCAGUUUUUGUUGCCCUUUCGACCGAUGAUGAUUCCCUAUAUGUCCUCUCCCAUGGCAUCCUCAGCUCCUCAAUAUGAUGCAACCUCAUUAUCAGGUACAUAUAAUACAGCUCUCAAUAUUCCACAGGAAGUCACAUCAAAGCUCCGUACAACUUCUCAAUCACAUACUUCUUUGGGUGAUAUCUAUCUUGAAUCACAUGGGAUUAUUCCAUCCGCUGCACUAAUUCCUCCUUGACGUUCCGAUCAUACUACAUGACCACCCACAUGGACAACAGAUUAUAUUUGUCCUACCUUUGAGUCAUCUAGUAGACAAUAUCCCAUCUCAUCACAUGUUAUACUCACCUUUCACCUGACAUAUGUGCUGCCUUAGCAGAAUAUUUGAAGGACAAGAACCAUCUUCAUAUGAUGAAUCUACAAAAGAUCCUUGUUGGCAACAAGCAAUGGUGGAUGAAUUACAAGCCCUAAUAGAAAAUAAAACUUGGGAUAUCAUUCCUAUACCCCUCAUCGGAAAAUCUGUGAGCUGGUACACAAAAUCAAAUACAAGAUAGAUGGUUCCAUUGAACCUUAUGAGACAGGAUUAGUAGCCAAAAGGUUCACUCGGCAAGAAGGUUUUGAUUAUAUUGAAACGCCCUCUCCAGUAGUGAAGGAAGUCAGCGUCCAUUCCUUCUUUUCCGCUUUUCGUGAUUGGCCCAUUCGUCAAAUGGAUAUUCGUAAUGCAUUUUUCAUGGGGAUCUUAAAGAUGAAAUCCACAUGGACCUUUCACUGGAUUUACGCGGACAAUGAGAGAAUAAUGUAUGUUAUUUCUGUAAAUUCCUAUAUGGACUUAAACAAGUUUCUUAUCAAUGUUAUGCCGACAUUGAUUAUGCUUUAUUCUCAGCAAUUUACUUGCUUAUAUACAUUGAUGAUAUGCUUAUUAUAGGAAAUAAUGAAAAUACCCAACAUAUGUGUCUCAUAUUAAGGAUUUAGGACAUUCCAAAUACUUUCUUGGGAUAGAGAUUGCACGAUCAGAUAAGGAAAGUUGCCUCAAUUAACAAAAAAUUGUCCUAGAAAUCAUAGUAGAAGCAAAACUAUUGGGAUCUAAACCAAUUGUUAUUCCAAUUAAACAGAAUGUUAAGUUAACAAUUGCUGAGUAUUAUAAAGGACUAUCACACCCGAAUGACAACCUUUUGCUCAAAUACCCUUCUUCUUAUCAGAGACUUGUCGAGAAACUCACAUAUUUAACCAUGACUAAACCCAACAUAUGCUAUUCUGUGCAAAUUUUCAACUAGUUCAUACAUAACCUGAAGCAAUCCCACAUGAAUGAUUCACUAAAGGUUGUAAAGUACUUAAAGGAAUUUCCAAGUUUGGGAAUACUACCCUCUCGGGAAAGCAACAUGGAGAUGACAACGUAUAAUGACAUAUUAUGCUACUUGCCCUAUGAGUAAAAAAUAUUUCAGUAAAUUCUGCUUCAAAUUAGGCAACUCAUUAGCCUCUUAGAAACAAAGAAAUAGUCAACUACUUUUUCAUCAUCUGUUGAAGCAAAAUAUCAAGCAAUUGGCAAGACUAGCUUGGAGAUAGUUUGGAUUAGAGGAUUACUUCAAGAUAUUAGCCUAUCGGUAAAAGAACCGACCAUCAUAUUCUGUGAUAAUGAUGUUACACUUAAACUUGUAGUAAAUCUAGUUUUCCAUGAAAGACACAACAUAUAGAAAUUGAUUGUCAUUUGAUUAGAGACAAAAUUCAAGAUGGAGUAAUCAAAACAAGAGAAAUGAGAAUGACGGAACAGCCCGUAGACAUCUUUAGUAAACCCCUACAUGAGAGGCAACAUGCGUAUAUAUUAAGCAAGCUGGCAUCCUUGAUGUGUAUAAACCAUCAGCUUGAGGGGGAGUGUUGAAGAUAUUUUUGCCUAGACUGAUUGAUCUUGAUCCAGAUACUGAUUGUAAUUGUUGCCUAAUUAUUUCCUUUACUUUGCAUGUCUCUUUUUCCUUAAAUAGUUUGAUCGUAUGUGCUGUAAAAAGGACUAUAAUUGUACAACAUUGAUAUGAGAAAGCGAUAUACAUUUUUCUAAUUUUCUGACAAUUUCAUGAAAUAAAAUUAUUAGGCGCCAUUGUUAAUUAUCUAUCUUGUACUUAAAAGUCCAUUAAUACAUCUAAAGAUGAUAAAAGAUGCUAUCUCUAAAAUUUGGUGUUGUAAGGUCAUAAGUUAAAUGGCUACUAAGCUAUCAAUUUUAGUUCCUAAGCCAUUGGAUCUCAAUUUGACAUGUCUUUCAUAUGGGAAAGGACUUACUAAAGUCUUUUUUUUUUUUUUUUCAUCUAGUUAGAUAGAUAUUUUGACAAUAGAAAUAUAAGUUUGAACGGGAAAUUUUCUAUACUUAAAAAUGAUCCUAUCUAAGACCAUAUGCAUCCAUGCUCAUUAUCUCAUGACAUGUGGUACGUCUAAAAAAAUAGAUUUAGCAAUACCCAUUAUUUCCUAACAUGGUAUAUAUAAACAGCUGGUCUUUUCUAUACAUGAAGAAUUGUUAGGUGUGCUCGUAUUAUCUAUUAAAAUCAAUGUGGACCGUCACAUGUGUGAAAUCCAUAUGGUCAUAAGAAACCAACUUUCUGAAAAUGCCCAAAAUUCUUUAGUAUAUAUAGAGCACUCACCUAAUAAUUUUUACUAUGGGAAGAACUGGUUUCGCAUGUUACUAUUUCAAAAAUGAAGUAUCUUUUAAAAAGUUUUCUUGACAUGUAUAUAUAUAUAUGUAUGUAUGUUGUAGAAAUACUUAAAUGAUUCAAAGAAUGCUCUAGAUAAUUGAAAAUUCAGAGACGAUCACAUGAUGCGCAACAUCAUUUUCAAAUUCAUAAACUUGUAAUGUCAAAAAACAUGACAUGCGUCCGAAAUUGUUAGAAUAAGAAUGAUGAUUAAGACAGGGUAUAAAUCUAACUUAACACGAGGCAAAAUUUUUCCAUAAUUUAAAUCCAAAGCGAUUAUUUAAGCAGUCCACAACACGGAACAUGAGCGCGAAACUUGGUCACGCUAUAACUUUCUCCAUUGAACCCCAUUUCAAGCGUACUUAUAGUCAAUGGAAAGCCCUUCCAACAUUAUUACAAGAACCCCAAUUUAGCCAACCCCAAAUCUAGCCGAAAACCAACAAAAUAUGGCCCCAAAAUACUGGUCGCGCACUGUUCAUCACGAGCGAGAAACUUCAAAAUUUUGUUUUGGGCAAACCGUAAACUCAAAUCAAGAUCUGUAAAAUCCUAUAGCACCCUAAACUAUCAUUUCUAUAUAUACAGCUCAACGACUCAAAAAUUGGAUUUUGACGCACGAAUUUCACAUAUUCCCAAAUUUAAACCCCAACUUUGAAAACCAUUUUGAUUAGAAAGACGAAGGGCAUGAGCAUUUAUCGAGCGUUGUAAAUCAAAAUUGAAUCGGCUUGGCAAGGCGUCCACAGCAAGAGUCCCCUCUCUUUCCUCCUCUUUCUUCUUCUUCUUUACGUUCCUUUCUCUCCUCUUUCUUCUUUUCCUUCUGCCCGAACGUGCCUCCUCCUUUUCCUCUCUUUUUUUUCUCCCUCUCUCCCGAAAACUCUCGGUCUCUCUCCUUCUUCUUUCUCUUUUUUAUUUUUUUGACUGGAUCAAAACCCAUAUUUUACCGUUAGAGACUCUUAUCAGCUCUUAUCCCAUCAAGUGGCCAUCUCAUAUUAUAAUUCCACACUCAACCUCGAACCGAGUGAUUACAUUGUCCUCUGGAAGCAAUCAAUAUAUGCUCUUCCAAAAUCCUCUUGUUAUGUAGAGCUUUCCUCUACCGAAAUGGUAGGUGUAACCCUAAUACCCUCUCGUCACCAUUUCCGUAUCUUGGCCAUGGAAUCUCAAAUUCCAGGAAGUCUCAUCUACAUUUUCCCUUGCAGUUAGCUUCGUCACCCUUCAAAAUUGCUUCGUACAACUGAACGAGCCUCGCUUUCUUCCUUCCUUCCCCAUCGACGCUUUCACCACCACUUCUUUGCUUCUGUUUCAAUUCUGUUCGUUUUUCAUCUCCGGACCUUCCAAGUGUUGUUUUCAUGUUCCCUUUUGGCCAUGUUCGAGAUUACCCAGGAACAUUCACACGCCAGUCUCGCUCACCUUUGCUUUAACAGGUUCAACCUGACCUAGAUUUCCCUUUCUUUUUUCUCGAUUCUGUCUAGCAAACUCAUGGACCAUGAAGAAGAUGAGACUUCUUCCCGACUUGCCGCACUUUGUCAACGUCUGGGAAGAUUAUGCUCAGCACAUGAAAUAGAGGUCUAGAACGACGAGCCAUCCCCUGCAAAAUUGGAGGAAUGUAGAUUAACUCUCAUAGGUAAAAUAUUUUCUAAUCCCUCUAUCAAUUUCCAGGCUUUUCAGAGCACGUUAAAGAGAGUAUGGAGAACAUAACAGGUUGACAUCUCACAGAGAGAGGAUGGUGUCUAUGUGGCAAAAUUUAAAUCGGAGACACAUAAGCAGAGGAUUCUAGAGGACGGACCUUGGCUAUUUUCCAGACAUCUCGUAGCUUUUAAAUCUUGGAUUCCAAAUACCCCAUUGCAUUGCUACGACUUCUCCACCUGCGCCUUUUGGGUGCAAGUUUUUGGCUUGCCAUUGGAGUGGUGCACUAAACAAAUGAUUUCCAAGGCAGUCAAAAAUAUUGGCACAGUGUUAGAAGUAAAAGCAGAUAAAGAAGGUUUUAACAUGAGAUCGGGUCGCGCAAGAGUAGAAAUUAAUCUACAGGAACCUUUGCAGACAAGCCGACUUAUUAGAAUCAAUAACAAGACAUUAUGGUUGGAUUUUCGUUAUGAGCGGCUUUCACACUUUUGUUAUUCAUGUGGGAAGUUGAGGCAUUAUGCCAUGUCUUGUAAGGACAUUCCAUUUGACGAAGUGAGACUUGAUGGAAAGGAGAAGAUGGCUUAUGGACAAUGACUCCGUGCAGAAGUUAAGGAGCAUAGCCCUUACUGGAGAAUCUAUUAUGAACCGAAGGAUAAGGAAGAAACUUUGGAAGAGAUAGUACCUGAAACACCUCCUACAACCACCCACCCUCUCCCUUUACUACCGCCGACAAUUACCACAGAAGCAACUCCCCUCCUGCAGCCUAUGGUAGCAACUACCACUUUUUCAACAGCUCUAAAGGAUCACCAAGGACAUGCGGGUACUCUGUCCAGUAGCAUUAUUCAUACAAUGAUGAUACCUGCAACAGAAAAGCUGAAGGGUGUUUAGGUUCAGCCAAGCAUUUUAUAACAUGUGAAGAAAAUAAAGAACUUUCGCCAUACACCGAAGAUUGGUCCUGCCAAGAAGCUCAAAUGCUACAACCCCUAUGACAUGCAAAUUUCAGCUCCAGACGACUUAGACGAAUCGUUACUUAUGGACACACCCAUCAUGGAAGCAACUGAAGACGGAAGUUGGGCAAAGGUGGCUGGCCCUAAACAACCACCUCCUCACAAAUGAAAAUCCUAAGUUGGAACUGUCAGGGUUUGGGCAAUCCCCUGACAGUUCAAGCACUAAAAGCCCUUGUGGCAACGGAAAAGCCCGAUCUCUUUUUUUUUUUUGGAAACUAAGAACAAAGAAGUUGUUCUUCAUACCUUACCAAAAAAAAAAAAAAAAAAACAAAGAAGUUGUUCUUCAUAGAAUGAAAUGCCGUUUACAUUUUUUGCAUCUUCAUGUGUACAACCCGGUUGGCUCAGCAGGAGGCUUGGCUGUGUUAUGGAAUGCCAGCAUUACUUUAACUUUUAUCAGCUCUACUUCGGACUAUUUUCACAUGACAUGUAAGGAUGAAGAGGACGGCAAAACCUGACGUCUUACUUGUCUCCAUGCUCUUGCUGUCAAUCACUUAAGAUAUCAGGUAUGGCAGGAUCUUAUUCAAAUCAUCAAUGGCAAUCAUCUACCAAAGGUUUGCAUAGGAGAUUUUAAUUAAAUUCUUUACCACUGGGAAAAGGAAGGGAAAAGACCAGCAGAUUUCAAUCAAUUAGCAUCUUUUCAAGCGGUUGUGAAUGAUUGUUCUUUAAUGCAUAUCAAAGCAAAGGGGUGUGCGUUUACAUGGAUGAAUAAUCGAGAAGGGGAUGAGUUCAUCAAGGAAUGUCUUGAUAGAGUCCUAUGCUCUAUGGAAUGGCGCCUAUUAUUUCCUAGGGCUGAAGUUCAUGCACUCCCUGCUAUGGGAUCUGACCAUAGCCCUCUCUUAUUAAAUACCACAACUGCUAUUGGGAAAAAACAGCGGUACUUUAUGUUUGAAGCUUAUUGGAACCAGGAUAGUGAUUGUCGCGAAAUUAUUAAUACUUCAUGGAAUUCUGAAAAGGUGAAGAAUGCAGCAUUUAUGCGUAAAAUUUAGGCAGUUUCGGGUGCACUAGCAAAGUGGAGUCGCAACAAAUUCUCACAUAAUCGACUCAAAGUGGCAAAUUUGCAACAACAACUGCAGCAGCUCACAAACCAACCACAUAGAUUUUAUGACAACUUGGCAGCGUCAGCUUUGAAGGAGGAGAUACAAAAAGUGUGGCAUCGAGAAGAACAGUAUUGGGCAAUGAGAUCCAGGAUCAAUUAGCUUAAAUGGGGUGAUAAGAAUACCAAAUUCUUUCACGCCACUACUAUCCAACGACGUCAACGGAAUAGAAUUACUAUGUUGAAGGAUGAUAACCACACUUGGGUGCGGGAUUCUACACAAUUAAAGGCAAUGGCGACAGCAUUCUUUUCACGCUUAUAUACCAUAGUGGGAAGUCGCAACUAUGGACCUAUAUUAGAUCAGUGUCCUUCUGUGGUUACGCAAGAGAUGAACGAUGUCUUAAUAGCAAUGGUAACCCUCGAAGAGGUGCAUCCGACUACUUUUCAAUUAGGAGCCACCAAAGCUCCGGGUCUAGAUGGUUUAAAUGGUUUAUUUUAUCAAAAGCACUGGGACAUCAUUAAAGAUGACCUCUUUACAGUGGUAUGCAAUUUUUUUUUUAUAUAAGGAAUUAUGCCCUUUGAUCUAAAUAGAACUAUUAUCUCACUGAUUCCUAAAACUCCCCAUCCCAAAAGUUUAGAUCAAUAUCGCCCUAUCAGCUUGUGCAAUUAUGCUUACAAGAUUAUUUCCAAAGUCAUUGCCAAUAGAUUGAAACCUCUCCUACUAGAUCUGAUCUCAAAAGAACAGUGCGCUUUUGUGGGUUGUAGGCAGAUACAGGACAAUAUUUUACUAGUCCAGGAAGUUCUCCACCAGCUCAAGAUAAAAAAUAAAAAAAGAAGGAAGCGUCAUUUUCAAGCUGUUCUUAAAAUGGACAUGAAGAAGGCGUAUGACAGGGUGGAAUGGGAUUUUCUACAAGCUUAUCUUCUCAAAUUAGGAUUCCACUCCAUGUGGGUCCAGUGGGCUAUACAGUGCAUAACAACCCAAUCAUCCUGCGUCAAAUUCAAUGGAGAACAUCUACAGUAUUUCCAUCCUACCAGGGGUCUUCGACAGGGUGAUCCUCUAUCCCCAUAUCUUUUCAUCCUGAUGGCUAAUCUCUUAUCUUUUCUUAUCAAGCCAUCAACAUGGAAAACCUCAAGGGUAUUAAACUUAACAGGUGGUGUCCUACUUUAUCACAUUUGUUUUUCGCAGACAAUGCCAUUUUCUUUCUAGAUGGUACUGUUAUUGAAUGUCAAAACUUAGCGAAUAUAUUACACCAGUACUACUUAGCAACAGGGCAAGAAGUUAAUAAAACUAAAUCCGACAUCUUUUUCGGUACAGCUUGCCCUGCUAGAUUACAGGAGAAUAUGGCCACGGAGUUGAGAGUACCUAUUUUGCAAAAGUCUGGAAAAUAUCUAGGGAUACCAUCUGAUUGGGGGCAUUCAAAAAUGGACAUGUUUUCAUGGAUAAUGGGGAGAGUUCAUUCCAAAUUGGAAGGUUGGAAAGAAAAUCUCAUUUCGAAAGGUGGGAAGGAGAUUCUUCUUAAAAUUGUAGUACAAGCUAUUCCACAAUACGCCAUGUCUAUUUUCAAGUUACCUUUGUCUAUCUGCAAAGCUAUUGAGAAAAGAAUUGCAAGGUUUUGGUGGCAGAAUGAAUGACAUGUGUAAAUCAGGUAUUCAUUGGCGAAGUGGGGAAGUUCUGAAAAGAAGAAAAGAGGAUGGUGGUUUGGGAUUUCAAGAUCUGAUGAAUUAAUAGAGCCAUGCUAGGCAAGCAAGCAUAGCGUUUACUUCAUCAACCAUUAUCUUUAUGGAGUAAAGUCUUUAAAGGACUUUAAUUCCAUUCAACGAGCUUCUAUAAUGCAGAAAAAGGCUCUCGCCCAUCUUGGGGCUGGCAGAGUCUUAUUAUCGGAAGAUACACUAUCCUACCCAACAUUCACCGAUCUGUUGGAGACGGGCGAUCAAUCAAAAUUCGAGGAGAUAGGUGGCUACCUAUCGGCAUAUUAGGCGGACCUACAAUCCACGAAGAACCUCAACUGGUGGUUGACCUUAUAGACUAAACCAAUAGCACCUGGAAUGUCAAUCUGCUGAACAGACUCUUCGACACGCAGGUAAUAGAUCAGAUCACUACCAUCCCAAUAAGACCCAAUUUUGUUAAGGAUCAGAUUAUAUGGACUGCUACCAAAGAUGGAUAUUUCACUGUCAAAACUACUUAUCAUACACUCACAGAUUCAGCAACAACUCAGACAGAAAAUACAGCUUCCACAUCUUACCAGAAUCCAAGCUGGUUAUGGAAGAAAAUCUGGAAAAUGAAUACCCCCAAAAGUUCGAACAUUCCUAUGGUUGCUAUGUCACAAUGCUUUAGCCACAAGAACAAAUUUAUACCAGAGACAUAUCAUUGCAAAUCCGAGUUGUCUUCUCUGUAAUCAGCAAGCACCAAAAACCCUAGAACACUUGUUCUUACUAUGUCCAUGGACUAAACAUGUUUGGUCUCAUCCCUAAAUUGAUAUUCCGAUCUCACCUCUCGAUAUUAAUAGAAUCGACGGAUGGAUUACAGAGAAAGCUCGAAAGCAAAAUUCAUUACCUGGCUUGGAGACACUAGCUACUGUGCUUUGACAGAUUUGGCGAGCUCGAAAUGGAUUCAUCUUCAGAAAUGAAGGGCUUCAACCAUUUCACGUGGCUGAAGCAGCGCUCGCUGGAACCCAUGUUGCUCGGCUAGCGGCUCAUUCUCUAACCAGCAAAGGAAGGUCACUCCAGAACAAGGGAGCCCUGUGGAAGCCGCCAGAUCUAGGUACCCUGAAGGUCAAUAUAGACGGAUCACAUCAACUAGGCACCAGGGAAGGUUCUAUGGCUUGUGUUUGUAGAGAUCAUCACGGAAGACUUACCAAUGGUUUCUCAAGACACUUUGCUGCAAACUCGGCCCUAUAGGCGGAGAUCCAGGCUUUUACUCUCACCCUACAGUACCUGCUACGCCAAGGCUUAAACCAAGCGUAGAUUCUGGUUGAAUCGGACAGCUCAGUCCUCGUCGAGACGUUGAAUCGACGACGGAAGUUGCCAUGGGAGGAUCGCCCUCUGUUCUUCGAAGCCGCCUAUCUGUAUUCCAGUUUCCCUAAUCUUUUACUCUCCCACUGCAGAAAAGAGGCUAAUGUGGCUGCCGACUGGGCAGCAAAGGCCCACGAUCAUGCCUAUCCCUUUCAAAACUGGGCUGUUUUUUCACCGUUUUACUUGAUUGACAUUAUAUGUGCUGAUGCAAUAGCUGCCGGUUGUAAUGGGUUUUUAUCUUAGUAUAGUUUCCUUUUUCUGACCAAAAAAAAAACCUCGAACCGAGCCUACCCACAUCGAGAGCUCUCCAGCAAUUUGGCGCACGAAACUUCAAUCGCAAAUACCAUCGAACGAAUCUGGGAGGAGAGUUUAUAUGUCAAGGGUACCCUACUCCAUGUUCUCGCAUAAGACGCAUGAUACGAACGGAUGCAAUUCGCGAUAAGAUUAAUGCUGAUGUCGCGCUCAAAAAAGGGCUAGGGGAUAAAGCGCAACGAUACCAUUAAAUUAAAGUCUUGAUUAGCCAAAAGAAACGAUAGAAAGACCCGAAAUGAUUCGGCAUUCAUAGCGAAAAAGGGAGACGCGGAUCGAUCCGAAACGACCUGUCUCCCAUUUUUGGUGGAGGGGUGUGUGAAAAGAUGGGGUGGGGAUGGCAAGACGUCACUCCAUGAAUGGAUGGAUCGAAGGUUAUCCCCUCGACGUCUGUGCGAUUGCCCAAAUUGGCCAAGUGGAGAUCUAGCUGUGAACCCUGACUCAUCUCAAUCCUUCGACAUUUAGCGUAUGCAUCGAUCCACCUGAGAUCUUCAUAGAAUGUACCGGGCUCUUUAAUUUAACAUAAGCUAAUACAUUCGACAUAUCCUGAUGACCAACAGACAGUCAUGCAAUUGCUCCUGAAACAUAGCUUCUUGGUAUAGGUAAGGGUCAGAAGAAAUUUUCUGUGCUAUAUGUCUAUGCUUUUAUCUAAUGUCUAGAGUCAAAUUUUCUUUGCAUCGAAUUUGGCGUUACUUACUUAAAUACUAAGUUCAGUACGCUAGUAUCGCAAAUUUUGUUUUUUUCCUCACUUUAUCUUGAUUAAUAAUCGGGAUAAGUGCACUGGAAGUUCUAAAACUUACUAUAAAAGUAUAAUCAAAUUCUAUAAUUUUUAUAAAGUGCAAUUAACAAAAAGAAUUAAUUGGAUCAAUUUGACAAAUUUUAUGACUCAAUUGUACUUUUUGAAAGUUUUAGAACUCUAUUAUACUUUCGUGACAAAUUUUGGUGCACUCAAUACACUUACCCCGCAAUUAUUUUGACUAAAUCAUUCUUUUCUAAAUGGCCAGAUGAUUGUAUAAGGUGUUGUAAAUAUAUUAUUUUCUUUAACUUUUCGCUCAAGUGGAAACGUAGGCUACACCCUACUUAGUUUAACUUUUUCUAAGUAUCUAAGAUUGCUAUGUCAAUGAAGACAUAUUUAUAUAUAACAUCAAUAUAAAAUUAAUGUGGAUUAAGACAUGUCUACGUAGAAAAUCAAUAUAUAAUCAAUCUUUGGCGCAACGAUAAUAAGAAGGAAAGUCAAUAUUAUGCCUGGGCGAGGGUCAACCUCCCCAACGCGAGAACCUUGCCAUGGCCAAGGAGAGGCUAGUCGGGGCUCACCAAACCUCACCAUCGCUCUCACCCAAGCGAGGCCUAAUGAAGCACGGCAAGGCUACUUUGGCCUAGGCGAUGGUCAACCUCACCAGAUCUGGCGAGAGGGGCCUUGCUUGGCCAUGCCUGGACGGCCAACGCUUAGCCUCGACUUGGCGAGGCUAACCCUUGGCCGUGGCCCACAAUUGCGACUUUGCUAGCCAUGGUUGUGGUCAGUGGUUGGUGAUGGCCACCAGAAAAAGAAAAAGGGAGAGAAAGGGGGAAGGGAAAAAAAUUCAAUAAUUAUUUUAAAAUUUCAAAAAAUUCAAGAAAAUUAUUAAAAUAUUAUUUAAAAUGUCCAUGUCAAUGUCGAUCGCACCAUGUCGAUAGGCCAACGUGCGCAUCAGUAAUUUUCUACCUAAAUUGGCCAGAUGAAUUGAAUUGAUACCAAUAUAAAAAGAUUUAAAACUAAAUUGAUCCAAUUAAAAGGUUUAGGACUAAAUUGAUACCGAUAUAAUAAAUUUAGAACUUUUUCAGUACUUUUCCAUUAAAGGCAUGGACAACAAGGUAAGUUAUUUUACUCAAUAAUUGAAAAUACAAAUGUCACUUACUUUACAACAAGGUUGUGUGUGAUUAAAUUACUCUUAGGAGAGUGUUUGACAUGCACUUUGCCAAUUUGUGGCCCUCAUGUACCAAAACAUAUGUUGAUUAGUGACUUAUGUUUUCCCCUAAUUACUUGCUUUCACGUUGAUUAAAUAUAUCGUCAUAGGUUUAUCGAAUUGAUAUUUGUACAACUAAGCUAUAUGAGAAUGUGAUGUGCAGAAUUGAUAUACCAAAUGACAUAGUAAAUUGUAAGUAUGCAUUUAAAUAAGUGAGACAAGGUGGGUAAAUAUAGUAUUACAUCACUAGAUGUAUCAAUUACGUCAAUCAAUUUUAGUAUACUUAGCACAUAAAAAUCCUUUUAUCUAAAUUCCAUUUACGCAAUGUUAACUUUAAGUUCAACGGGAGUGGUUACGUGAUCAAAAGUGACUUUUGAGUCCUAGAAAGGGUCGAAUCUUUAUACCAUGAUAAGGUGCUGGCGUCACGUACGGGCGCACAUUCACCUACUACGGCAAGCCACCUGCAAUUAUUAGGGGAGUUCAUCAUCUCCAUUUGCAAUAUUAAAAGAUAUUAUGGUGAUAAUCGAUACUUUAAAUGAUGCGAUAAAUUCAUAUCUAUUGCACCACUUAAUCAACGUCAAAAUUAUCUAAAGAGUCAUAAAUUUAUCGUGUGGCAAUGAAUUCAUUUUUAAACUUGCCAAUUUUAACUAAUGUAGUCCUAAACCUUUUGACAUUUUUACUAGUUUUGGUUAGAAAUUGUUGACAUAAUGAUUCCAUUAAUGCACGGCCGAUUGCUGACAUGGACAAUCUUAUAUGAAACGAUGUUAUUUUGCAUUGAACCAAGAAUAUCUGAAGUUUUUUCUCUCUUUUCUUUUCUUUCCAAUAUUUUUUUGCUUUUUAUUUUUCCUAUUAUAUGUUCAUCUUUAUUACCUACCAGUCACAAGUGAGGGUCAUAACCCUUGCUAGAUUUGGGCAAAGCGGCCAACCAUAGGCUAAGGUAAUCCUCGCCAGAUUUGGCAAGGCCAUAAUGCCCUUGCAAGGGAUGGCCAACAUUAGGGUUGCCCUCGCCUUUGGCCGAUGAUCUUCACAAACCACUGCCCAGGCUCUAAUGAUCGACUAACAAAAAAGAUGAAUAGUACAUUAAAAAAAGAAAAGAAUCAAAGAAUUCAUAUAAAGAACAAUUCCAAAGUAGCAAUGUGUCAUUUAAGAUCUUCCACAUCAAUCGCCGACUGUUGUCAUGUCAACAAUUUCCUAUUUAAAUUGACGUGAUAAAUUACAUUUAAAAAUCAUCAAAAGUUUUAGGACUACAUUCGGUAAAUUGAAAAUUUUAUGACUUAAUUAACCGUCAUAUAAUAGAUUUAAAAUUUUUUGGACAACUCUCUCUUCAAUCAACCACCAUCAUAAAACAUUCUCUACUCCAGCAUAACUUUUGCCUUCCAUCUCCUCUAUAAAUUGCAAGGCCAACGUGAGCACGAUUUCCACUACAUAGCCUUAUUUGUUUUCAGCUUCGAAAUCUUCCAUUUGAAUAUCUUCAGUUUCUGAGAGGAAGAGAGUGGGAAAAUGACCAUCUUCACGACUGACAAUCCCUGGGUGCUUAUUUUUGGAGUUAUAGGUACUUUACACACGGUAUCCAACUGUUUUAUAGUUACUAUUGAACAACAACCGAUGACGUUGUUUUGACGCGUUUGUCAACCUUUGGAUGAUUGUUGUCGUAGGUAAUAUCAUAUCAAUCGUGGUCUUUCUGGUCCCAGUGUAAGUUUUUAACUCUUUCUCACUCCAUGCACACUGACAAAUAUGAGGUUUAGAACUUAUUUGAUCUUCUUUGGCAGGCCAACGUUCUAUAGGACAUGCAGGAGGAAGUCAACUGAAGGGUUAAAAUCGGUUCCAUACGUGGUUUCUCUGUUCAGGGCCAUGCUUUGGCUGUAGCAUCAGCGCUGUGACAUGGCCCCUAUAUGGCCUAUUCCUCAAGGACUUUUAUGUCGAGGUAUGCAUUGUUCAUCGACUUGUUAAAAAUCAAGAUCGCAAGGUGCGGCAAUAUUAUCUUCAUUCCCCUGAAUGAACGAUAUUAACAUGUGUACGUGUUUGUACAGGGUCCAAAUGUAUUAGUAGUCACCUUUGGAGUGCUUCAGACGGCACUGCAUGCCAUAUACAGGAAGGGGAAUACUAUGUGAUGGAGGAAGAGAAGAAUGAUACAAGUGUUGGGAAGCUGAGCUCUGAUAUACAAAGUUGCAAUGGGCAUGCCAUUGCCUCCCACAUCGAUACCAACAUCUUUGACGAGGAAAGAGAAGUGCGAGAGAAGCUUCAUCAUCUUCAUUGAAAUUCCUAAUAAAGGACCAGUGGCCACUCCAUCUGAAGUUUGACAGGCGUCUGAGUUACUCAUAUGCCUGAUCAGACUUUUUUUGUCAGCAGCCCCUAGCUAGCUUGCUCGUUGCUUCUGCUAUGUAAAUAAUAUGCAAAUGGAAGGGUCUGUGGGCGUGUGGGUGCUUGGGGGGGGGUCGGGCGGCGGGGAACUCUGUAAUCACCGUAAGGGGGGCCACCGGAAAUUAAUUUUCUCGUUCCUUCCGCGGUGUACUGUUGUUUGUGAAUGUUCAAUUUGUUUUUCCUCAUAGCACAGUUAUCAGACGCAUUACUCUUUGAGAAAGAGAUUCAGCUACUCUCCGUUCUUUGCUGAUUGAUUGAUAUCAUCUACUUACCAGGUCAUGUGGUCUGUCCGCUCAUGAAAUAUUUUUUUCCUUCGAAAUCCAGCUAGUUAGGAUCAUGAACUAAGAUCCCAGACACUCUGGGAGACCCUUUUUUUACAUUCAUUUGAGUAAAUUUGCCUCUUCAUCAGAAUAUAACUGUGGUCACGUAAUGCGUGCCCUGAGAUGACAUUAUAAGUUCUUACUCUGUGAUUCCAAUUAGAGAGAAGUUUGCUCAGGUGGGUAAAAAACUCACCAAGUAUAGCACGUAACAUUAGGCCCAGACUCAACCGGACCGUCAACCCAGUUACUACACAAAAUCAAUAGUUAAAAAGUACUCCCAACACACCAUAGAUAUCCCUGAUACAAAACUGAGAGAUCAGAGGAACUUCCCCCUGAAAAAAAAAAGUAAAAAGUAGUUCCCCAAUCAGACUGACAAAAAAAGAAUUGAGUCACAGCAAAUUGUUUCUUCACACAAGCGGGAUCAACAGUUAGUUCUCAUCCUACAAACAUGGACUUCGAUGCUAGCAAUUUCACUGAUGAGGAAGCUCUCUUUUCUACAACCAAUGGGCAUGCACUCGGCAUUGGAAUACACACUAUUGCGGUAGUUGAAACAAUUUUCACAGGUUUGCAAUUGCCUCGCACUGUAUCAGAUUCUUUCAAGGCUCUUUGGAAAAGUAAAUAGCUGCAUUAUGUGAAAUUGCUACAUUUUUCAAGCAAAUUUAGAAAACAGCCUCAAGAAGAAAAUUUGGAAUGUUCUCAGGCUAGCCAAGUGAUGCCCAAUCUGGAUUUGGGCACUCAUAGACCCAUCCAGGUCCAGAAUAUCGUAUGCAGUGCAGCCACAAUCCCUCCUCACUCCCAUCAUAUCUGCAUUUUGCAGACACUCAAAUCAAAUCUUAGGUCCUCUACCGUACACACGCAGGCAAGGGUGCGCAACCAGAAUAUGAGUAAAGACAAGUACCCAAGAUGGGAAAAAGGAGGAACACUCACCCUUUUGGAGCUAAAUUGGGACAAUUUGUGCACAUAGGGUCCAUACUAAAUUCAAUGCAAGGCUCUUCUUCCUUAUCAUUCUGCCUAAUAUCAGAAACACUGGAUUCUGAUGACAAACCAGCAGCUUUAUCAGCAACCAUUCCUUCAGCUGAAUGAUUGGUCCUUUGUUUAGAAAGGUAAAGCAUGUCAUUGGCAAUUGGAUGGCCACUAAACUGCAAAUGGACUCGUAUCUGCACAUAAAGAGCAGGGUUGAGAGAAGAAAGUGCUGCAAAUACUAGCAUAGAUCAAAUAAACCUUACAAAUUAAAAGGUAUAAUGACUUAACCAAAUGCAGAGAGGUAUAUAAUAAGCAGGAACUGAAAGUAUCUUACAAAAUGAGCACGGCAGGGUUUAUGGAGAGACAAAGUGCAGAAAAGAAAGCGCACAACUCAAGAAGUUAACAGUAAAUGCAAUGUCCUUCCUGUAUGUGUGGGUACAUCUAUGCAUGCAAUUGACUUGGCUACAUUAAGGAAAAACAACCGAGGAAGGUUCACUGCUUAUGGAAUAGAAAAUAGGAGGCAUCAGACUCUCAACAUGGUAUUUGCAUCCUUUAGCAUCAUAUUGCCUUACCUGAUGAGUUCAUCCAGUGACCGGUUCACAGAGAACAAUGCUAUGGGUUCCAGUGGUGCUGAUCCUUGUGAACUUUGUACAAGCGGUCUUUCCUUUCAAGAGCACGGUAUCACAAGUAGGGUCACCUGCCUGCAAAAAGAGAUAAUAUUGACCAGACUAAUGGCAUUAAGUACAUUAUUACAUUCAUUGCCAAUGCUCUAAUUUACUGGUCGAAAUGAAGACACAACUAUGAAACAGUCAGGGCAGAUUGUCACGCCCCAAUCCUCCGAGCACGCGAACAUCCCACUCUGGUCGAUACAAAUGCGACUUCCCAGGACACGUCGCCGACCCAUUCAUUUUUAUUGCACAUGCGUAAGCGAAACAAAUCCCCUGACAACAUCUAACUUGGGAUAGAAAAGCAGGCAAUCAAUCACAACCAAACAAGCUUUCUUAUAAACACAUAGGUUUAUAUACAACACUGGAUUGUCUACAAAAUAGACAGGCUCAACAACUAGAGAACUGUCCUAUGACCAACUUGUCAGACACGUUCCCCGAUUCUUCAGCCUCCACCUUCCGAACUCCAGGACGUCCGGUCCUCCACGACCGUCAUCUAGGGACCUGAAAUAUUAUCCCACAACCGGGAUGAGAUUACGUCUCAGCGAGUCCUACCAUCUAAAACUCAAUUAGGAAGAAAAUACGCCUCAGGGCGCUCUAGCCACACAAAUAGGAUAGUGGGCUUACCUCGCCUCAGUCCCUUUCCUGCACGUCAGUACAAUUCAUAUUCAACAAUACUCGCACAAGCUGAAACUACCGACAUACCCAUCAGUCUAUCAAUUCAGUCAAUCCAAUUGAUAUCAUACGAUCCACACAUCUAUCAAUUCAUAUCAUCUAUUAAACCAUACCAUCUAUUCAUCCAUCAAUACAAUUACGGCUCGCACAAGCUGAAAUGGAUGCAAUGCUCUCACAAGCUGAUAUAGAUGGUAGCUCGCACAAGCUGAUAUAUACAUAGAUGAUAGCUCACACAAGCUGAUAGAUAGAUCGUGCUCGCACAAGCUGAUAAAACGAUCUUAGCUCACCAGAAGCUGCCACAAUAUUCAAUAUAAUAUACUAUAGCUCACCAGAAGCUGCCACAAUAUUCAAUAUAGUAUACUAUAGCUCACCAAAAGCUGCCACAAUAUAUGUAUAUUAUAAUUGCUCGCCCAAGCUGAUACAUAUAUAUAUAAACAAAUGCUCGUCAAAGCUUAUCAUUCAAUAAUAAACCAACUCAUAUCUCAAUUCAAUCAAUCAAUCAAUCGAAUCGAUUUAAACUGGUCAUACAAACCAAUUACGGUGCUAAAAGCCAACACCGGGUAUUUUCAAGUUAAAUACCACAACUUCAUCAAUUUCACACAAUUCCACACUUUUGGAAUUAUUAACCAUAAUCAUCAAUCACUCAAUUUCUCAAUUUAAACAUGCAAUUAACACAAAUCGAUCGCACUGCUGCGAUCAGCGCGAAAUUCUAACAACCGGCCAUCCCGGCAUAAUUUUCGAAAUUAUUAAAUAAUUAAAUUUAAUUCCGAAAAUUAAAUAAUUAAAUAUUAUAUUAUAAUAAUAUAAUUUAAUAAAAUAAUAUUUAUAAAUUCGAAAUAAUUAAUUAAUUAAAAAAUAAUCAAUUAGGGCUUAAACAAGAUUACACUAAUUUAAUCAUACAAUUAGCCCUAAUUAAACACCAAUUAAACUAAUCAUACAACUAAUCUAAUUUACAUUAAAAUAAUCUAAUUUAAUCACAUAAACCUAAUUAUACUAAUCUAAACACCCCUUAAGCGUCAUUAACUCACUAAGCAAGAAUUAGAGGAUAAACUCACCGGAUUAAUGAUCCGAACAGCUCAAAACGACAAGGACGACGCGAGGGUCGAUAGUCUCCAAGGCGGGCCUAGCUUCCGGGGUCGGGAAGCCAGCCAAAACGGGCCAAAUAGCCGCUGUCAUACCCAUUUUCCAACUCUCUGUCCGCUGUUGGUUGAGGCCGAAAAUGAGCAGAUCCGGGGCUGGUUGGGGUCGAGAAUGGGCGGAGGAGCUGCAGCGGUGCCAUGCGGCCAACGGCGGGGCCUCACGGUGGUCGAAGGUGGCUGAUCCGAGGCUGGUGCUAUCCGAACAGCCUCCUGGACGCACGAGCAGAGAUCGACAAAGACGGUCGGGCGUGCAACAGGCGAACGGCGACCAGCGGACUUGGCGGGCUGUUUCGGAAGCUGGACAAUGGCAGCAACUACUCAGGCGACUUCAACAACAUUCAGGGGAGCUCGGGAAAUGGCGAAGAGGCCAGGGCGACUGGCGCGAACGGCUAGGACGCGCGAACAGCGCGCGAGCUGGACGGCGGGCGCGGGAGCUCGCGGAUGGACGGACGGCGGGCAAGCGGUGCGCGACGGCGGUUCGACUGGACUGCUGGCUGCUCCGGCGUCUUCCCAGAUCUGCUAGGACACGAGCAGCAACUGGAGAUGGAGAAGAGAGGGCUUCGACUACGGUUGAAGAGGGAGAGGGAGACGGUUGCGCGCGGUUGGACGAGCGACGGUCUCCGGUGGCUUGCGGUGGCGUUCUGGCGUGAGGCGUGCGACGAUGGGGCUGCUCGGCGGUUCUUCUGGUCUGCUGAAGUCUCGCACAGCAGGGAGAGAUGGAGAGAAGCGACGGAAGAGAGAAGGGGAGGAAGAAGAAGACCGGUUCUCUCUCUCUUUUUCUCUUUCUCUUUCUCUCUCUCUUUGGCCCCACCAUGACCUCAUGGAUGAUGUCACAAUCCACUCACCCAAUCCUCCACAACCUCUUCCAAUGGUUGCAAUUUCAUUUUCCGCCGGGGUCCAAUUCUUGUACACUUAAUUUAAUCAAUUCUCAAUCAAUUCCAUUCAAUUGAAGCUCAAUUAAAUUAACCCAUGUGUCCUCGGCCUUCUCAUGACAUUUCCCCGUCAAAUGAUCCAACUUGCAUCCCGAAGAUUCGAUUAAAAACGGCCCUCUGACAGUCCCGAACAUAAACGGCCUUACUUUGCUUUUCUGCCAAAAAUCUCGGUUUGUAGAAAAAUCUUCUGGAGAUGAGUCGACAUUCCUAAAAUGAAUUGUGACUUGACAGAACUUCCAAUUUCUGUAAUCGGGUUCAAUUUCACGGUUAAAUUCAAUCCGGCGCGACUUUAGCGCGUCCUAAUCUACUGGGUAGCUUUUAGGAAUUUUCUGUGCAAUUGACCUGUGGUUGAUUAUUUUCAAGCCACAAAGUGCAUCUUCGACACAUUGGCGACUCUUGAUUGUCGUAGAAAUCUCGAGGUUUCAAAUACAGACACGGGGUACCAAAACGAUAGAGAAAUCGGUCUAGUGCCGAUCAACAAGAAUUGUGCAAUUAGAUGGAAUCACCCAUACUGAAUUACAUGGUUCUGUUGAAUCGACCUAUCUCCGGUCUCUAAUCGGUCUGUGCCGUAAUGACCAUUGCAGAUUAGUACGGUCGAGCAAUCGUUUCCUAGUCGAAUUCUCAAGUCUAUUGCGUUUAGAUUCCUUAACGGCUUCACCUGAUAGACUAGUUAUCUCGUGAGUGAUCAGCUCAGAGAAGAAAGCUAUAGACGCGAAGAUGAAAUGCCCAACUUAUUUAAUUGAAACUAGAAUUGGAAAAUCGGGAUGUCACAACUCUCCCCCUCUUAUAAAAAUUUCGUCCUCGAAAUUUAAACCAUUAAAAUUCUUCUUCAAAAUGGUGGGGUAUUGUCGUCUCAUCAAUUCUGCUCCUUCAUUCUGCUUCGGACUUCUGCUUCAAACUGUUAUCCAAGAUCCUCGGUGCUGCCGAAACAUUUCCAAAUUGGCCAAACCAAUUCUUGAUGCCCAAAAAGGCUAAGCACUUGUCCAUCUUUACAAAAAUGAAAGCUGCAAAAAUUUUGGUUCUUUUUUUCUUUUUUCUUUUUUUUUCCACAAAGCGGCUAACUGCCGCGUCGGGGAUUCGAACUCCCGACUUCAGACCGACAAGCUUCAUCCCGGAUACCAACUCGGCUAGAGGCGCCGACGGUGCUCCAAAUUGCUUUCUUUUUCCAUUUAAAGCCAAAUUUCUUCUUUGAACCCAAAUUUUGAUGGAUUCCGAUUUAAAUGUUGCUUCAUCUUCAUUUCCUUAACCAAACACGAUGUCCCUUUCAUAGGCGACAUUUAAGGAAAUAUAUUUCCCCUACUUGAAAUUCCAAGGCCUGCGAUACUAAUCUGCGAGGCUAAACUGGUGAUUCUGAGCGAUCUCAAAUCUGUCACUGAUAAUUGCAACUGAAUCACUGAUUUCUGAACCAACUCUGGACCUGCGAUUUUCUGAUCUCUGACCUCAACUCAACCAACUGAAGCUCUGAAUACUCUGCUCUGCAUUAACUAAAAAGAAACUAUCUGACUGAUUUGCUGAAACUGAGAACCUCUGGUCAAGAUUUGAUAUAACUUAGACACUGACACUAACACUCUAUGCAAACGAAUUAUCUGAUGCACAAACACCUCUGCAUGCCUUAUCCAAUCAAGAUCCUUCGGCACAGCCAUAGGGUGGGCUGAUUUCAUCAAUCUGUCCAUUACUACCCAAAAUGAAAUUAUUUACACACUGACUCAUCAAUAGAUCUGAAAUGCCAUCUCAGACUAGCCAUUGGUCUGAAGAUGAUAAACAUUACUAUACUGUAACUUCGUUCUCAAAGCACUCUGUAAACUUUUCUAGAAGGUAGCCACGAACCUCGGGUCUCGGUCUAAAAUAAUCGUCACCGGCACUCCAAAUAGACGAACUCUCUGACGUACGUACAACUCAGCGUACUUGUCCAAAACAAGAUCAUUUUCUAUUGCGAUGAAGUGAGCCGACUUCAUCUAUCUAUUCACUACUAUUCCAAUCGAAAUCAUUACUCAUCUGGUUCUUUGAUGAGCCUGUCACAAGAUCCAUUGUGACACGAUCCCAUUUCCGCAUGGGGAUCUCGAGAGAUUACAAAGGUCCUCUCGAAUUGCAAAACCAUGCUUUCUCUUGCUAACACAUCUGACACUCGCGACUUGUCAGUGAUAUUUGUCUUCACAACGGUCUACUAAUCCUGUUGAUGCAAAUUCUGACUCAUCUUCAUACUGUCUGGAAAAUGCUGAAGCUGCUACAACGAGUUUCCGAUAAGAUCUCUUCUUUAAUCUUGGUAUCAUCAGGUACACACAAUCGUCCUCAUAAAUCUGAAAAUUAGUUCCCCUCUUCUCGGUAUCCUCUCGCAGGAUCUUUUGCAUUUCUGAGUUUGUCCACUGAAGCAUCUGAUUCUAACCUGAAUAUCCGAUUCAAUUCUGAGGGUGGCCAUAAAAUUCGAAGGUGGCCUACCUCAGAUUUGAAAACCGAAUUUCGAACUUUCUCAAGUAAGGUCCAUACUUUAACCAGCAUAUGCACAAAUGAAGACUCUCAACUCAACGCAUCAAUGACUUCUUUCAUUCUUCCAAGGUGAUACCAGAUACCACCAUCCUAGUCCUUCAAACGAUCUAAUUCACAAUGGUAUCUCAUAUUCAAUUCAUUCUGAGAGAAUAUAUACUUUGAGACUUUUAACGGUCAGCGAAGAUCUGGAGUCUUUCUUCACACCAACAAUAUCUCUAAAUCUUCAGAACGAACAUUAUUACUGCAAGUUCUAAGUCAUGCGUCUAUAAUUCCAUUCACGAGGUCUCAACUGACGGGACGAGUAUGCAACAACCUUGCCAUGCUGUAUUAGCACGCAACCCAAUCCUCUAAACGACGCAUCACUAUAGAUCUCGUAUCCUCCAGGACCAGAUAGUAUGGUCAGCACAAGUGCGGUAGUCAGCUUCUGCUUAAGCUCUUGGAAACUACGCCCGCACUUGUCUGUCCACACGAACUUCUCUUCCUUCUUCAGUAGUCGAGUUAAUGGCAAAGCUAAUACUGAAAACCCUUAUACGAACCUUCUGUAAUACUCUGCUAAACCUGGAAAACUUUCGAUCUCUGCCACUGCAAUCAAUCUUGGCCAACUGAUCACCACUUCAAUCUUGGCGGGGUCCACGAAGAUUCUUUCUCCUGGAAUCACACGACUUAGGAAAGCAACACGAGUCAUCCAAAACUCGCAUAUGCUAAGCUUAUCGUAAAAAUUCAAGAGUCCUCAAAUGACUCUCGUGCUCCUUCGCACUCUUUGAACACAUCAGGAUAACUUCAAUGAACACGAUCAUAACUAAUCCAAGUAUCCUUUGAACACUCUGUUCAUCAGACCCAUACAAACAGUUAGAGUGUUCGUCAAACCGAACAAUAAUACUAUGAACUCACAAUUGCCGUACCAAGUACGCAAUGCUAACUUCGGUAUGCCUUUCUUCCUGAUUCUCAACUGAUGAUAUCCCGUCCUCAAGUCGAUCUUGGAGAAUAUCGAUACACAAACGCAACAAACCAUCCUUCUUUUUCACAAACAAGACUGAUGCUCCCCAAGGUUAUGCACUGGGACAUAAGAAUCCCUUAUCUAACAAUUCUUGCAUCUCCACUUUCAGUUCUUUCAACUCAGAUAAAGCCAUCCGGUAAGGAACCUUAGAGAUUGGCUCUAUCCCGGGUGCUAACUCAAUCACAAACUCGAUCUCUCUCUCUCUCUGGCGGUAGACCUGGCAACUCUUCAGGAAACACCUCAGAAAACUUCUGUACCGCGACUAAGUUCUCCUUACUUGGUCCCUCAACUGUCGCAUCCACUACAGUCACCAUACAGAUUUGGCAACCUACCCCCAAAACCAAGUCGUCUUCAGUGACGAAUAAUAGGGAUUGGAGGUCCUUUCCGACUUUCAGUAACUCAAAACUUUCGUACGCUAACUGAACCAACUGAAUUAUAUCACUGCCACGAUUCAUAACAGCAGAAAGCUUCUCGAGCCAAACCUUUUUAUAAAUGACUCCCGGGUCAUAUAUAAGCAAAUCCUUUAGGUACAACUAUAGUCAGAGAUUCAUCUUCAUUUUACUUUAUCAUAACAACGGAAACUUCACAACUUUCACUCAAAAUCUAGCUGCGCUACUCUGAUAAUACACCUCAAAACAUUCUUCCCUAGAUCGAUGCAUGGUCAAUCCAUUCCUAUUCCUUUCGCCAUCCUAGUGGCAUCAUGUCGGCGGUAGCAAUGCUCGAGUCCUCUUGGACUUACACGGACAGUUCCUAGCCUAAUGGCCAUGCUGACCACAUUCAAAGCAUGCUCCCAUUGCACUUGGUCACCAGGCUGACUCACACUUCUUUUCUCAAACUUGACACACAAUCUGUGAGUCCUCUGCCUACUGUCAGGUGACAGCAUGCGCUCUUUCUGGUACUGAAGGUCUAUUCCAAAAACCCCACUAUGCGUUCUAUGGUGCACUCCUUUCGAUCUGUUCCAUCGGCUUUCUAAGACCAUUUCUGGCUAGGUAACCCUGCUGGUUACUCACAGAACAAGCACCCAUCUUACUAGGACACAGGGCUGAUCCAUGUCGGCUUCCGUCAGCACGACACACUCCAUUCUGAUCCAUUGUUGACCUGACCAUCCCACAUUUCCAGUUGGACGGAAAUAUGAUACUUUUCUCCGAUCAUAGGCUCCUUCCCAAACUGAUUUCCAUCUCUACUAAAUCUGAACCUCAACUCGGAUGCAACGGCUUGCUCCCAUAUCACAACUCUAGCUUGGGCCUCAAUAGGCGCAGCAACAACAACAGUUACAACACCGGCGGCAUUAGUAACAACGAUAACAGUGGCGGCUCGGUCCCGAGCUUACUGACCCAACAAGCUUCCAAGGAACACUAGCGCCUGAACGAUCCCAUCGAACCUAGAAUCGCUCGAUGCUGCUACACUAGUACCGAUCUACAGCGGUACUCUCACACUCGCGCUGGUCUAAGCCAGUGCUCCACCACGACCACCUCGGGUACCGAUCCCUGUCGGCAUACCACCCCGAGUAACUGGUCUAAAGGUUCUCUCUAGGAGUCCUCUGCUCCUGAUCACUCAUCUAUAGGAUCUCUACAGAAACCUGUUUCCCAAUUCUAAUCCCAGAUUAGAAUUCGAGUGAUCCACGCCAAACAAUUUACCAAACAACUAUCAGCCACAUGCACCAGCAUGAAAUCAAAGUCAUUCCUACUAACUAUCCCAUAAACCAUCGCACCUUAUCACUCCAAUCACAGACCCGCUCUGAUACCACUUAAACGGGGAUGUCACGCCCCGAUCCUCCGAGCGCGCGAACAUCCCACUCUGGUCGAUACAAAUGCGACUUCCCAGGACACGUCGCCGACCCAUUCAUUUUUAUUGCACAUGCGAAAGCGAAACAAAUCCCUUGACAACAUCUAACUUGGGAUAAAAAAGCAGGCAAUCAAUCACAACCAAACAAGCUUUCUUAUAAACACAUAGGUUUAUAUACAACACUGGAUUGUCUACAAAAUAGACAGGCUCAACAACUAGGGAACUGUCCUAUGACCAACUUGUCAGACACAUUCCUCGAUUCUUCAGCCUCCACCUUCCGAACUCCAGGACUUCCGGUCCUCCACGACCGUCAUCUAGGGACCUGAAAUAUUAUCCCACAACCGGGAUGAGACUACGUCUCAGCGAGUCCUACCAUCUAAAACUCAAUUAGGAAGAAAAUACGCCUCAGGGCGCUCUAGCCACACAAAUAGGAUAGUGGGCUUACCUCGCCUCAGUCCAUUUCCUGCACGUCAGUACAAUUCAUAUUCAACAAUACUCGCACAAGCUGAAACUACCGACAUACCCAUCGGUCUAUCAAUUCAGUCAAUCCAAUUGAUAUCAUACGAUCCACACAUCUAUCAAUUCAUAUCAUCUAUUAAACCAUACCAUCUAUUCAUCCAUCAAUACAAUUACGGCUCGCACAAGCUGAAAUGGAUGCAAUGCUCUCACAAUCUGAUAUAGAUGGUAGCUCGCACAAGCUGAUAUAUACAUAGAUGAUAGCUCACACAAGCUGAUAGAUAGAUCGUGCUCGCACAAGCUGAUAAAACGAUCUUAGCUCACUAGAAGCUGCCACAAUAUUCAAUAUAGUAUACUAUAGCUCACCAGAAGCUGCCACAAUAUUCAAUAUAGUAUAAUAUAGCUCACCAAAAGCUGCCACAAUAUAUGUAUAUUAUAAUUGCUCGCCCAAGCUGAUACAUAUAUAUAUAAACAAAUGCUCGUCAAAGCUUAUCAUUCAAUAAUAAACCAACUCAUAUCUCAAUUCAAUUAAUCAAUCAAUCGAAUCGAUUUAAACUGGUCAUACAAACCAAUUACGGUGCUAAAAGCCAACACCGGGUAUUUUCAAGUUAAAUACCACAACUUCAUCAAUUUCACACAAUUCCACACUUUUGGAAUUAUUAACCAUAAUCAUCAAUCACUCAAUUUCUCAAUUUAAACAUACAAUUAACACAAACCGACUGCACUGCUGCGAUCAGCGCGAAAUUCUAACAACCGGCCAUCCCGGCAUAAUUUUCGAAAUUAUUAAAUAAUUAAAUUUAAUUCCGAAAAUUAAAUAAUUAAAUAUUAUAUUAUACUAAUAUAAUUUAAUAAAAUAAUAUUUAUAAAUUCGAAAUAAUUAAUUAAUUAAAAAAUAAUCAAUUAGGGCUUAAACAAGAUUACACUAAUUUAAUCAUACAAUUAGCCCUAAUUAAACACCAAUUAAACUAAUCAUACAACUAAUCUAAUUUACAUUAAAAUAAUCUAAUUUAAUCACAUAAACCUAAUUAUACUAAUCUAAACACCCCUUAAGCGUCAUUAACUCACUAAGCAAGAAUUAGAGGAUAAACUCACCGGAUUAACGAUCCGAACGGCUCAAAACGACAAGGACGACGCGAGGGUCGAUAGUCUCCAAGGCGGGCCUAGCUUCCGGGGUCGGGAAGCCGGCCAAAACGGGCCAAAUAGCCGCUGUCAUACCCAUUUUCCAACUCUCUGUCCGCUGCUGGUUGAGGCCGAAAAUGAGCAGAUCCGGGGCUGGUUGGGGUCGAGAAUGGGCGGAGGAGCUGCAGCGGUGCCGUGCGGCCAACGGCGGGGCCUCACGGUGGUCGGAGGUGGCUAAUCCGAGGCUGGUGCUAUCCGAACAGCCUCCUGGACGCACGAGCAGAGAUCGACAAAGACGGUCGGGCGUGCAACAGGCGAACGGCGACCAGCGGACUUGGCAGGCUGUUCCGGAAGCUGGACGACGGCAGCAACUACUCAGGCGACUUCAACAACAUUCAGGGGAGCUCGGGAAAUGGCGAAGAGGCCAGGGCGACUGGCGCGAACGGCUAGGACGCGUGAACAGCGCGCGAGCUGGACGGCGGGCGCGGGAGCUCGCGGAUGGACGGACGGCGGGCAAGCGGUGCGCGACGGCGGUUCGACUGGACUGCUGGCUGCUCCGGCGUCUUCCCAGAUCUGCUGGGACACGAGCAGCAACUGGAGAUGGAGAAGAGAGGGCUUCGACUACGGCUGAAGAGGGAGAGGGAGACGGUUGCGCGCGGUUGGACGAGCGACGGUCUCCGGUGGCUUGCGGUGGCGUUCUGGCGUGAGGCGUGCGACGAUGGGGCUGCUCGGCGGUUCUUCUGGUCUGCUGAAGUCUCGCACAGCAGGGAGAGAUGGAGAGAAGCGACGGAAGAGAGAAGGGGAGGAAGAAGAAGACCGGUUCUCUCUCUCUUUUUCUCUUUCUCUUUCUCUCUCUCUUUGGCCCCACCAUGACCUCAUGGAUGAUGUCACAAUCCACUCACCCAAUCCUCCACAACCUCUUCCAAUGGUUGCAAUUUCAUUUUCCGCCGGGGUCCAAUUCUUGUACACUUAAUUUAAUCAAUUCUCAAUCAAUUCCAUUCAAUUGAAGCUCAAUUAAAUUAACCCAUGUGUCCUCGGCCUUCUCAUGACAUUUCCCCGUCAAAUGAUCCAACUUGCAUCCCGAAGAUUCGAUUAAAAACGGCCCUCUGACAGUCCCGAACAUAAACGGCCUUACUUUGCUUUUCUGCCAAAAAUCUCGGUUUGUAGAAAAAUCUUCUGGAGAUGAGUCGACAUUCCUAAAAUGAAUUGUGACUUGACAGAACUUCCAAUUUCUGUAAUCGGGUUCAAUUUCACGGUUAAAUUCAAUCCGGCGCGACUUUAGCGCGUCCUAAUCUACUGGGUAGCUUUUAGGAAUUUUCUGUGCAAUUGACCUGUGGUUGAUUAUUUUCAAGCCACAAAGUGCAUCUUCGACACAUUGGCGACUCUUGAUUGUCGUAGAAAUCUCGAGGUUUCAAAUACAGACACGGGGUACCAAAACGAUAGAGAAAUCGGUCUAGUGCCGAUCAACAAGAAUUGUGCAAUUAGAUGGAAUCACCCAUACUGAAUUACAUGGUUCUGUUGAAUCGACCUAUCUCCGGUCUCUAAUCGGUCUGUGCCGUAAUGACCAUUGCAGAUUAGUACGGUCGAGCAGUCGUUUCCUGGUCGAAUUCUCAAGUCUAUUGCGUUUAGAUUCCUUAACGGCUUCACCUGAUAGACUAGUUAUCUCGUGAGUGAUCAGCUCAGAGAAGAAAGCUAUAGACGCGAAGAUGAAAUGCCCGACUUAUUUAAUUGAAACCAGAAUUGGAAAAUCGGGAUGUCACACAAAUGUAUUAUAAAUGUAGAAGGAAAAGAAAGCUCUAAGAGCGGUCAUACAUUGCCAUACACCAUGCCACGUGGACCAGGAGAAGGGUGGCAGAUGACAUCCUAUCACCAUUUUCAAUUUCCUUAGAGAUUAAAAAGCCUUUAUAUGACGACUCAUCCAUAUAAAAUCCAAAUCACAUACUAUUGCUCGAAAGGAUCUGGUAAAGUGAGAGAGCAUAUAUGCUAAUGAAUAGGGAAACUGUGACUUCUUGCUUUUGGCUGGCAGUAGUUAGAUCUGCUGAUUCAUAUACCAAGGCUCACAGAUUUUGCAUCAGCCAGCACAAUGUCAUGAGCUCGGAGCUCUUAACUUCUGAUGAAUUUAGUUCGGAUUACCAUCACACAUUACUUUUCAAUUCCAUUUCAAACAGUGUGUUGUGCAUCCCCAAGAAAACAGUCCACAGUGGCUCAUAAGUAUAUGAAUGCUCCUAAAAAGUAUUGAUAGGCCAUCAUAAAUGGAUAUCUACAAAAACUAUAUAGUUAUUUUUACAUGCCUCUGUAAGAAUGUUAAGAAAGGGCAUUAGCUUCCAUUUAUAGCACUCUGAUAACAUUCAAAAUUGCACCCUAUAAUGAAUUCAUGUUGGUAAGCCACAAAAACCUCAAAGGAAAGAGAGCAAAAAGAAAGAAAGGAGAAGAAAUCAGUACACAAGGAAGGCAUGACAUAAUUUUCAUUUAAAAGCAUUAUCAGAAAGCCAUAAUUUCAAGACCCUUCUCCAACACCCAGAUGCUCAGUUUCAUUUCCUUGACAUCACGUAAUACAGUGAUUGACAUAAAUUUAAACUCAAAAAAAGGUUGAUAUAACAAGCUUUUGAGCAGACACUCACCUCCGCUGUGCUCCUGCCUUCUCGAGCAUCGUAAUUGAUGUUGACAUUGACCUCCAGCUAACAAGAAACCCCAGAACACAUAAAUCAGAUGAGAACUAAUAAGAAUGCAUUUCUGACACCACAUUCUCUGGAACUUUCUCACACGAUCUAACUAGCCUCCAGGAUCUUCUGAAGAGAGGACCUAAACGAAAAAGCACUAGUUGAUUGUGUUCAUAAUGAGUGGAUCUUCCUUGGGUUUGAUAAAAUGAUACGGGAAACCACAGCUGGAUCUUUCAUCAAUAAUAACUGAAGAUGUCACACAAGAUGUGCAGUUGAUUUUUAACAACUAACCCUCUCCCACUCAAAAGGAGUUUUAUAAUUACUAAAAUCUACGUGGAGAAAAAGAAUAUAGGCAGACUUGUCCUUUCAGCAUUACCUCUUCUCAAGACAACUCAACAAACAAACAGAAAAUAGUCGAAUUGGAAAAAAGAAAUCACAUUGCUAGAUUGAAUACAUCUACUUCAACAUCUCAUAAUUCCAAUUCUUCAGGGUUAAACUCCCUCAUGUAGCACCGUACCGCAGGAUUUUUCAGUUCGUAAAUUAUCCACUUUAAGUGCAUAUUCAAAAAUCAACAGAUUGAAGCAAGAGAUACCUCAUUCUCAGGAAAUUCACCCACCACCAUUGCAAUAUACUGUUUCUGCACCAAACCACCUUCAAUCUGAAGAUAUUAAAUGUCAGUUGAAACUUAAAUUUUAGUCCAAGUAUCAUAUGUACCUUGCCACAUCACGAAUAUGAUGUAUAAACACUUAAAAGUAUAUAAUAGGAUAUUCUAGAUAAUUUUUACUCAAGGGAAUGAAGUCAGCAGCAGAAAUAGUACGUGAUAGCACUACUGGUAUUAGGAAAAACAGUCACCACACACGGAUUAGAACUCUACAGGCUUAAGAUAUAUACAAAGGAAAUGCACAUCACAGAAAGAAAAUAUAUGACCUCUUUAAGUCACUCCAUAAGGUAGACGUACAAGACACGGUAUGACGAUAUUACAAAUGAUGAACAAGAUGUCGCAACACAGCAGCAUGCUCAGAGAACUACCACUACCCUUGUCAUAAAUGUAAGAGAGCCCCACUUCAUUUAGGCAAUUGACCACCCACAUAGUAUUGAAGCUAAUAGGAAUUUACAUUAGUAAAGGUUCCAAAAGCACGCUUUUCAAUACAACACUCACCUGUUGCCUGAAAAGAUCUGCUUUUGACGCGUUUCUGGCAAAUAUAAGGAGUCCAGAGACAAGGCAAUCUAGUCGGUGAACAGCUUGUAUUAUAACAUCAAGAGGACGUACGAAAUCCAUAAUGUGGAUGUGACACCAGAUAUAGGUCACAGGAUGGAAAAAGAGUUAAUGAUAGACAUCAAGAGUCACAAGGAAACAGAAUAUGCCCAAUCUGAUUUCGAUAGAGCCAAGAAUGCAUAUGCAUUUGAAAGAGCUACUUAGGAUACGAAAUAGGGGUGCCAGCCCAUGCUCUGCCUGAAGGAUGCCAACCACAGUGUUUUUAUGAUACUGACCACACGGAUGCACCUAUAAACAAGUCGAAAUUUCUAUAAACAUAGAUCCUAUAAGGCCAAAAGAGCUAGCUAGGCCAAGCAAGGCUGCUGUAACCAUAUUACUCUCUGAAUCUCAUCAGUGAUUUUACAGCACUCAUGCAAAAUCCACACGAAAUCACUCUUUUGUUGUACAUUUGAAAUGAGGGAAAACAUAAUUGUGUUGUUCCUUACUGGAAUAGAUGCCGGCUUACAAACAGUCACCACAUCUGGUUCUUUCUGUAGGAUGGAGACACCAUGGCUCGUCACAGGAGGCUCAUGCCUACAACCUUAUCAAGAUUAAUGCAUAUUCAAAGAAUACCCUAAAACUUCUAACAAAAACUGUAAAUUAAGAUUAGAAUUCUCAACUCGUGGGUGAAGAAAGAAUAAAGAAGCCUGAAGAAACAAAAAAGGUAAAGAAAGGGAACCUAAGCAAAAGAAACUGAUGCAGCCAAAGGUCUAUAUUAUCGCUAGAUCACAAUCUUGAAAAGCAACAUUUGAUAAGGAGAUCAUAGCAAGUGUGAAGCUCAAACCAACCUGUGUACAAAGUGGCUUAUUUUUUCAGACGAUUUUACAAUGUAAGAGACAGGAACUACCCUCCCCCCUACUUGUAUCCGUCCACAUUCGACAGCACUGACCUACAGGUUAUAACUAGGCAUGGUUAAAAGUCAUGGUCACAUGCAGAACUAAACAUUCGUUAUGCAACGAAGAAAAUGCUUACAUAAUACUCAUAAGGUCUGCCUUUGAACUCGCGGGCAAACAAAUCCACGAUGGUUUUGCCAGCCCAGCGGCUCUUGACCUAUAAUACAUCAUAAUUCAUAACAAGAAAACUAGCCAAAUUGAGAGCUCCAGGUUGAAGCGCAGAAGGGCUUCACGUCGGUCUAGACAAAAUAAAAGUUUGAUCACAAGUAUGCAGACCACUCCACUCCAGAAGAAGAAAGACGAGAUAGCGGACGACUCACAUGAGAGAUGAACUCGAAGUGGUAGGGUGCAACGUAACGCCUCCCUGCAUUCUCUUAAUAAAUCAGUCUUCUUUUUGCUCCCUCUACUAGCAAGAAUCCCUACAACAUUGGAGAGCUAUUACUAGAAUUUUUGGUUAUCUUAAGAGAACUAAAAAUUUAGGAUUGUUCUACAAUAAUUAUCCGACUGUAUUAGAAGGAUACACCGAUGCUAGUUGGAUUACAAGUGUGGGAGAUGAGCGUUCCACUUCUGGAUGGAUCUUCACACUAGCUAGAGGUGCUGUAUCUUGGGCGAGCAAGAAACAGACAUGUAUAACUCACUCAACAAUGGAAUUUGAAUUUAUUGCUUUGGCGGCAGCUGGGAAAGAGGCUGAAUGGAUUAGAAAUUUGUUGUUGGAUAUCAAAUUAUGGCCUAAUCCUAUGCCUCCUAUUUCUAUCCACUGUGAUAGUCAGGCCACUUUGGCAAGAGCCUAUAGUAGCACCUAUAAUGGUAAGUCUAGACACAUUAGUCUAAGACAUGAAUAUGUGAGACAAUUGAUUAAAGAUGGUACCAUAACAAUUGUCUAAGUGAGGUCAAGUAAAAAUCUUGCCGAUCCUUUGACGAAGGCUUUACCGAGACAUAUGAUAAUAACGACCUCACAAGAAAUGGGGCUGAAACCCUUUAAUUCAAAAUCACCAAUAAUGGUAACCCGACCUUUUUCUAGAACAUCACUAUUUACAAGGUUUAAUGGGUAAGAACAAGUUAUUGAAUGUGAUUGUUGAUACUGACAUAGCCCUGAUAUGAGAAGUCAGUAUUGUCUGUUACGUUUUGUAGGUUAAAUUGAAUUCUUAAUGAAGUAUGAUACAAAUUUGUAGUGUGUUGAUAGUAACAGAAACACAUGGUAGAUAUUUCACCUAUAUGAGCUUAGAAGUGGUGCCGCUUCUUACGAAAGUGAGAGUUGCUUUCUAGAGAGCUCAUGAAACAGGAUCAAGCACAAGGCCAUAAUAGUGUGGAGUAAUAUAGAAAUUCUCGCUGAAACAAGAGAUUAGUGUAUGUGUGGUAUGUCCGGUUCUAUUACAUAAAAGUACAAGUUUAAAGCCGAGCUACUUGUCACUUUGAUAGAGCUUUGAUAUACUUGCACUAAGUAAAGGUUUAACUCAAAAGAGACCUUUAUGUAUGUAUAUUAAUCUUACUGAAACUUUGGCUGUAUAGUUUUUAAAAUUUUAUUUUUAAAUCUUUGUUUUACAAACAAAGUGGGGGAUUGUUGGAAUUUUGUUUGUUAAAACAAAAUGAGUGCGUUUUACUUUGUCCCACAUAGAAAAAGUGGGAGCAGAAUGAUCAGUUUAAAAAUGUGGGAUUUCCCUUUUGUAGUUAAAGGAGUAAUUAGGUGGGGCUAGACCCCACCAUACCUGCGUGCGGGUGCGCGAAUAAUUGCACGCCUGCGCGCCCGCGGUUUAAUUAGCAUUAAUCCCUUGCUAUUUAUCUAUUUAUUUUUAUUUUAUUUUAUAUUUUUAGUUCAAAGGUUGCCUUUUAAUUUGAGAAUUUCGGAAAUGAAAUAUAAAUGAAAAUUCGAAAUUCUAUUUAAAAAUAAAAAAAAUUAUUCCGAAUUUUAUUUGUGUCUUUUCAAGACAACCUUUGGAAAAUUACUUAUUCGGUUUUAAUUUUUCCGAAGGAUUGCAAUUGUUCGUUUUUCGACUUCUUCCGAAGAGUCGCAUUUGUUUAUCCGAACAAUUUUCUAAAGACGUGUUUGUUCGCAAUUCUCACGAAGAGUUGCAAGACUGUUUUAUAUAUAUACUUGUCAUUUUCGGAAAGAAAAGUGUGGUCAAUUUUCGAGUCUUCUUUCUAAAAAACUGCAGCCAAUUUUUCGAUUGUUUUCCUAGAGAGACCCUGGAGAAAUACUAGAAUUGCUAUUUAGUAUUCUCAUUCGAGACUUUGUUGUAUCCUGGAGGAUUUUUGCCGGUGACCAUUAACAACGUUGUGGGGCAAAUAAAUCCUUAAAGAAAGUAAUAUCACGCCUCAAAGUCCGAGUUGUUUUACUCGAUCCGAUUUCAUUGUACUACCCAAUUUCGAAGCAUAUUUUACCAACAAGUUUGACACGGGUUAAGUCGCGCAUAUGCAUCCACUAUUGUCUUUCGAGUAGCUAGUUAAGCUAAUUUAGUUCUUUCUUGUUUGUUGUUAAUGCACGUGUCGAAACUUGUAUAUGCAAGUGGUGAUUAAGAGCGCGCGCUUAAGUGCUCUGGAAAUGCAAUGUUUCAUCUAGCAAUAAAAAUCAUUCGUGUCUCAUUCCUCUUGUGAAUGAACUCAUUCUACUGUUUCUUUGAUCCGUAUUUCGAAAAACAAAAUAUUUCUAGAUCGCUCUGUCAAUGGUAAGUUUGCCUCAAUUCACCUAUGAGAUCAUGACUCACGACUUGAAUAGAAAUCGCCUGUCAAAGAUGCGAGAAAUGAUUGCACGAUAAUCUUUAAUUUACUGUUAGAAUAACAGUCUAUUAUAAAUCUUAAAAAAUCAAAUAACAAAUAAUUAUAAAUUAUUAUGUAGAGCAUUUUUUCAAGAAUUUGUGACUCAUAAAAUACUGUUAUUCUCACAAUAGUUCAAAGACUGUUAUACUAACAAAACCCGAAAGAUGUUAAUGAUCUACCUCCCUUAGAAGCAGAGAAGUCCACUCUUUGGAAGACUAAUAAUAAUACAUAUCAUCGUUGAAGUUAUUUAGUGAGCAAAGUUUCAACAAAAGCGAUUUAAGGACUUGAUUGAUGGCAUUAAUAAACGUCUAGAUGGCCUUAAAUAACAUAUCUAGCGCCAUUCAGUGCACAGAAGUCGCCAAAAGUAAUUCCGGCACCACUGUUGACAAUACUAUGGGCGGCAUUUCUAUGUUGGCUAAAGAUCUUGGAGAUGUGUAAUUUAUUGAAGGGAGUGCUCGAAACUUGACUUGAGCUCGAUUGGGUAGUAGAGUUUUACCAAGCUCGACUUGAGCUUAAAGAAACUCAAUUUUGUGGAGCUUCAUAAAGCUCGAAUAUCUUCCUUGGAUUUUCAUAUAUGUUUGGAUAUUCCGUGUAACCUCAAUGAACUCCAUAUUUGAUUUUAUCGCAAUUAUAAUUGCAAGCUUGAGCUUGACUCAUUAUGAGAUUCGAGUAGCUCGAGCUCGACUCUAGAUCAAACAAGUUGAUUUGAUCAAGUAAUAUAUCAUUGAACCGAGGCCCAAGGUACAUACUCACGAGUACUUGACUCGGUUUAUAGUGACGAACACAAUAGGCUCAGGGAUGAUUACUCUCUUGCUUGGGCAAUAUUUUCUUCCACACUCGGCGGAGAAAACUUUCCUCAAUCAAGCUUUGCAUUGGUCGUUCACAAAGAUGGACAUUCUGACGAAGUUCGCACUUAGGAAACCCAUUUUGUAGUGAAGUCUUUUCUCAUAGAGCUAAUUCGGAGAUUUGCUUCGGAUAUGAUCCAAUUAGCGCGCAACAAGAAAGCAACGCAUUAUCGGCAACUAAAAGGGAAAGGAAAAGACCCAAGCCUAAGCACAAUGGUGGGUUGGUCGGUGUCUCGCCGCAUAAAUCUUAUACAAUAAGGUUGGACACGAGAAUUCACGUACGGAGACGGCUGUUCCGCGCAAAGGUAGGCACGAGUCAUGAAAUGACAUGAAUUCUUGCAAAUAUUAUCGAGCAAGAUGUGCAGAGUCCCAGUCCGAUUGGGAUCCCCUGCCUAACUACAUAAUCGUUUGGAUGUCGGGAAAAGUACCAAAAAAGUCUUAAAUUUAUAGUAUUGAUACUAAUUCAAUCAUAAAUAUUUUCACAUUGAUGUCAAUUUAAUUCAUCCAGUCAAUUUUAGCCGACUAAUGCUGACGUGAACACCAGCCGUGGGUGGCAAUUUUUAAUAAUUUUUUUUUCGAAUUUUUUAUUAACUUUUUUUUUCUUUUUCUUUCCUUUUUCCUCUUCUUUUUUCUCUUCUUCCUCCUUGGAUUCCUUUCGGUGGCCAACGAGCCGCCAAAGGUUUGGUGACCACUGCCAGAGAAGAAUGCCAAGAGGAAGAAGAGGAAAAAGAAAGAAGAGAAGGAAAAAAUUAAUAAAAAAAUUAAAAAAAAAAAAUGGCACUGGUCGCUGCCAAGUUAAAAGAAACUUUCACUGCAUCGUAUUUCAGCGGCGAUCGAUCGAUUGAAAAGAAGAGAGAAGGGACAUCUUCGCGAAGGAAAGUACUAACGUAUAGUUCAAAGUGCUAAUCAGAUCAAUUAUGGCUGCUUCCUUUGACUUUAUCAAGCUUCCUUUCCUAGAAGUUGCUUUCGAAAAGCAUAGACUUUUUGAUGGAUUUGCCCCCUCCGAUCCUUCUUUCGAAUUUCAACGGGGACCUCAUUAACAAGAGAGCCCUAUAGAGCAGUCGUCAUUUCGAUUACUUGCUUAGUGCUAACCAAGAGAAGUGCGGUAUUAUAAGCUUGUUUAUGUUCAUAUGUUCACCAAACAAAGCGAUCAAUGCCGUGUAAAGUUCCCGAAGUGGCGUGAAAAGGGCCCCAUCUUCUCCAACGCAUGUGAAGAAGAUCGGAGCGUCCUGUGGCGCAAAAGGAUGAGUCAAAAGGCUUACCCAUUGAAAUAUUAUUACAUAAUCAAAAGGUUCAGGAUUAAAUUGGUCCAAUUAAAAGGUUUAAGACUGAAUUGGUACCAAUGUCAUAGAUUUAUGACUUUUUUGAUAAUUUUCCCUUUGGAGGUCUCUAUUCUCUACUUAAUUAUUCUCGCGUGCCCUUGGGCCCUUCAUCAUGACUCAGUGAAUUAUAUCUUUGCUUUUGAAACUCGCAUGAUUAAUACACUUUUAGGAAAAACGUAUUUGUAACGCCCCAUCAGAGUUGCACAAAAGCUUUUAGCUUUUAUUUGAAUUUUCUAAUACCCCUCAUGUAUAGGGUGGAAAUAAGUAAUUGGGAAACAAAUAGAGGCCCAGAAAAAUUUGAAAUGAAGACCUCAUAAUCUGAUACGAUAUGAGCUUUUUUGGGAUUUUUUUUCAAUUGUUUAAAAAUUUAAACUGUUAGACAAAAACGUGAUUUAACAUAUAAAUAUUCUAAAGCAUAGAACUUGAUUUUAGGCUACAUGAUUCAUCAAAUGAAGACACAUUCAUGGUAUGUCGCAACUCAGCCUUAUGGCCCGUUGGUUCAGCUUUGGGGAAAUGCCCUUGGGAGAAUGCAAAUACCUUUGGGGUAAAGGAAUUUUUCGAAAUGCUAAACUGUUUGGUAAACUAUAACUAAAAGGUGCUUUAGGGAAAUGCAAGACUGUUUAGUAAACAUAUAUUUGAAAAGUCAUUUAGUGUGACCAAAUUGAUUUUUUAGUUUUAGUAUUUUUAAAAUUGCAAAAAAGAAACAAUAACUUUAUAACAUUUUACAUUUUCAUGUUGAGAGUAAUGUAAAAGAUAUAUAUUAGUAAGUUUAUUUAAAAAUUAUAUUAAAAGAAUUUGAUUAUAGAUUAGAUGCAAAGCUCAAUUUUUGGCCUAGGGUUCUUUUAGGUUUGUUUUCAACUUUGAAUAAUUUUUUUUUAAUUAUUGUAGUAUUAAUCAUCUUUGUUAAUUAAUGAUCAUUCUAGUGUAUUGAUAAAAAGUUGGGCUAUUGAUUGUCAAAAGAUACAAAUGACAAAAAAAAAAAAAAAAAAGCUGAACCCAACAUUUGCAAAGGGUUUUUAUUUAUAAAAAAUAAAAAAUAAAAUCUGAUGAAACUCCGUCGUCGAUCAACGGCAGUUGGGGGUGUGGGGAAGAUGAUCGGUUUAUAAAAAAAAAAAAAGUCAACGGAUGAAUAAUAGAGGUGGACUUGCAUUUCAAAGGCCAGCAUUUGGACGCAUUUGGCCAAGGACACCUCCAAAUGCUGAACCAAACACCUAAUUUUUUUCCCAAUGGGCUUUCGGGGCUGAAAGCCCCUUGGGAAUGCUGAACCAAACAGGGCCUUACCACUUAGACCAAUGACCCACUAAUUAACCACAUAUGAUCGUACAAAUUCCAAGGUUGAUAGGGGCACCCAUUCGAUGUCAGUCACCUAACAAUAUACUAUUAAUUAUCCAGACAGUUAGCAGAUGAUAAUGGUGGCCCAUUUACGCACUCCAUGUCCCAACGUCCAAGCACUUAUUUCCAGACUGCAAAUCCCUUUUGCUAAAGAAGAUGUUUCAUGUCAGAUGAACUUAAACUUUCGAUUCUCAUACCGUUCCCCUAUCACAAUCGAAUAUGAAUGUCAAGACUCAGUUAGUUUCCCUCUCUUAUAAUUUUCCCUUCAUUUCGAAGAAGUGCUUUGUUAGGGGCCUAUUGCUUUCAACUCUGGCAGAGUACAUGAUUCCAAAUUAUAAAUGGAUGGUCCUAACCCGAACUUCAUUCGAUGUCCAAUUGCAAUAUUUGACCAGCGUUGACUGAUAGAUAACAUCAGGGUGGUGUUGUUCUGGAAAAGAUGUCCUCGUAAUGGAUUUGUGGCAAAGUGUGUUACUUCAAUAAUCGAUGUACUUCGCCCACACUGUUGCUUCAAAAGUUAAACCUUUUUUCCGCAAUCGACGACACUUCCAUUAAUUUGGACAAUGAUACUCCUCCCAAACAGAACAUUGACACAGGCACGUGCAAUACCAUUAUAGAGAAGAAAAUUCUUUAUAAAAACCUAAAAACCUAUUAGACUUGAACCAAUUCAAUCUUAAACAUUUCAAUAAUUUACCAAUAUUUUUUUAGUUGGACAAUUUUGUCAAUUGAAUUAUAAAUCUUUUGACAAUAUGCCAAUUGACUCCAUUCAACCAAUUUUAACUAGGUUAUCACUGAUGUAUAUAUCAAUCAUCCUACAUGAUGCCAACAUAAACAACUUUUGUCAUUUUUAAAAAAUAUUUUUUAUUUUAUUUUUUUUUCUUUGCUUGUCGGCGAGAGUCACGAGCAACCCUUGCCCACCACGAAGGCUUCACUUAAGGCAUUGCCUUGUCAACUGCAAGUGAGGGCUCGAAGGCCCUCACCAAAUCUAGGUGAGGCUUCCCCCAGCUAACGAGACCACCAAGUCAAAAUGGGCUCAACUGGCAAAUUGACAAAAAGUUACAAAAGUUAUCCACUUUAAAAAAUAGCAAAAGAAAAAAGGAAAAGAAAAAUAAAAAAAUUACAAAAGUUAUCCACUUUCAUGCUACCGGUGCCACGUACAAAAAUUGGUCAAAUGGAUUCAACUAGCAAAUUGUCAAAAAAUUAUAGGACUCAAUUGGUAAAAUUAAAAAAUUCAGAAUUGAAUUGGUCAAAGUGUAAUAGAUUCAAAACUUUAUGAACAAUAUUCCCCCACUAUAGAAAAAUUCAUUAAUCAAUCUCAUUAAUUCACAUGCCAAUAGCCCAUUCCAUUGAUUAAUCUCAUACCAUGUGACAUCCAGAUUUUCGGAUCCUAAUUUCGAUUAAAUAAAAUUGGGCAUUUCAUCGACGCGACUACAGUGUUUUUCUCUGAGUUGGCCACUCACGAGAUAACUAGACUAGCUGGGUAAGCUAUCAAGGACUUUAAGGCAGAUAGACUUGAGAAUUCGACCAAUGACCGAGCUCUUGACCAUGACUAUUUUUAGAGGCCAUUGCGACACAAUAUAAAAUCGAAUUAAGAUCAGAGAUAGGUCGGUUUGACUGAGAUGAGUGACCGAUCGUGGAUGACUCCACUAAAUUGGAAAACUCUCGUCGACCGGCACUAGUUUGAUUUUACUGUCGUUUUGGUACCCUGUGUUCGUAUUUGAAUCCUCGAAAUUUUCACGACAAUCAAGAGUCACCAUUGUGACGAGUGGGUUCAUUGUGGCUCGAAGAAAAUCGACCAUGAGUUAUUUGUCCUAAAAAGUUCUGAAAACUACCUGGUCGCCUAGGUCACGCUAAAAACGUGUCGGAGUGAAAUUAACCAUGAAAUCGAACCUGAAUUCAGAAAUUGAGAGUUCUGUCAAGUCACAAUUCAUUUUAAGAACGUCGACUCAUCCUCAUAAGAUUUUUCUACAACCGAGAUUUUUGGCGGAAAAGCAAAGUAAGGCCGUUUAUGUUGAGGAUUUUCAGAGGACCGCUUUUAAUUGAAUCUUGGAGAUGCAAGUUGGAUCCUUUGAUGGGGAAAAGUCAUAAGAAGGUUGAGGACACAUGGGUUAAUUUAAUUGAACUUCAAUUAGAUGGAAUUGAUUGAGAAUUGAUUGAAUUAAGUGUACAAGAUUUUAUGCCACGGCAGAAAAAGAAAUUGGACCCAUUGGACUAAGGUCAUGGGAGAUUGGAGAUAGUGGAACAUGACAUCACUUGAUGAUGUCAUGGUGGGCCAUUUUUGGGGAUUAAAUAAAGAGAAAAAGAAAAGGAAUGGCCUCCCCCUCCCUUCUCUCUCCUCCCUCUCUCCUUCCCGUGCGACCACUUCCUCCAUCUUCUUCAUCUUCUUCUUCGAAACCCAGCAAGCCGAAGAACCAGCAAAGCCGGAGCCAAGGCCGUCGUCACCGCCUCACGCCGCACGCCGUCGCAGCUCCGCGACCGCCUGCACGCCCUCCGCCUUCCUCUCCCCCUUCUGCUGGUGUCGGCUUCUUCUCCUUCUUCCUUGUGUUGUUCGAAACCCAGCAGAUCUGGGAAGACAACAGAGCAGCCAGCAAGCUGCUAGACCACCCGCGACGCCUUCACCGUCCGCCGCUCGCGACACCCCGCCGUCCACGCACGCCAAGCCCGCCAUUCCAGCCGUCGUUCCUGUCUGGUGUGCGUCCAGAGCCGCUGUCCAGCACCGUGAGCCACCGCCGGAGCUUCCUCCGGCCACCGUACACCCCCGCCUCAGCCCGCCGGAGCUCCGCCUAGCCCUCUCGGCCCUUGCAUGCCCCAACCCAACUCGGAUCUACCCCUUUCUCGGCCUCAACCCACAGCGGACAGCAGCUGGAAAAAUGGGUAUGGCAGCGGCUUCGUGGCCCGUUUUGGCCGGCUUCCCGACCCCGGAAGCUAGGCCUGCCUUGGAGUGAAUCGAUCCCCUCGGCGUCCCCGUCGAUUUGAGCCGCUCGGAUCGUUAAUCGGGUGAGUUUAACUCACUAAUCCCCGCUUAGUAGGUUAAUCACGUUUAAGGGGUGUUUAGAUUAAACUAAGUAGGUUUAGGUGGUUAGAUUAGUUUAUUUAAAUGUUAAGUGGAUUAAGGGAUGUGAUUAGUUUAGUGGACAAUUAAUUAAAGUUAAGAAAAUGUUUGGAUUAAAGUAAUCUUGUUUAAGCCUUAAUUAAUUAUUUUAAAUUAAAUAAUUAAUUCGAAAUUGUACCAUUAUAAUAAUAAUAUAAUAUAAUAUUAUUAUAUUUAAUUUUCGGAAUAAAUUUAAUUAUUUAUUAUUUUCCGGAAAUUUUGACCGGGAUAGUCGGUGUCUGGAAUUUCAUGCUGAUGAUCGUGGUGAAGUCCGUUUGUUUAAUUGAGCUCCGAUUUGAGCUAAAUUGAAUUUAUUGUAAUUAAUUAUUAAUUUUCGAAAUUAAUUAAUUAAUUAAUUAAAAUUUGGAAAUUAAGAUUUAGAAGGUCGACGACCGAAAUUCCGUGCUGAUUAUCGUAGUGCAGUCCGUUUAUUUAUUUGAGCGUUAAUUUGUGCUGAAUCGAAUUAAUUGUGAAUUUAUGAUUUAUUCCUAAAUUAUCUGAUUUUGGUUUAUUGAUGGAGAAAUAACCGGGCGUCGGUUUACAGCGCCAAAAAUAUGUAAUGGGCUGAUGAAAUUGGUGGGAUAUUUUAAAGUAAAAUUAUUAUAUUUUGGCUAAGGCCAACCGUGUACCCACACACGGCUAUUUAUCGUGAAUGAUAAAAAUGAUGAAUUUACUAUAUGUUUGGAGUGGUAUACUAUAUCGGCCUUCGGGCGAUAUGUCAGCUUUGGGUGAGCAGUAUACCAGUAUACUAUAUUGACCUACGGGCGAUAUAUCAGCUUUGGGUGAGCAGUAUACCUUAUUAUUAGCUUUGGGCGAGCGAUAUAUUUAUCAGCUUUGGGCGAGCAUAUAUAGUAUACUGAAUUGGCCUGAGGGCCCUAAUCUAUCAGCUUUGGGCGAGCAUAUAUAGUAUACUAAAUUGGCCUGAGGGCCCUAAUCUAUCAGCUUUGAGCGAGCAUAUACAUAGUAUACUAUAUCUAUCAGCUUUGGGCGAGCUAUGCUAUCUAUUAUAAGCUUUGGGUGAGCAGUCCUAGACUAUGGUCGGACUUUAUAGAUAGUAUUGAAUGUACCGACCAAGGAAAGGUCGUGGUGACAUGUAAUCGAUUAAGUCGAUUGAUCGCUGAGUCGAUCUGAUUGGUGGAAUGUGAUUGUUUGCGUAGUUAUAAAUAUUAUUAAUUGAACUGAUGUGCAGGAAGGAACUGAUGCCAAGGUAAGCCCUUUGACCUGUGUUGUGCUUAAGCAGCCCUUAUGGCGUAUUGGCUUCCUAAUUGGGUCUUAGUGGGGUAGAACUUGCUGAGACAUUGUCUCAUCCCGGUUUGGGGAAACAACAUUUCAGGACCCUGAUGAAGAGCCUGAGGAGAAAGAACUCGAAGAGGAGUAUCUGAAGGAGAACCCCGAGGAUGAUCCGGAGUAGGAUCCUGAUGACUGUUGCUAUAGAAUCUAAUUGAGUAGAUACCAACCUUUUUAGCAUGGUUUGUAUAUGUACAUGUAUGACUGAGUCAUUAUAGAUGUACAUAAGGGUGUUGGUUUUCAGGUUCAAUUUUCUAGUCCUACUUAUAUAUCCCAUUGCUUGACUGUCUGGGGAUUUUAUUAAGCUUCCGCAUGCGUAUAUAAAUGAAUGGGUUGGCGACCUUCCUAGGAUAUCGCAAAUAAAUCGACCAAGUAAGGGAUGGGCGCGUGCCCGAGGAUCGGGGGGUGACAUACCACAUAUCAAUGGUCUAAUAAAAUUACACGUCGAUGGUCCAUUCCAAUGACUAAUUUUAAAUCACACGUUGAUGGUCAAUUCCAUCGACUAAACUCAAAUUACACGUCAAUGGUUCAUUCCAUUGACCAAACUUAUAUCACAUGACAAUGGUCCACUCCAUUGACCAAUCUGUUGCUCAAUAUCAAACCAUGGUAAUGAUACAACGCCUGGUGACAAGGCGACCAAGAUUCCCUCAUUGGCAAUGUCUCUAGCUAUUAGGCUAUUAGUAGCUGGUGACUCGACCCACAAGGAUAUUCUAGACUAGUAUACACACACCCACAAGCCCCUCACUGAGCUCACGGCGAUAUUAAGCAUCAAUACCAAUCCAGAACAAUACCAUCCACAAUCCACAAAGCCAAUUCGUAAAUCAUUUCAUAUAUCACCAAAAGAUUUCGCAACUCAACUUAUCCACCAAAAAUAUUUUUCAUAAAACAUUCUCAAAUAAUUUCAAGACUCUUCUCAUAACCAGAUUUUAUAAACCAAAUCAAAUCAAAAGCAUGUCAUAAGACAUUUCACAACAUAAUAUUCCAUCAUCCAUGCUCAAAAAGAUUUUCAUAAAAAGGUUUCGUAAACCCAAAUUAUAUAAUAUUUCUUUACUUCGUUCCUAAAAUAGAAUUUAUAUUUUCAUUAACCAUUUCUUACACCAUUCACAAAUACCAAAACGUAGCAAAUGCCCGAUCCAAAUUUUAUGCAACAAAUAUGCUUAUUCAUAUCUCAUAAAAUAUCAAAUAUUUGUCAUUUUGAAGACAUGAGCUUAUAAAUUCUUAUAAGAGAUAAUACUACUCACCUGGGAAAGCCGAUAAACAAAUUAUGUGGUUACUCAAGCCAACACACUCAUAUUCUUAUUAAUUAAUCGAAAAUUAUAUCAAAACCAAGUAAUAUGCUACUUUCCAACUAAUGACUCGACUGAUUUUUGCUUAUCCAUCGAUAAAACAACACCUACGCACUAAUAAACCAUACAUCAAAAGAAAUUAUUUAAGAAGUCUGCAACGUGGAACAUGAGCGCGAAACUUGGUCACGCCAUAACUUUUUCCACCAAACCCCGUUUCAAGCAUACUUAUAGUCAAUGGAAAGCCCUUCCAACAUAUUACAAGAACCCCAAUUUAGCCAACCCGAAAUCAAGCCAAAAACCAACAAAAUAUGGCCCCGAAAUACUGGUCGAGCACUGUUCAUCACGCACGAGAAACUUCAAAAUUUUGUUUUGGGCAAACCGUAAACUUAAAUCGAGUUCCGUAAAAUCCUAUAGUUCCAUAACACCCUAAACUAUCAUUUCUAUAUAUGCAGCUCAAUGACUCAGAAAUCGGAUUUCGCCGCUUGAAUUUCACAUAUUCCCAAAUUUAAAUCCUAACUUUGAAAACCAAUCCGAUUAGAAAAACCAAGGGCGUGAGCGUUUACCGAGCGUUGUAAAUCGGAAUUGGAUCGGCUCGGCAAGGCGUCCGUAGCAAGAGUCCCCUCUUUUUCCUCCUCCUCUUUCUUCUUCCUCUUUACGUUCGUUUCUCUCCUCUUUCUUCUUUUCCUUCUGCCCGAACGUGCCUCCUCCUUUUCCUUUUAUCUCUUCUUUUUCUUUUUUCUUUUUUCCUUUCCUUUCCUCUCUUCUUUUUCUUCCUCUCUCCCAAAGACUCUCAGUCCCUCUCCUUCUUCUUUCUCUUUUUUUAUUUUUUUGACUGGAUCAAAACCCAUAUUUUACAGUUAAGAGACUCUUAUCAGCUCUUAUCCCAUCAAGUGGCCAUCUCAUAUUAUAAUUCCACACUCAACCUCGAACCGAGCCUACCCACAUCGAGAGCUCUCCAGCAAUUUGGUGAACGAAAUUCAAUCGCAAAUACCAUCGAACGAAUCUGGGAGGAGAGUUUACAUGUCAAGGGUAUACUACUGCAUGAUCUCGUAUAAGACGCAUGUUACGAACGCAUGCAAUCCGCGAUAAGGUUAAUGCCGAUAUCACGGUCAAAAAAGGGCUACUCGAUAAAGCGCAACGAUAUCAUUAAAUUAAAGCCUUGAUUAGCCAUAGGAAACGAUAUAAAGACCCGAAAUGAUUCGGCAUUUAUAGCGAAAAAGGGAUACGCGGAUCGAUCUGAAGCCACCUGUCUCCCAUUUUUGGCGGAGGGGUGUGUGAAAAAGAUGGGGGUGGGGAUGGCAAGACGUCACUCCAUGAAUGGAUGGAUCGAUGGUUAUCCCCUUGACAUCUGUAGGAUUGCCCAAAUUGGCCAAGUGGAGAUCUAGCUGUGAACCGACUCAUCCCAAUCCUUCGACAUUUAGAGUAUGCAACGCUCCACCUGAGAUCUUCAUAGAAUGUACCAGGCUCUUUAAUUUAACAUAAGCAAAUACAUUCGACAUAACCUAAUGACCAACAUAAAGUUAUGUAUGAUUGCUCCUAGAGCAUAGCUUCUUGGUUUAGGUAAAAGUCAGAAGAAAUUUUCUGUGCUAUAUGUCUAUGCUUCUAUCUAAUGUCUAGAGUCAAAUUUUCUUUGCAGCGAUUUUAGCAUUACUUACUUAAAACUAAGUUCAGUAUGCUAGUAUUGCAAGUUCUUUUUUUCUUACUUCAUCUUGAUUAAUAAUCGGGAUAAGUGCACCAGAAGUCCUAAAAUUUAGUACACAAGUAUAAUCAAGUCCUAAAAAUUUAAAAAAGUGCAAUUAACAAACGGAUUUUAUUAGACCAAUUUGAUAAAUUUUAGGACUCAAUUGUACUUUUUGAAAGUUUUAGAACUCAAUUAUGUUUUCUUGACAAGUUUUAGUGCUUUCGAUACACUUACCCCUCUAUUAUUUUGACUAAAUCAUUCUUUUCUAGAUGGCCAGAUGAUUGUAUAAAGUGUUGUAAAAUAAUUUUUUUUAACUGUUCACUCAAGUAGAAACGUAGGCUGCACCCCAUUUAGUUCAACUUUUUUUAAGUAUCUAAGAUUGCUAUGUCAAUGAAGACAUAUUUAUAUGUAACAUCAACAUAUAACUAAUUUGGAUGAAGACAUGUCUAUAUAGAAAAUCAUUAUAGAAUCAAUCUCUUGCAAUAAAACAAUGAUAAUAAGAAGGAAAAUCAAUAUUAUGCCUAGGCAAGGGUUGGCCUCCUCGAUGCGAGACCGACCUUGCCAUGGCCAAGGCGAGGCUCGUUAACACUCGCCUGACUCGCCAGACCUCGCCCUCACCCAGGCAAGGCACGAUGAGGCCACUCCCACCUGGGCAAGGGUUGGCCUCACCAGAUCUAGCAAGAGGGCCUUGCUUGUCCACCCAUGGAUGGUCAACGCUAGGCCUCGGCCUGGCGAAGCCAUGCAUCGACCGACCCUCGCUUGUGGCCGGCAAGUGCGACCUUGCUAGCUAUGGCUAUGGCCGGUGGCUGAUGAUGGCCACGGAAAAAGAAAAGGAAGAGAAUGGAGGAAGGGAAAAAAAAUCAAUAAAUUAUUUUAAAAAUUCAAAAAAUUUUAUUAAAAAUGUCCAAGUUAGCGCCGGUCGCACCACAUCAGCUGGCCACCAUCCAUAAUAGUAAUUUCCAACCUAAAUUGGCCAAACAAAUUAAAUUAGUAUCAAUGUAAAAAUAUUUAGAAUUAAAUCGGUACCAAUGCAAUAAAUUUAGGACUUUUUUAGUAUUUUUCUCAUUAAAAGCAUGGACAACAAGGUAUACUAUCGUACUCAAUAAUUGAAAAAUAGAAAAAUCACUUACUUUACAGCGAGGUUGUGUGUGAUUAGGUUACUCUUAGGAGAGUAUUUUACACGCACUUUGCCAAGUUGUGGCCCUCAUAUACCAAAACAUAUGUUGAUUAGUGACUUAUGUUGUCCCCUAAUUACUUCCUUUCACAUUGAUUAAAUAUAUCAUCAUAGGUGUAUCUAAUUGAUAUUUGUACAGCUAAGCUAUAUGAGAAUGUGAUAUGCGAAAUUAAUAUACCAAAUGACAUAGCAAAUUGUAAGUAUGUAUUUAAAUAAGUGAAACACGGUGGAUAAAUAUUAUAUUACAUCAUUUGAUAUAUCAAUUACGUCAAUCAAUUUUAGUAUAAUCAGCGCAUAAAAAUCCUUUUAUCUAAAUUCCAUAUAGGCAAUGUUAACUUAAGUUCAAGGGGAGUGGUUACGUGAUCAAAAGUGACUUUCGAGUCCUAGAGAGUGUCAAAUCUUUAAACCAUGAUAAGGUGCUGGCGUCACGUACGGCGUACAUUCACCGACUACAUCAAGCCACUGGCAAUUACUAGGGGAGAUCAUCAUCUCCAUUUGCAAUAUUAAAAGAUAUUUUGGCCAUCAUCAUAAAUUUAUCUUGUAGCAGUGAAUUUAUUCCUAAACUUGUCAAUUUUAACUAAUGUAGUCUUAGAUCUUUUGACAUUUUUAUCAGUUUAGGUUAAAAUUGCUGACAUAACGCUUCUAUUAAUGCCCGGCUGAUUGCUGACAUGGACAAUAUUAUAUGAAAUGACUUUGAGUCUUAGAAAGUGUCAAACAUAGAAUUAUGUUACCUUAUGUAUUAAGUAAACACGAGGCGCUGGCGUCACGUACGAGCGCACAAUCACCUACUGCCUUAUGCCACCUGCAAUUGUUAGGCGAGAUCAUUAUCUCCAUUUGCACUAUUAAAAGAUAUUAUGGCCAUCCACGUAGUCGAUUCUUUAAAUGAUGUGAAGAUUCAUAUCUAUUACCCCACUUAAUCAACAUGAAAAUUAUCUAAAGAGUCAUAAAUUUAUUGUACGGCAAUGAAUUCAUUCCUAAACUUGUCAAUUUUAACUAAUGUAGUCUUAAACCUUUUGACAUUUUUGCUAAUUUAGAUUAGGCAUCGCUGACAUAACGAUUCUAUUAAUGCCCGGCCGAUAGCUGACAUGGACGAUCUUAUAUAAAACAACAUCAUUUUGCAUUGAACCAAGAUUAUCUGAAUUUUCUCUUUUUCUUUUCUUUUUAAUAUUUCUUGCUUUUUAUUUUUCCUAUUCUAUUGUUCAUCUUUAUCCUCUACCAGUCACAAGUGAGGGUCAUAGCCUUUGCCAAAUCUAGGCAAAGCCACCGGCCACUAUCUAAGGUAAUCCACGCUAGAUUUGGCGAGGCCGUGAUGCCCUUGCAAGGGGUGGCCAAUGCCAAGGUUGCCAUCGCCUAUGGCUGACGACUUUCGCAAACCAUCGCCAAGGCUCUAAUGACCGACGAGCAAAAAAGAUGAAUAGUGCAUUAAAAAGAAAAAAAGAAUCAAAGAAUUCAUAAAAAGAAAAAUUGCAAAAUGACAUCUUGUCAUUUAAGAUCGUCCAUGUCAAUAGCUAGCUGUUCUCCAUAGGACAUUUGGUGCUGACUAAACUAUCACAUCAACAAUUUCUAAUUUAAAUUAACCUAAUAAAUUAUAUUUAAAAAUUGUCAAGGUUUAGGACUAUAUUCGGCAAAUUGAUAAAUUUAGGACUUGAUUGGCCGCCAUACAAUAUGUUUAAGAUAUUUAGGACUACUCUCUCUUCAAUCGGCCGCCAUCAUAAAUCAUUCUAUAUUCUAGCAUAACUUUUGCCUUCCAUCUCCUCUAUAAAUUGCAAGGCCAACGUGAGCACAAUUUCCACGACAUAGCCUUAUUUGUUUUCAGCUUCGAAAUCUUCCAUUUGAAUAUCUUCAGUUUCUGAGAGGAAGAGAGUGGGAAAAUGGCCAUCUUCACGACUGACAAUCCCUGGGCGCUCACCUUUGGAGUUCUAGGUACUUUACACACGGUAUCCAACUGUUUUAUAGUUACUGUCAAACAACAGCCGAUGACUUUGUUUUGACGUGUUUGUCAACCUUUGGAUGAUCCUUGUUGUAGUUAAUACCAUAUCCAUCGUAAUCUUUCUGGCCCCAGUGUAAGUUUUUAACUCUUUCUCACUCCGUGCACACUGACAAAUAUAAGGUUUAGGACUUAUUGGAUCUUCUUUGGCAGGCCAACGUUCUGUAGGACAUGCAGGAGGAAGUCAACUGAAGGGUUAGAAUCGGUUCCAUACGUGGUUUCUCUGUUCAGGGCCAUACUUUGGCUGCACCAUCAGCGCUGUGACAUGGCCCCUAUAUGGCCUAUUCCUCAAGGACUUUUAUGUCGAGGUAUGCAUUGUUCAUCCACUUGUUAAAAAUCAAGAUGGCAAGGUGCGGCAAUAUUAUCUUCGUUCCCCUGAAUGAACGAUAUUAACAUGUGUACGUGUUUGUACAGGGUCCAAAUGUAUUAGUGGUCACCUUUGGAGUGCUUCAGACGGCACUGCAUGCCAUAUACGGGAAGGGGAAUACUAUGUGAUGGAGGAGGAGAAGAAUGAUACAAGUGUUGGGAAGCUGAGCUCUGAUAUACAAAGUUGCAAUGGGCAUGCCAUUGCCUCCCACAUCGAUACCAACAUCUUUGACGAGGAAAGAGAAGUGCGAGAGAAGCUUCAUCAUCUUUAUUGAAACUCCUAAUAAAGGACCAGUGGCCACUCCAUCUGACGUGUGACAGGCGUCUGAGUUACUCAUAUGCCUGAUUGGACUUUUUUUUUUCAGCAGCCCCUAGCUAGCUUGCUCGUUGCUUAUGCUAUGUAAUANNNNNNNNNNNNNNNNNNNNNNNNNNNNNNNNNNNNNNNNNNNNNNNNNNNNNNNNNNNNNNNNNNNNNNNNNNNNNNNNNNNNNNNNNNNNNNNNNNNNUCAACCUUCAGAUGGAGUGGCCCAUGGUCCUUUAUUAGGAGUUUCAAUAAAGAUGAUGAAGCUUCUCUCGCACUUCUCUUUCCUCGUCAAAGAUGUUGGUAUCGAUGUGGGAGGCAAUGGCAUGCCCAUUGCAACUUUGUAUAUCAGAGCUCAGCUUCCCAACACUUGUAUCAUUCUUCUUCUCCUCCAUCAUAUAGUUUUACCAAGCUUGGCUUGAGCUUAAAGAAACUCGAUCUUCUAGAGCUUCAUAAAGCCCAAAUAUCUUCCUUGGAUUUUCAUAUAUGUGUGGAUACACCGUGUAACUUUAAGGAUCUCUAUGUUUGAUUUUAUCACAAUUAUAAUUGCAAGCUUGAGGUUGACUCAAUAUGAAAUUCGAGUAGCUUGAGCUCGACUCUAGAUCAAACAAGUUGAUUUGAACGAGUAAUAUAUCAUCGAACCAAGGCCCGGGCUAUGUACUCACGGGUAACUUCGACUCAGUUUACAAUGAUGAACACAAGGGGCUUGGGGAUAAUUACUAUCUUGCUUGGGCAAUAUUUUCUUCCACCCUUGGCAGAGAAAACUUUCUUCAGUCAAGCUUCAUAUUGGUGGUUUACAAAGAUGGACAUUUUGACGAAUUUCGUACAUAGGAAAGCCCAGUUUCUACUGAAGUCUUUUCUCAUAGAACUAAUUCGGAGAUUUGCUUCGGAUAUGAUCCAAUUAGCGCGCAACCAGAAAGCAACGCAUCAUCGGCAACUAAAAGGAAAAGGAAAAGACCCGAACCUAAGCACAUUGGUGGGCUGCUCGUUGUCUUGCCGCAUAAAUCUUCUUAUACAACAAGGUUGGACACGAGAAGGCACGUACGGAGACGGCCGUUCGGUACAAAGGUAGGCACGAAUCAUGAAGAUGUGGAGAGUCCCAGUCCGAUUGGGAUCCUGCCUAACUACAUCCUCGUUUGGAGGUCCCUGUCCUCUACUUAGUUAUUCUCGCGUGCCCUUGGGCUCUUCGUCGUGACUCAUUGAAUUAUAUUUUUACUUUUGAAACCCGCAUGAUUAGGACACUUUAGGAAAAACGUAUUUGUAAAGCCCCGUUAGAGUUGCACAAAAGCUUUUAGCUUUUAUUUGAAUAUUCUAAUACCCCUCAUGUGUAGGGUGGAAAUAAGCAACUGGGAAGACAAACAGAGGUCCGGAAAGAUUUGAAAUCAAGACCUCCUAAUCUGAUACGAUAUGAGAGUUUGUGAGACUUGUCAAUUUUUUUUAAAAAUUUAAACUGUUAAAUAAAAAUAUAGUUUAACAUCUAAAUAUUCUAAAACAUAGAACUUGACGGUAGGCUACAUGAUUCAUCAAAUAAAACCACGUGCAUGGUAUGUUGCAACUCAGCCUUACCAUCAAGACCAAAGACCCACUAAUUAACCACAUGUGAUCGUACAAAUUCUAAGAUUAGUAGGGGCACCUAUUCAACGUCAAUCACCUAACAAUAUAUUAUUAAUUAUCCAAACAUUUAGCAAACGAUUAUGGUGGCCCAUUUACGCACUCCGUGUCCCGACGUCCAAGCACUUAUUUUCAGACCGCAAAUCUCUUUUGCUAAAGGAGAUGUUUCAGGCAGAGUACAUGAUUCCGAUUUACAAAUGGAUGGUCCUAACCCGAACUUCAUUCAAUGUCGAAUUGCAAUGUUUGACCAGCGUUGACUGAUAGAUAACAUUAGGGUGGUGUUGUUCUGGAAAAGAUGUCCUCGUAAUGGAUUUGUGGCAAAGUGUGUUACUUCAAUAAUCGAUGAACCUCGCCCUCACUGUUGCUUCAAAAGUUAAAACCUUUUUUCCGCAAUGGACGACGCCUCUAUUAAUUUGGACAAUGAUACUCCUCCCAAUCAGAACAUUCACACAGGCACGUCCAAAACCGUUAUAGAGGGGAAAUUUCUUUAAAAAAAUCUAAACCUAUUACACUUGAACCAAUUCAAUCUUAAACAUUUCAAUUUUAUUAAUAUUAUUUGGGUCUAGACAACUUUGCAAAUUGAAUUAUAAACUUUUUAAUAAUUUGACAAUUAAGUCCAUUCAGCCAACUAGGUUAUCGCUGACAUAGAUAACAGUCAUCCAACGUGACGCCAACGUAAACAAUUUUUGUAAUUCUUAGAAAAACAGUAAUUUUUUUUCUUUGCUUUUUUUUUUUCUGGGCUAGCGAGGGUCACCAACAACCCUUGCUCACUACGAAGGCUUCACUCAAGGCCAUCGCCUUGUCGACUGCGGGUGAGGGCGCGAAGGCCCUCGCCGAAUCUAGGUGGGUGACCACAUUGCCAAAAUAGACUCAACUAGCAAAUUGUCAAAAAGUUACAAAAGUUGUCUACUUUAAAAUAAAAUAAAAACAAAUGAAAAAAUAAAAAUAAAAAUAAAAAAAAUUACAAAAGUUGUCCACUUUCGUGCUAGCGGUGCCAUAUACGAAAAUUUGGCCAAAUGGACUCAACAAGCAAAUUGUCAAAAAAAUUAUACUACUCAAUUGGCAAAAUUAAAAGAUUUAGAAUUGAAUUAGCCAAAGUGUAAUAGAUUUAAGAUUUUAUGAACAAUUUUCUCCCACUAUAAAAAGAGAUCACAUAAAUAACUAAAGCCAAAAGCAAAGCAUAUAGCAAUUGCUAAUAAAAUAUAUAACAACACCAAUGAUUCCACAGUUGCCGGGUAAUCGUUAGAGACUCUUAUCAGCUCUUAUCCCAUCAAGUGGCCAUCUCAUAUUAUAAUUCCACACUCAACCUCGAACUGAGCCUACCCACAUCGAGAGCUCUCCAGCAAUUUGGCGAACGAAAUUCAAUCGCAAAUACCAUCGAACGAAUCUGGGAGGAGAGUUUACAUGUCAAGGGUAUACUACUGCAUGAUCUCGUAUAAGACGCAUGUUACGAACGCAUGCAAUCCGCGAUAAGGUUAAUGCUGAUAUCACGGUCAAAAAAGGGCUACUCGAUAAAGCGCAACGAUAUCAUUAAAUUAAAGCCUUGAUUAGCCAUAGGAAACGAUAUAAAGACCCAAAAUGAUUCGGCAUUUAUAGCGAAAAAGUGAUACACGGAUCGAUCCGAAGCCACCUGUCUCCCAUUUUUGGCGGAGGGGUGUGUGAAAAGGAUGGGGUGGGGAUGGCAAGACAUCACUCCAUGAAUGGAUAGAUCGAUGGUUAUCCCCUUGACAUCUGUACGAUUGCCCAAAUUGGCCAAGUGGAGAUCUAGCUAUGAACCGAUUCAUCCCAAUCCUUCGACAUUUAGAGUAUGCAUCGAUCCACCUGAGAUCUUCAUAGAAUGUACCAGGCUCUUUAAUUUAACAUAAGCUAAUACAUUCGACAUAUCCUGAUGACCAACAGACAGUCGUGUAAUUGCUCCUAGAACAUAGCUUCUUGGUAUAAGUAAGGGUCAGAAGAAAUUUUCUCUGUUAUAUGUCUUUGCUUUUAUCUAUUGUCUAAAGUCAAAUUUUCUUCGCAGCAAAUUUAGCUUUACUUACUUAAAUACCAAGUUCAGUAUGCUAGUAUUGCAAAUUCUGUUUUUAAUCUCACUUCAUAUUGAUUAAUAAUCAGGAUGAAUUCACGAAAAGUUCUAAAACUUAUUAUAAGAGUAUAAUCAAGUUCUAAGAUUUUUAAAAAGUGCAAUUAGCAAAAUGAUUUAAUUAGACCAAUUUGAUCAAAUUUAAAAACUCGAUUGUACUUUUUGAAAGUUUUAAAAUUUCAUUACACUUUCGUGAUAAGUUUUGGUGCUUUCAAUACACUUACCCCUCUAUUAUUUUGACUAAAUCAUUCUUUUCUAGAUGGCCAGAUGAUUGUAUAAAGUGUUGUAAAUUAAUUUUUUUCCUUUAACUUAUCAUUCAAGUAGAAACGUAGGCUACACCUCGUUUAGUUUAACUUUUUCUAAGUAUCUAAGAUUGCCAUGUCAAUGAAGACAUAUUAAUAUAUAACAUCAAUAUAUAAUUAAUGUGGAUGAAGACAUGUCUAUAUAAAAAAUUAAUAUAUAAUCAAUCUCUUGCAAUAAAACAACGAUAAUAAGAAGGAAAAUCAAUAUUAUGCCUCGGCAAGGGUCAAUCUCCUCGUCGCUAGACUGACCUGGCCAAGGCGAGGCUUGUCGGGGCUCGUCGAACCUCGCCCUCGCCCAGGCGAGGCCUAGCAAGGCACGGCAAGGCUGCUCUAACCUGGGCGAGGGUCAAUCUUGCUAGAUCUAACAAAGGGGGCCUUGCCUGGCCAUGCCUGGACGGCCGACGCUUGGCCUCGACUUGGCGAGGCCGACCGUUGCCUAUGGCAAGCAAGUGUGACCUCGCCAGCCAUGGCUGUGGCUGGUGGCCGGUGAUGGCCACACGAAAAAGAAAAGGAAGAGAAAGGAGAAAGGGAAAAAAAGAAAAAAAAAUCAAUAAACUAGUUUAAAAUUUCAAUAAAUGCAAAAAAAUUAUUAUAAUAUUAUUAAAAAUGUCUAUGUCAACGCCGUUCACACCAUGUUUGCCAGCCGACAUCCAUAUCAAUAAUUUUCAGCGUAAAUUAGUCAAAUGGAUUGAAUUGGUACUAAUGUGAAAAUGUUUAUGACUAAAUUAAUCCAAUAAAAAGGUUUAUAACUGAAUUGGUACCAAUGCAAUAGAUUUAGAACUUUUUUAGUACUUUUCCAUUAAAGGCAUGGACAACAAGGUAUGCUAUCAUACUCAAUAAUUGAAAAUACAAAAGUCACUUACUUUACGACGAGGUUGUGUGUGAUUAUAUUACUCUUACGAAUGUUUGACACGCACUUAGCCAAGUUGUGGCCCUCAUAUAAAGAAACAUAUGUUGAUUAGUGACUUGUCCCCUAAUUACUUCCUUUUACACUGAAUAAAUAUAUCAUCAUAGGUGUAUCGAAUUGUUAUUUGUACGACUAGGCUAUAUGAGAAUGUGAUCUACGGAACUGGCAUACUAAAUGACAUAGCAAACUAUAAGUAUGCAUUUAAAUAAGUGGGACACGGUGGAUAAAUAUAAUAUUACAUCACUUAAUAUAUCAAUUACGUCAAUCAAUUUUAGUAUAAUUAGCACAUGAAAAUCCUUUCAUCCAAAUUCCAUUUAGGCAUUAUUACUUUAGUUCAACGAAUGUGGUCGCGUGAUCAAAAGUGACUUUGGGUCCUAAAAACCGUUGAAUCUUUAUACCGUGAUAAGGUGCUGCCGUCACGUACGGGCGCACAAUCAGCUGCUGCGUCACGCCACCUGCAAUUAUUGGCCGAGAUCGUUAUCUCCAUUUGCAAUAUUAAAAGAUACUAUCGCCAUCAACGUAAUCGAUACUUUAAAUGAUGUGAUAAGUUGAUGCCUAUUACAUCACUUAAUCAACACCAAAAUUAUCUCAAAAUCAUAAAUUUAUUAUGCGGCAAUGAAUUAAUUCCUAAGUUUGCCAGCUUUAACUAAUGUAGUCCUAAACCUUAGGUUAGAAAUCAUUGACAUAACGGUUCUACUAAUACCCAAUCGAUAGCUGACAUGGACAAUCUUAUAUGAAACGACGUCGCUUUGCAUUCAACCAAGAAUAUCUUAUUUUUCUUUCUUUCUUUUCUUUUCCUUUCAAUAUUUUUUGCCUUUUAUUUUUCCUAUUCUAUUGUUCAUCUUUAUCGUCUACUGGUCAAAAGUGAGGGUCAUAACCCUUGCCAGAUCUAGGCAAAGCUGCCGACCACAAGCUAAUGUAAUCCUCGCUAGAUUCGGCAAGGCCAUGAUGCCCUUGCCAAGGGUGGCCAACUCUAGGGUUGCCCUUGCCUGUAGCCAACGACCUUCACAAACCAUCGCCAAGUCUCUGAUGACCGACGAAUAGAAACGAUGAAUAUUACAUUUAAAAAAAAAAAACAGAGAGAGAGAAUCAAAGAUUUCAUAAAAAGAAAAAUUGCAAAACAACAUUGUGUCAUUUAAGAUCGUCCACGUCAACCGCCAACUGUUCUACAUAAGACAUUUGGUGCUAACUGAAUUGCCACGUCAAUUGACAUGAUAAAUUACAUUUAAAAAUCAUCAAAAGGUUUAGGACUAUAUUCAGUAAAUUGAAAAGUUUAUAACUUAAUUGGCCUCUAUGUGAUAGGUUUAAAUUUUUUUUGACAACUCUCUCUUCAAUCAACCACCGUCAUAAAUCAUUCUAUCUUCUAGCAUAACUUUUGCCUUCCAUCUCCUCUAUAAAUUGCAAGGCCAACGUGAGCUCAAUUUCCACAACAUAGCCUUAUUUGUUUUCAGCUUCGAAAUCUUCCAUUUGAAUAUCUUCAGUUUCAGAGAGGAAGAGAGUGGGAAAAUGGCCAUCUUCACGACUGACAAUCCCUGGGUGCUUAUUUUUGGCGUUCUAGGUAUUUACACACGGUAUCCAACUGUUUUAUAGUUACUAUCGAACAACAACCGAUGACUUUGUUUUGACGUGUUUAUCAACCUUUGGAUGAUUGUUGUCGUAGGUAAUAUCAUAUCCAUCGUGGUCUUUUUGGCCCCAGUGUAAGUUUUUAACUCUUUCUCACUCCAUGCACACUGACCAAUAUAAGGUUUAGGACUUAUUUAAUCUCCUUUGGCAGGCCUACGUUCUGUAGGAUAUGCAGGAAGAAGUCAACUGAAGGGUUUGAAUCAGUUCCGUACGUGGUUUCUUUGUUCAGCGCCAUGCUUUGGCUGUACUAUGCAUCCCUCAAGUCCGAGCCCAGCGCUUUCCUGCUCCUCACGGUCAACUCGGUCGGAUGCGCUAUUGAGACUAUCUAUAUCGCUCUCUACCUUGCUUAUGCUCCUAAACAAGCCAAGGUACGUAGCUACAGCGUUGUUCGCAAAGAACACACCUAAUGUAUUCUAAUUGUUGGAGAGUGGAUGAGCAGAUGAUGACGCUGACGCUGCUGUUGCUGAAUUUCGGAGGGUAUUGUUCCAUUCUUCUUCUGUCCCACUUCUUGGCAAAGGGAUCGGUGAGGGUCCAACUUGUUGGGUGGAUUUGCGUUGCACUCUCUGUUGCAGUCUUUGCUGCUCCUCUGAGCGUCAUUGUAAUUUACUUCUAUGUGACUCCUUUCUUUUUUCUGCACAAGAACGCCUGUCUUGCAUGUCAAUGUAGGACACAAGUUGUGCAUGACAUGCAUUUUGGUUCCGACUUACAUGUGAGUUUACAUACGUGUGUACAGAGAAUGGUGAUACGCACCAAGAGUGUGGAGUUCUUGCCCUUUUCUUUAUCGUUCUUCCUCAUGCUCAGUGCUGUGACAUGGCUCCUAUACGGCCUAUUCCUCAAGGACUUGUAUGUCGCGGUAUGCAUGGUUCAUCUACAUGUUAAAAUCAAGAUGGCGAGGUGUGGCAAUAUAAUCUCCGUUCCCCUGAAUGAACAGUAUUAACAUGUGUACGUGCAUAUAUAGGGUCCAAACGUGUUAGGAGUCAUCUUUGGAGUGCUUCAGAUGGCGCUGCAUGCCAUAUACAGGAAGGGAAAUACAGUUGCGACGGAGGAGGAAAAGAAUGAUACCAGUGUUGGAAAGCUGAGCUCUGAUAUACAAAGUUGCAAUGGGAAUGCCUUCUUCAUCUUUAUUGAAGCUUCUGAUAAAGAACCAGUGGCCAUUCUAUCUGAAGUUUAACAGGCGUCUAAGUUACUCAUAUGCCCGAUCAGACUGUUUUCCAGCAGCUCCUAGCUGGCUUACUCGUUGCUUCUGCUAUGUAAAGUGCAAAGGCAUGAGCGCACGUGGGUGCUUGGAGGGGUAGAGUGUUGUUUGUGAAUGUUCAACUUGUUUUUCCUAAUAAUACAGUUAUCAGGGAGGGGUAGAGUGUUGUUUGUGAAUGUUCAACUUGUUUUUCCUAAUAAUACAGUUAUCAGACGCAUUACUUUUUCAGAAACAGAUUCAGCUACUCUCCAUUCUUUGCUGAUUGAUUGAUAUCAUCUACUUACCAGGCCAUGAGAUCUGUCCGCUCACUAAACAUUUUUUUUUCCUUUGAAAUCCAGCUAGUUAGGAUCAUGAGCUAAGAUCCGAGACACUUUGGGAGACCUGAAUCUGCCUCUUCAUCAGAAAAUAACUGGGGUCACGUAAUGCGUGCCCUGAGACGACGUAAUGCGUGCCCUGAGACGACAUUCUUACUCUCUGAUUCCAAUUUGGGAGAAGUUUGCUCAAGUGGGUAAUAAACUCACUAAGGACAGCACGUACCAUUAGGCACAGAUUCAACUGGACCGUCAACCCAGUUACUACACAAAAUCAUAGUUAAAAAGUGCUCCCAACACACCGUAGAUAUCCCUGAUACUCAACUGAGAGAUCAGAGGAACUUCCCCCUAAAGGAAAGUAAACAGUAAGUACUUCCUCAAUCAGACUGACGAUAAAAGAACUUUAGUCACAGCAAAAUGUUUCUUUUGUCAAGCAGGAUCAACAAUUGAUUCCAUCCUGUUGACACCUAAAUUUUGGUGACCCGGUCAUUCAUUUAUCUCAUACAAAAUUAGGGAUUAAUUUUUAACCCCUAAACAAAAAUAUUAGAAUUAAAUUGUAUAACAUAUAGAUUUAGGAGCAUUUUUUUUAUUGCAUUUACAUUGGACUUUCAACGGAUGAGUUGGUUCUGAGCUUUAGUGUAAUGAGUUGGACUAAUCCCAUGGAGAGGGGAAAUUAGCCCAAGCCCAGUAUUCUCUGAUCACCGAAAAUUCACUCAAAAGGAAUCACGAUUUGAUAUUUUUGGAAAAUAUUCAUAUAUUCGGUAAAUCUUCCGUAUAUUCAUGCGAUAUAUAUACUGAAUGAUAUAUUUCGUGGGGGAUCAGAAGAUUUAGGGUGAAAUAUCAAGAGGAAGACAUCUCGUUGAAUAGGGGAUAUGGGUCGAAUGAAUAUAUGUUUUUGGCAAGUAAAAAGGAAAGUGGAAUAAUCUUAUCAAUACGCAGCCAAGGAACAGAAUAUACUCAAGCAAAAAAAUAUUGAGGGAAUAUCGUUUAUUUCAUCCCAUCACCUGCCUAUAUAAAAGGGACAGGACACAGAAUUGAAUGCACAGCCAUUACACGAGAGAGAGUCUUCACAUUCAGAGGUCAAUGGUCAACAAAGAUGAAAGAAGUCGAAGGGGAGGACAAACACGAGAAGAAGAAAGAGGGAAAUUCUCUGUAUUUCUCUGUAUUUACUCAAUGUACAGAAUUGAUAUUAUAUUACAAAGUAUAUGUAAAAGAAAAGGAAAUGAAAUAAUCUACAGAUUGGAUCCGAUCUUGAUUGAUUCAAUAAUAUCCUCAUGAUUUGAUCCUUGCAUAUCUUUCCAAUAUUUCUGCGUAUCUUCCAACACUCCCCCUCAAGCUGGUGGCUUGUAGAUGUCCAAGACGCCAAACUUGCUCAAGAGAUACGCAUGCUGUCUUUGACAUAAAGGUUUAGUGAAGACAUCCGCUGGUUGUUCUUCUGUUCCAAUCCCCUGUGUCUCGAUCAUCCCUUGCUGGAUUUUCUCUCAGAUGGAAUGACAGUCUACUUCUAUAUGCUUCGUUCUUUCAUGCACGAUAGGGUUAGAUGCAAGUUUGAGGGCCGCAUCAUUGUCGCAGAAUAACUUUGUUGGUCCUCUAACCUGUACUCCAAGAUCCCGAAGUAACCCUCUCAACCACACUAUUUUACAUGUGGUUUUGGCCAUGGCUCGAUAUUCUGCCUCUGCUGAAGAUAAUGAAACAAUUGGUUGUUUCUUCAUUUUCCACGAAAGUAAAGAAUCCCCCAAUUUAAUACAAAAACCGGUUAUGGUCUUCUACUCAUUGGACAGGUUGCAUAGUCUGCGUCACAGUAUGCGGUCAUCUUCAUGUCACAUUUCCUAGAAAGAAGAAUUCCAAGUCCAGGACAUUUCUUCAAGUACUUCACAACUUUUAGUGCGGCAUUCAUAUGAGACUGCUUUGGUUUGUGCAUAAACUGAUUGAGUGUCUGCAUGGCAUAACUUAUGUCUGGCCUGGUCAUAGUUAAAUAUAUGAGCUUCCCAACAAGUUUCUGAUAGCCCAAAGGAUCUCUAAGUACGGGAUCAGCUUCCUGAGAUAGUCCAGCAUCAUAAUCGGCUGUAGUCAGUUUGAUAUUUUGCUCAAUUGAUAUUACAGCUGGCUUACAUCCCGACAAUCCCGCUUCUGAAAUAAUUUCCAAUGCAAAUUUCCUCUGGCUCAGAGAGAUUCCUUGGUCUGAUCAAGCAAUUUCGAUUCCAAGGAAAUACUUUGGCGAGCCUAUAAUGUGGAAAGUAGAAUGCAAGUAUUCCUUAAGACCCUUGAUAGCUAUUUCAUCAUUGCCCAUAAUGAGUAUAUCAUCUACAUAUAUCAGCAAGUAGAUAGAUGACAUACCUUUAGUCCAUGUAAAAAUAGCAUAAUCAAAUCUGGACUGUUGAAAACUGGCAACUAUUAGUGACUCAGCAAAUUUUGCAUACCACACUGUCUGGAGGCUUGCUUGAGUCCGUAUAAGGAUUUGCGGAGACGACAUACUUUAUUCUCCCCCUGUCUCCAUAAACCUUGUGGUACUUCCAUAUAGAUCUCCUCGUUUAAAUCUCCAUGAAGGAAAGCAUCGUGAACAUCUAUCUGAUGUAAUGACUAGUCUUGAAAAGCCGCGAUUGAAAGAAAUGAGCGAACUGUGACGUCUUUGGCGACUGGGGAGAAAGUUUCGUGAUAGUUGAAACCUUCUCUCUAUGUGAAACCUUUAGCCACUAACCGGGCUUUGUAUCUUUCAAUCAAUCCAUCUGCUCGAUAUUUGAUCUUGUAUACCCAUUUAAAUCCGAUUGCCUUGCGAUGUGAGGGUAGGGUAACAAGAUCCCAUGUUUGAUUAUCCAUUAAGGCCUUCAAUUCUGCCUCCAUGGCUUUCCGCCAUCGUGGAUCAGUGCUUGCUUCAUCAAAGCUGGAUGGUUCUCACUCUUCAGAAAUGUGAGUGAUGCAACAUCUAUGCUCCAGGGAUAAUUGAUCAAAGGAAACAUAAGAAGAAAUGGGGAAAAGAAUACCUAGUGAUUCCUAACUCCACAUAUGUAGUCUUUAGUCCAGGUAGGUGGCUGCGUGGCGCGACCGGAACGUCUAGGAGGAUCAUUCUCUAAAGAUAAAUGAUUAUCUGAAAUUUCCACAAGAGGCAAAUCUGAAGGAGGCGAAUCUGAAAGUACCUCAUCAUCCUGCCCUGGACCUUGGACUUCCAUUAAAGGUGUUAUGUUGGUAGUUGAUGUAGAAAAUUCCCUUGUAUCUGGCAAUGAAGGAAGAAAUAUAUAUCCAAAAUCUUCAAUCUUGUCCUCUAUAGAAGAAGUAGGAGAAUGUCAUGUCUUAGUGCUGCCUUUUUCUUGAGUGGCAAAUGGAAAAACAGUUUCCUGGAAUAAAACGUCCCUGCUGACGGAAAAUUCCCCCGUAGAUGGAUCAAAGACCCGGUAUCCCUUCUGUAAAGUGGGAUAUCCCAUAAAAAUGCAAUGGUGAGCACGGGGACCCAUCUUAUCCUUAGGUCCUACGAUUGUGGCAUAGCAUAGACAACCGAAGAUUUUCAGAUGGUCCAGGUCUGGCUUCUUCCCAAAAAGCACCUCGAAAAGGAGAUUGUCCGUCAAGAAUCUUGGUCGGCAUACGAUUUAUUAAAUAAGCUGCAGUCAAUACACAAUCCCCCAAAAAAUUGUCUGGAAUAAAGGCUUGAAUCUUUAAAGCCCUUGCAACUUCCAACAGGUGAUGGUGUUUCUGCUCCACCACUCCAUUUUGUUGUGGUGUAUAAGUACAUGAGCUCUCAUGUAAUAUCCCUUGUGAGGAAAGAAGGGCAGCACAUUCAUGAUUGAAAAAUUAUUUGCCAUUAUCUGUCCUUAUUCUUUGGACAGUAUUCCCAAACUGGGUUUUUGACAGAGAAAGAAAUGUCCUUAAAUUGGCCACAACUUGACCCUUAGACUGCAUGAGAAAAAUCCACGUGGCUCUGGAGUGAUCAUCCAUAAUGGUAAGAAAGAAUCGAGACCCAUCAUCGUUCGCUGUAUGAUAUGGUCCCCAGACAUCAAUAUGAGUAAGGAAAAAAUAUUUUUUGAACGACUUUGGCUCAAAGGAAAGGGACUACGCGAUUGCUUUGCAAGUCGACAAAUUUGACAUUGAGGAUAGGGAAAAAAAGAACUAUGGCCCAAUCUAGAGUGCAAAAGGAAAUUUCUAUCAUUGGUAGUCAAAUUACACAAUGAUUUCUUAUUACAAGGAAAAUGAUCAAGAUUUUUGGGCAAGCUUUUCCAGAAAAAUAAUCCUUUAGAGAGACUACCCUAGCCCAUCAGCUUCCCAGUCGAAAGAGCCUGAAAUAGACAGGUAUCAGCAUCGAAAAAAACUCGACAUGAAUUUUCCUUACAGGCUCUAGACACUGAGAUAAGAUUAAAUUGGAAGUCCGGAAUAUAAAGGACAUUGGUGAGAACAAUAUGGGAGUUAAGGGUGAAUGUCCCUGUUGUAGUAACAUAAGCAAUAUUCCCAUUUGGCAAUUGCACGGUAAUAGGAUCAUCUAAUUCUUCAUGAAUAACAGAGAAUAAUCCUUUAUCACAUGCUAUAUGGUCACUAGCUCCCAAAUCAAUAAUCCAGGUAUUUCGAGAUAUAGUAUUUGUUAGGCAAUAAGAAAUACCUAUAAAGCUGCUUCCCUUUUUUUGGACAUCUGAUUUUUGUAAAGCUUGCAUUAGUUGCUAAUAUUCCCCAUGUGUGAUAGGCUGACUUGCUAAAUUUGCUGAUCCUGUAAGUUGAUAGGCUGCUGCAGAUAUCUCUUUUCCCUUCUUUUCCUUUUCUCCAAGUCUGCCAUGUAAUUUCCAACAAUUUUCAAUUGUGUGGUGGGGGCCGCUUGCAAAAAUCACAAAAUAAUUUCCCUCUAUUUUUAAAAUUUUUCCCAUAUCCUUUGGAAAAUUUAGCACCGUUGGAUCCCUUCGAUCCGAAUCCAUCUCCACCGUCCUGAUCAUACGGAAGCCACGCGCCCUUAGGACCGUCAGAUCACUGCGUUCAAUCUUGGCCAUCCAUUCCAGCCCCUUUAAGCGUUCGCUGAUCCGCAAACCCUAGCGACGGAUCGUAGCCCCUCUUCUUCUCUAGGGUUUUUUCUCUCUUGAUCCUUACCGCCAGCGCUAGAGCUUCGGUGGCCUUGCUAUCCGACGAGGCAAGCCGCCAGUUCUCCUCUUGCACCGCAAGCUGGAAGAUCCGGCCAAGAGUGGGUGCUGGUUCCAUGGCCAGUAUCUGCGACCUGAAUGUGAGGUAAGUGUCGUUGAGUAUAAGCAGGAACCGAGUCGCCUUCUCUUUAUCUUUCAUCGCUUUGUACUGCUGAAGGGUCGUUUCAGGCCCUUCCAGCUUUUCUUCAACAGCUUUUAGUUCAUUCCAAAGGGCUGAAAGCUUGUUGAAGCAUGUCGUCACGGACAUGUUUCCCAACUUCAAUUCGCUGAGUGCUUGAUGCAGUGAGAAAAUUUUCACCCGAUCCAAUUUUCGGUACAUUUCUCGGAUGCUAUCCCAAAUAAUUUUUUAAUCUUCUGUGGGUGGUAGACUGUCGGCAAUUUCUGGGCUGAUGCAGUUCCCUAUCCAUGUUCUAACCAAUUGGUUGCAUUUUUUCCAUUGACGUCCCAUUUUUUCGUCGAUCGAGAUCAGGACGGUCCCGUCAAUAAAACCCUCUUUGUCUUUCGUGAUUAGGGAUCGCCGAAACUCCCAUGCCCAACUCGAAUAAUUUUUUGGUCCUGUGAGAGGAUGGCUGAUGAGCCGCAACUCCGGUCCGUCGGCGGUGGAAACGUAGAGCGCGUCGCCGGGUUCUGGGCGACCCAUGGCGGCCAUGAAGGGAAACGGCAAAAACCCGGGUGGGACUCCCGGGUAGUGAUUUGCAGCUUGACACAGAUUGAAUCCGCCCGGAAAUCCCGCACUUGAAUUACUUGAUCCGCCCGUCUGCUCCAAGCCGAUGGUUGAGCCUGCCCCACUGUUGGUUGGUAGGCCUCCAUCAGUUUGCACGCUGCUCUGGUAGCCCAACUGUGAUGUAACUGGGUUUGUCCCAUGGAUCCAUGGAUAUGGCAUCCACUGGUAAGGAUAGCCCGAGAAAGGCUGCCCCAGAUUAAACUAAGCCAGAAAAGUUUGUCAUUGCGCGUGUUGGGUUUGGAUCUAGCUUUGACUGAGCUGCUGUUCAGCCAUGGAAGUCACGGUGGAUGAAUAUGGGCUGUUCGAAGUCUGUGGCGUCGUGUCUCUUGCUGGCUGCUCGUCUGGGUUUGAGGUGAGAAUUUCUGGUUUGUUCAUACUGGAAAAAAAAAUCCUUCCCCUUCAAAGAAUAGUGAUUCCUUCGAUAACUCUCUUUGCAGGUUAGAAUUCCUCUAGGCAAUCAAAAUAGGAGCGGAAGCUAUGUCAGAACCUUCGGCAGCUCUAAUACCAUGAAAGAAGUCGAAGGGGAGGACAAACACGAGAAGAAGAAAGAGGGAAAUUCUCUGUAUUUCUCUGUAUUUACUCAAUGUACAGAAUUGAUAUUAUAUUACAAAGUAUAUGUAAAAGAAAAGGAAAUGAAAUAAUCUACAGAUUGGAUCCGAUCUUGAUUGAUUCAAUAAUAUCCUUAUGAUUUGAUCCUUGCAUAUCUUUCCAAUAUUUCUGCGUAUCUUCCAACAAAAGAGAGGGCGACACAUUGAAACACACUGCCACGAGAAGCCCUACAUAGCUACGACGUCUUCAUACAAAUAAAGCUUGGGCCCAACUAACGCGAUGGUUGACGCUGCUCCUUGUCCGGGACCCUGACAUUGGAACCCCGCCGCUCUGCUAUCCGAGCCCUGCCAAUGAGCGGACACUCCUAUUGAUCCCGACAUCGCCUGCUUGAAGCUGCUGCCAUUGCUGCUUACGUCCACAAACCGAGAUUCAGCAAAUUCCCGACAACGUUGUUGCUCUCCCAACGUUGCAGUUUCCUCGUGACGCUGAUCAUACGAUGCUGUCACCCAAAACCCCGUCGUGAAUAGCAAAGCCGCCGUUGUUGCCCUCUCGCUGGACCGUCAACAACCCUCCGGUCUCCAUCAACCCUAACGAGACAUCCGAGAGCCGUGAGUUCCAGAACUUGCUCAGGGAGACAAGUCAAAAGAAAUAACACAGAAAGAGGCGCUGACUGGUGAAGAACAACUGAACAAGAUGAAGCAUAAGACGUAUCCAAGAAGUAUGAGUCAAGAAGUCUUAAAGAGUUCUUCUCGGCCACUGUGAAGAUCCACGUUCAUCAUCACCUCAUCUUCACGUCCUCCACAAGGAGGAAAACGUGGAGAAAGAGGAGAGCUGUACCGCACCCACUGAGACAAUUUCCACAAGCAGAAAACGCCAAAAGGGAAGACGGUCACGACGACUCCUUCGCCCAACGCUAGUAGCAAACUUCCAUACUUCCUUGGCGAGGUUCCCUACCGUGACAGCAAAUUGCCGACACCCCUGGCGAGCAGCUGUACCGCGAGCCUUGCCGAGCACCACCACGUCGAGACGCGAGGAUCCGAAUUUGGAAGCUAAUAUUCGAAUUAGGUAAAAAAUUUGUCUAAUUUGCUUUCCGAAUAUUCCAGUUCCUUAUUUAAAAAAUACCGUUGAUGCACAUGAUCGAAGUUCAUGAUAUACGGUUCUAUCCAUAAUCUUGAGUAGCCUUCUAAAUGGGGAAAUCUUCCCAAUUUCACAACGUGCAUAUGAUUGACAAUCUGAUUUCACGCCCGAAAUAUGACUUGCAAUCGCACGGAAAAAUCGCCAAUCCGAUCCCAUGCUCGAGAUACGAUUCGCGAUUUUGUUAAAAAUUGACCAAUCCGAUCUCAUGCGCGAAAUACGAUUCGUCAAUUUAUUAGACAAAUAUCAAUCAUAUCUUGCCUGAUUUGUUGUCGUGUUAUUUGAAUCGAUUUUAUUUCCGUAAAAGAAAACCCGAAAAAAUAUAUUUGAGUUAGAUUAGGUUCAUGUUAGAAUAUCGCUUACUUUAGGGUAGUUUGCAUGUUUAAGAUUAGGAAAUUUAUUUAUUUCGAAUUUUUUAAAUAAAAAUACCAAAAACAUUAAUUUAGGAUGUUAGAUUCUCUUUUCAUUAAUUUAGAUCGCACGUUUAAUUACUAGACAAUUUUAAUUUCGAAUUAUAUAAAAAAGAAAAAGAAAACCUAGAAUUAGGGCAUUCUUUGCACGUCAUCUAGUCAUUGCAUAUUAGGAUAAGAUUGCACAUUUAAUUUAAUUCUAUAUAAUCUUUCUAAUUAAUAAUAAGUUUAGAUAAUUUUUCCUAGAUAGAUUGCAUUUUAGGUUAGGGAUUACCUAGGUAAGAUAACAUUCUAGUUUAAAUUAGGAUUUGGCCUAAUCUGAUUCCUAGUAUAAGUUGGAUAAUAUCUUAAUCUAGGCAAACAAUUCUUGCUAUUUUCUAAUUUCGAAUUUUACGUAAAAUACCAACAAAAAAAAAACAUUGUCUUAGAAUAAAUUAAUUUAUUUUUCUAUGAUAGAUUGCAUGCUUAUUAUAAAAACACAAUAUAUAUAUAUAUAUAUAUAUAUAUAUAUUAUACCUAUGUCAUGUAGUUUAGGUCAUACUACUAUGUCAUGUCACUUCAUGUUAGAUUAGUAGUAUGCAUUGCAUAAAGCAUGAUUCUCAUUAAACAAGUGAAAAUAAAAAUGAAGUGAUUGUGUUAAUUAGAAAUCAUAUCUAGGACUGUUGAUGUGAAUUCUGAUCUAACAUUACAGAUGCUUUCAUUGCUAUGAGGUAAGUCUCAUAAUUUAUUUAUUACUUUAUUUGGGUGUUAAAUUGGUGGUUUACGCAUUCGCAUGAUCACCUCACAUGUUAGGAAAGUAAAUUAAAAUCAACUCAAGCUGCUUGCAAAACAUUUUUUUCGAAAUAAAAUAGAGAGGUAUCGAAAGGGCGUUAGAGAAAUUUAACGUAAUCAAGUCCCUGAACUCACAAUCUCUGGUUCGCAGAAGUAAAGUAAAUCUCCUGUUACUUUACUUGGGUUUCUAAUCGACCCACCAAAAAUAGAUUAGUGGCAACUCCUAAUUGAAAAAAUCAUUUACAUGUUAAGAACUUGAACCUAAGUCGUUAAUUGGUAUGGGCUUGGGAGAGCUCGAGCUAAGUUUAGGCUUAGUAAUCCAUUAGCCAAACCCUAGGUGGUGCACCCAAGGUUAGGUCGCGACACAUCCUACAAACAUGAAGGACUUCAACACUAGCAAUUUCACCCACAAGGAAGCUCUUUUCUCUACAACCAAUGAGCAUGCACUUGGCAUUGGAAUACACUAUUGCAGUAGUUGAAACAAUUUUUACAGGCUUGCAAUUGCCUCUCAUUGUAUCAUAUUCUUCCAAGGCAUUUUCGAAAAGUAAAUAGCUGCAUUAUGUGAAUUUGCUACAUUUUUCAAGCAAAUUUAGAGAACAGCCUUGAGAUGAAAAUUUGGAAUGUUAUCAGACUAGCUAAGUGAUGCUCAAUCUGGAUAUGGGCACUCAUAGACCCAACUGCAUCCAGAAUAUCGUAUGCAGUGCAGCCAUAAUCCCUCCUCACUCCCGUCAUAUCUGCAUUUUGCAGAAACUUAGAAAUCAAAUCUUAGGUUCUCUAUCGUACACACGCAGGCAAGGUUGUUGUGACAUCCCCCUUCUUCCCCCUCUUUUGUCUUCUUCUUCUCUCUGUCCUCCUUCUCCUCUCCGGCCCUGUUUGGUUCAGCUUUGGGAAUGUGCUUUGGGAGUCUAAAGUCCCUUGGCCAAAUGCAAACGCGUUUGGUUCGAUUUUUUGGGCAACUUUGGCAAGAUGCAAUUGCAUCUCCAAAGGACUUUAAGGGCCCUUAGUCCAAAGCAGGUCUGGAAGUCAUUUGGGAACUUGCAUUUUCGGAAUGCAAGUUCCGGUUAUUGUUCAUCUUCUCCAAAACGCACGGAGAAGCCGAUCGGAGGCGGACGAUCGUCGGCCAAGGGGUCGCGCACGCUGGCGACCGCCGCUUGAGGGUCACCCGACCCCAGCGACCGUCGCCGGACCUCAGGCGACGGUCGCCUGGGUCGCGCGACCCAGGCGAACGGUCGCCUGGGGUCAUGCGACGGUCGCCGGGGUCGCGCGACCCCAAGCAACGGUCGCCUGAGGUCACGCGACCCAGGAGGCCAGAUCUGGCCAUCCGGCCGCCAAAUCCGGCAGUCCGAUGGCCAGACUUCAAAAAAAAAUACAAUAUUUUUUUUUGUUUUUUAAAUUUAAUAAAAGUCAUUUACAAAUACAAAUUUUACCAAUCAUUUACAAAUACAAAUUUUACCAAACGGUAUUUUUGGCCAAAGUUGUUUCUUAAUGCAAAUUUUACCAAACGUUAUUUGCAUUUCGGAAAACCCCAUUAACCAAAAAGUAUUUGCAUUUUUGCAAAUGCAUUCCCCAAAAGCUGAACCAAACGGGCCCUCCCUCACAUUUCCUCCCCCCAUUCUAUCCAUCCCCCCUUUCCCCUUUCUUUCUCUCUCUCUCUCUCUCUCUCUCUCUCUCUUUCUUUCCCUCCUUCCCCAGCCACCCUUCUGCCACCCAUUUCCCUCUUAUUUUAUUUUUUAUUCUCUCUCUUCUCUCUCUCCCUCUCUCUUAUUUCCCCCUCCCCCCUCUCUCGGUCGAAGCCCCCCUUUUCUCCUUCUUCUCCUUCUUCUUCUUCUUCUUCUUCUUCUUCUUCUUCUUCUUCUUCUUGCUGGCUGCCGCUUCACCCACCACCAAACCACCGCCCACGCCCCCAACUCACCACCACGCCACCUCUGUCCGCCGCUUGGAGCCGUGCCAUUCACCGUCCUCACCGCCGAAUUGCCAUCUCCACCGCCGAGCUCCCAAAUCGCUGCCGCUCGCUCGUCGCCACAAGCUGUUGCCCGCAUCCCUCACGCCGUUUUCCGUGUCGUCACCAUCGUUCUCAUCCUGAGCCGCCGCGAGCCACCGUUUGAACCGAGCCUCCCCCCCUUUUGGCCGUGGGCUUCAAGAGCCGCCGCCGCCGCCAUCGAGCCUCCAUUUGAGCCGCGAGCAUCGCGUUCUCGAUGCCAUCGUGCUACCGUCGCCGUGGGCUCGCCGUCGCGGGAAAUCGGUGAGUUAACCUCCUAAUCGUGGAUUAGGGCGUUAAUUGCGUUUAAGGGUUGUUAGUUUAAUAUUAACGGUGAUUAGUAUUAGUUAAUUUUAGUUUAUUCUUAAUUGCGAUUAAGAAUGGUUUAGAUUAAUUUUAAUUGCGAUUAGUUUAAGUAAUUAUGAUUUGAUUAAUUAACCGUGGUUAGAUUAAUUAAUUGAGUUUAAUUUAAUUAAUUGUAAUUUAUUUAAUUAAUCGUAAUUUAUUUAUUUAAUCGUAAUUUAGUUAAUUAAUCGUAAUUAUUUUAGUUAACGAUGAUUAAUUUUAGUUAAAUAUAGUUAGGCUAAUUAAUCGUGAUUGCUUAAUUAAUCUCGAUUAGCUUAAAUUAAUGACGAAUUAGUUGUUAAGUAAAAUUCUAUGCUCGUUUUAAUGGACGAAUUUACACUUAAUUCUAAUUGUUUGAGCAUGUAAUGCCAUGAUGUUGAUUGCCCAUAUAAUGUAUUUUAAAUGCUAGUUUUCAAAGAUGGCUUAUUGGUGAGAAAAUAGCAAAUUUUGAAGGGUCGUGUUUGGACGCCAUAUUUUACGUGAUAAAAGGGGCAAUGAUGUUUUAAAAUGAAAGUGUGCAAAGUUUGAUGGGUUGAUUUUAAAUAAGCGACCACAUGCGAUUAUUUUACCGGAAUUUUAAAUGUAAAAAUUUUCCGAGGUUUGUUAUUUAAGCACAAACUUUUUUACACUGGGCUAAUUGACGGAAGAUAAAAAAAUUGGCUUGAGUGUUGGCGUAUUUGUGUGGUCAUUUAAUUGAACUCGUCACCCAACGGGAGUUUGGAGGCGAUGCCCGAUGUUCAUCUGAUGCUCGACAGGGGUCCAGAUGCCGAGUCGCAGUUGAGGCCGGAUCGAUGCUCCUUUAUGGAAUGCCGUCUAGGCGGGGGUUUUAGACAAUGCCGUGCCCGAUUGAACGGGACAAUGUCCGGUCAUGUCGGAAGACUACCAACUCAUGUGUUGGCCGUGGCCUGAGGGAUCGUAAUAAUCGGAACACGUGCGAAUGAUUGUGAAGCAUUGCGCUUGAUUAUGGGGUAAAACUAUUAGGCAUGGUAUGGGACGUGCCAAAACAGGUUUUACCUUAUAAUCAGGACCUGUGUGGAUGCUUGGUGCAUGAGAGUUAUGUGUUCUGAUUAUUAAUUAUGAUUAUUGCAUUUAUAAUGGCAUAUGUGACGUACUAAUAUGCAAAGAUGUGCCAAGGCGAGGUAAGUUGUUUGUGGUGCAUGUUUAGACUGCCUUCGAGACGAAUUUGCGUCCUAAUCGAGGUUUAGUAAGUUUGACUCGCUGAGAUUUUAUCUCACCCCAGUGCUGUUAACCAUUUUCAGGGCCGUAGCGUGGAGAUCUGCUAAGUGCGGUUAUGGUGGGCGCGAGAUACGAUGCUUUUUGGCUGGCCUUACCGUUAGUGAAGCUAGAGUUAACCCUGACCUUUCUGACCCCUUUUUGCUCAUAGGUCGUGUAUGAAUUGUAUUUUAUUGUAGAUAUGUAAAUGUUAAACUCCUUGGAUUAACAAGUGGAUAAAUGAAUGUGCGAUUUUUGAAAAUCAUUUGUUAUGUUUUACUAUCCCUGUUUUGUUGAUGAUUGGGUGUUUAUUUAAUUCGCUUCCGCAUGCGUUUAAUCGUAAGAUAAAAAGAAUGGGUCGGCGACACGUCCUGGGACGUCGCAUUUUUAAUCGACCAUCGAGGGAUGUUCGCCCGCUCGGAAUUCGGGGCGUGACAGGUGUGCAAGCAGAAUAUGAGUAAAGACAAGCGCCCAAGAUGGGAAAAAGGAGGAACACACCCUUUCGGAGCUAAAUUCGGACAAUUCGUGCACACAGGGUCAGUACUAAAUUCAAUGCAAGGCUCUUCUUCCUUGUCGUUCUGCCCAAUAUCAGAAACACUGGAUUCUGAUGACAAACCAGCAGCUUUAUCGGCAACCAUUCCUUCAUCUGAACGAUUGGUCCUUUGUUCAAGAAGGUAAAACAUGUCAUUGGCAAUUGGAUGACCACUAAACUGCAAAUGUACUCGUGUCUGCACAUAAAGAGCAGGGUUAAGAGAAGAGAGUACUGCAAGUACAAGCAUAUAUCAAAUAAACCUCACAAAUUAAAAGAUAUAAAAAACAGGCUGACUUAACCAAAUGCAGAGAGGUAUAUAAUAAGCAGGACCCGAAAGUAUCUUCCAAAAUGAGUAGGACAGUUUAUGGAGAGACAAAAGUGAAGAAAAGAAAGCGCACAUGACUCAAAAAGUUAACAGUAAAUGCAAUGUCCUUCCUAUAUGUGUGGGUACAUCUGUGCAUGCAAUUGACCUUGGCUACAUUAAGGAAAAACAACCAAGGAAGGUUCACUGCUUAUGAAAUAGAAAAUAGGAGGUAUCAGACUCUCAACAUGGUAUUUGCAUCCUUUAGCAUCAUAUUGCCUUACCUGAUGAGUUCUUCCGGUGACUGGUUCACAGAGAACAAUGCUAUGAGUUCCAUCAGUGCUGAUCCUUGUGAACUUUGUACAAGCGGCCUUUCCUUUCAAGAGGGCAGUAUCACAAGUAGGGUCACCCGCCUGUACAAAGAGAUGAUAUUGACCAGACUAAUGGUAUUAAGCACGCUCUUCCAUUCACUGCCAACGCUCUAAUGUACUGAUUGAAAUUAAGACACGACCAUGAAACAGUCAGGGCAGAUGUAUUCUAAAUGUAGAAUGAAAAGAAAGCUCUAAGAGCAGUCAUACAUUGCGAGACACCAUGCCACGUGGACCAGGAGAAGGGUGGCAGUUGACAUCCUACCACCAUUUUCAAUUUCCUUAGAGAUUAAAAAGCCUUUCUAUGACGACUCAUCCAUAUAAAAUCCAAAUCACAUACUAUUGGGUCGAAAGGAGCUGGUAAAGUGAGACAGCAUAUGUGCUAAUGAAUAGGGAAACUGUAGCUUCUUGCUUUUGGCUGCCAGUAUUUAGAUUUGCUGUUUCAUGUACCAAGGCUCACAGAUUUUGCAUAAGCCAGCACUAUGUCACGAGCUUGGAGCUCUUAACUUCUGACAAAUUUAGUUCGGAUUACCAUCACACGUUACUUUUCAAUUCCAUUUCAAACAGUGUGUCGUGCAUCACCAAGAUAACAGUCCACAGUGGCUCAUAAGGAUAUAAAUGUUCCUAAAAAGUAUUGAGAGGCCAUCAUAAAUGGAUAUUUACAAAAACUAUAUAGUUAUUUUUACAUGCCUCUGUAAGAAUGUUAAGAAAGGGCAUUAGCUUCCAUUUAUAGCACUCUGAUAACAUUCAAAAUUGCAUCCCAUUAUGAAUUCAUAUUGGUUAGUCACAAAAACCUUCCCUUACGAAGGAAAGAGAGAAAAAAGAAAGAAAGGAGAAAAAAUCAGUACACAAGGAAGGCAUCACAUAAUUUUCAUUGAAAAGCAUUAUCAGAAAGCCAUCAUUUCAAGACCCUUCUCCAACACCCAGAUGCUCAGUUUCAUUUCUGUAACCUCACGUAAUACAGUGAUUGAUAUAAAUUUAAACUCAGAAAAAGGUUGAAAUAACAAGGUUUUGAGCGAAUACUCGCCUCCGCUGUACUACGCCUUCUCGAGUACUGUAAUUGAUGUGGACAUUGACCUCCAGCUAACAAGAAACCCUAGAACACAUAAAUCAGAUGAGAAAUAAUAAGAAUGCAUUUCUGAUACCACAUUCUCUAUAACUUUUUCACGUGAUCUAACUAGCCUCCUGGAUCUUCUGAAGGGAGGACCCAAACGAAAAAGGACUAGUUGAUUGUGUUCAUAAAUAAGUGGAUCUUCCUUGGGUUUGAUAAAAUGAUAUGGGAAACCACAGCUGGAUCUUUCAUCAAUAAUAACUGAAGAUGUCACACAAGAUGUGCAGUUGAUUUUUAACAACUAACCCUCUCCCACUCAAAAGGAGUUUUAUAAUUACUACAAUAUUUUGAGUUUUAUAAUUACUAAAAUCUAUGUGGAUAAAUUUUACCAAAAAAAAAAUUCUAUGUGGAGAAAAAGAACACAUGCAGACUUGUCCUUUCAGCAUUACCUCUUCUCAAGACAACUCAACAAACAAAAAGAAAAUAAUCGAAUUGGAAUAAAGAAAUCCCGUUGCUAGAUUGAGUACAUCUACUUAAACAUCUCAUAAUUCCAAUUCUUAAGGGUUAAACUCCCUGAUGUAGCACUGUACUGCAGGAUUUUUCAGUUCGUAAAUUAUCCACUUUUAGUGCAUAUUCCCAAAUCAACAGAUUGAAGCAAGAGAUACCUCAUUCUCAGGAAAUUCACCCACCACCUUUGCAAUGUACUGUUUCUGCACCAAACCACCUUCAAUCUGAAGAUAUUAAAUGUCAGUUGAAACUUAAAUUUUAGGCUGAAUAUCAAGUGUACCUCGCCACAUCACAAAUAUGAUGUAUAAACACUUAAAAGUAUAUAAGAGGAUAUUCUAGAUAAUUUUUACUCAAGGGAAUGAAGUCAGCAGCAGAAAUAGUACGUGAUAGCACUACUGCUAUUAGGAGAAACAGUCACCAGACAUGGAUUAGAACUCCACAGACUGAAGAUAUAUACAAAGGAAAUGCACAUCACAGAAAGAAACUAUAUGACCUCUUUAAGUCACUCCAUAAGGUAG
This 113511-nucleotide long non-coding RNA is filed under the name Eucalyptus grandis. Its description in RNAcentral is "long non-coding RNA (EGRA_LNC006545)". Lineage: Eukaryota; Viridiplantae; Streptophyta; Magnoliopsida; Myrtales; Myrtaceae. The record is from RNAcentral.